AAAAAAAAAAAAAACUAGCGGCUAUAUGUUUUGAUUUAUUUUUAUAGCAAUUUGGAAAUAUGGGAUUAUUAUUUUUUUUAAAUAAAAAAAUCUAAUGGUAAACAACAAAAAGAGAAGGUCAUUUUCUAACUUUUGCCUUAUUAUUUGAAUGUGUAUUUGAGUUUAGUUGAGAAAAAUAUGUAUUUGAGGGUGAAAUUGAUAAAAAUUGUGAAAGUCGAUUUUAUAACUGAACAAGCAAAGAAUUAACACUGCUUCUUAUUAUUGUACAAAAGCCCAUUGGUGGAAACAGAGAUGUUAUUUCUGGUUGAAAUUUGGAACUUGAAAAUUUGAGUGGAUUAGUUUUUAAAAUCUGAUCCAAUUUUACAGCUUAUUAGAUAUUUGAUUAUAAUUUUUGGAAAUGUACUUCCAAAAUCUAUAGCCAAAUGCUAGCUUCGUAUUUGCAAGGCUAUAAUCUCAUCCUUCUUGUUCAUUGGUAGUAAUAUUUGUUCAGUUCCAACUGAUGCAGAUUUGUUUACGAAUUUUUAUAUCUCUCUUAUUUUUCCAACAUGAUAGCGUGUUCAUUAUACCAGAAGUAUGAUUGUGUUCUUUUUGGGUUAAAAGGAAAUGUAUAAACAAGUAAACAAACCUAACAACUGCUGCAUAUAUAGUUGGUAUUUGUGAUUGUAGCAUUAAACAGUGAUAUCAAAACUACUAGUAGUAGCUGUUCAAAAGGGAUGGCUGGGUGUGGUUUAUCAAACAAAAAGGGCAUAAACCAGAUGACUCCAUGCCUUUUGGACUUGAUAUUCCAUCAAGACAAUAGAUGCAUGAUCUAUACUACCUGCAAACCCAAUGCUACCGCGAAAAACCCGGUUUGCAGAGUCAUGAGCCAUCCACAUUAUACUAUUGUUAUCUGGAGGAUGCCAUAAAUAAAUAGCCUGUUUAGGUACAGAUCCAAGCGUAUGAGAAGUUAAAUAACAAGUUCAGCAACCUCGAUCAUGAAUAUCUGUAAGGUUUACACAGUUAUGGAGAUGAUCAAAUACAUUUCUAUUAAGAUUGCACCAUACAAUAAGAUCGUAAGUGUGUGUCGUACCCUUUUUUUCUUUACUAAGGUAAUUAAUUGAAGAGGUUAAAAAAUACGAAAAAUAAUAAGUUCAUUCAAGUGUGUAGCCGAUAAUUUCAUCAUAACUUAGAUUUGUUUCUUUGCCUAAUUUCUAAUUUUUAUUUUUCAAAAAGAAAUGAAAGACGGGUAAAUAAUUUAUGUUAAUGGAGCUAGUAUAUACGAGUAAUAUAUGGGUAAGUUUUGAUGGUGGUAAAAGAAGUAAUAUCUGGUGAUAGAUGGGUAAAUUUAUAUGUUGAGUUGGCAUAUCAUGUGAUUAAAAUGAACGGAUUGACAGAGAAAGGGCAAAAUUUGAUCUACAUUAUAACUAUAUCAACUAAUUGUAUAGUAAUAAGAGACUUCGAGUAUUGCUUGGUUACCCAGUGAUUAACAAGCAUCUUCAUUGCACACUUAGCAUGGUAGACCAGCACCAAGGGAGCAUACCAUUGGGAGGAAAGAGAGCCCAAAUAGUGGAAGAGGUAGGAGGAAAGAGACCCCAGACGGUGGAAAGAGCUAGGGGAGGCCAGGUAAGUUGACAGAAAUAUAAGGUUUUUUCUUAUUAAUGAAGGCCAUGGAGUAAAGGGUAGUGGAUAAAUUCUUGGAAGAUGGAUUUAACAAACCACACAAUAAUCUUACCUCUGGUAAAAUGAAACAUGCUAAUCAUGUCAGCUGAUAAGAGAAGAUCAAAUUAAGAAAAUUCAUAUGUAUUGUUGAAAACAUACCAAAACAAGGAACUUUAUGUUUUGCAUGUCUGCGGAAAACAUCCCUCAGAAACAGAACAAAAUUUAGAAUACUAACGUAUCAGAGAGAAGAGAACUAGUAGAACAAAACAACACAUCUCAUAACACAUCUAAUGAAUCAAGCCUCAACCCUCUCAGGUGCUGCCUCUUCGGUGGCAUAGACAAUAACCUUAUUCGCUGGUUUUGCCAAGAUAUCAAAGUACUCUUGGAAUGGAGAUUUGGUGAAACGAGUCUCUUUCCAGAAGUCUGGGGUCAGGAACCCGUAAGUCUUCAUUAAACAAUCAAAGGUAGCCUGCAUACAUAAUAUGAGUGGCAUCAGACUCAAAACACAUCCACAACACAAACAGCAAAUAUAUGCCUUUUUAUGCUAUGAGUUAUAUUCCCUUCAUUUAAACAAGGUCUAAGAUGGUGUUUGGAUAGACACUUGCAAUAAGCCACAAUCCAAACGCCAUCUACAUAGUGUCAUUUUAUACCCUUUUGAAGAACAAAAGUGCGUAUCACACAUAGCAGCACAGGUAUUGCAGGAAAUGGUAAGAAUCAAUAAUGGUACUGCUCCUAUCCCACAAUUCAACUUGCUCAACACUGAAUUCAGUCACAGGCAGACGCACACACUAUCCCAAUUUAACCAAUACUCUUAAUACAUCCAUACUUUCGGAACUAAACUAAACAAUCUUGUUCUCGAGAAUGACAAGAUUUGGAACUAUAAGACUAACAAUUGUUACCAUCUCUGUAAUAAUCUACAAAGUUUCAGUGCAAUUUUUCCUAAAAUUUGAAAACUUUGUAGCCAUAUAUUGAUACAGAUAAUAACUUUCUUAUAGAAAGAUCAUUCUUUACUUCUUUAUUAACAUAAAGCUCAAGGCAAUUUACAAAAAGUUUUACUGGAAAAGACUCCCCGGUUGUCAUCUCCACAUUAGCUAUUUUAAACAAAAUGUACUGUCAAAUUGAACUUUUUUGUUAAAUUAUAAUGUUAUACGCAUGCUAUAGUAUUAGAAGAUACAUAUAAUAGAAUCAUCACACAAUUAAAAAUAAUGAUAUAUGCAAGAUCUGUUAAAAGAUCGAACCUUAACGAAGUUGCCAAGGGUUUUGGUGGAUCCACGAGAAGAUGUGAAGACAUCUUCAAUACCAGCAAACUGAAGGACCUUCUUGGGGACACGAGCAGCAACAAUACCAGCACCACGAGGAGCAGGCACCAUCCUCACAGUAACAGACCCACAUUUCCCUGUAACCUUGCAAGGCACAGUGUGUGGCUUCCCAAUCUUGUUACCCCAGUAACCUCUCCUCACUGGAAUCACUGAUAGCUUAGCCAAUAUAAUUCCUCCACGAAUAGCAGUAGCGACUUCCUUCGAGCACUUAACACCCAAACCGACGUGACCAUUCCCGUCACCUACAACAACAAACGCCUUGAACCUGGUUCUCUGUCCGGCACGGGUCUGCUUCUGAACCGGCAUGAUCUUCAUCACCUCAUCCUUGAGAGAUGGACCGAUGAGAGUAUCGAUGAUUUGAAACUCCUUGAUUGGGAGUGAGUGAAGGUAGAUUUGCUCAAGUGAGCGGAUUUUGCCAUCCUUAACGAGCCUUCCUAGCUUUGUGACCGGAACCCAUUUCUCCUCCUCUGUUUCACGACGUGGACGACGGCCUCCACGGCCCCGUCCACCGCGGUCUCCACCUCUCCCACCACGUCCUCCAAAUCCACGACCGAAUCCACCUCUAUCCCCUCCUCCUCUCUCCGCCAUGAUUGUAGGUAUUGGGUGUACAGCUAGGGUUUACAGAGUGUGUGAGAAGAUGAAAAAUGACGGAUUGUUAGGUUUAUAAGGGAGCUAGGGUUUCGUAAAAUGGGCUUGAAGGAAAGAAAGUCCAUAUGGAACUACAAGUUUGGCCCAUAAUGAUACAACUUCCGUAUAUAGCCCAUAAUAGUUUGCAAUUUUUUGCCUAAAGAUAUUAGCAUAAAGUGCCAAAUAAUUAAAAACCGUACAUUUCGAGGAAUCGUUUGAUUUGAAUACAAGUUAUGUUGGAUAAAUUACGUUGAGAUUAGUUAUACUUAUAUUGGUAUUAAACUUUUAUUAAUUGUUUGGUUCGUUGAGAUUAGUUAUACUUAUAUUGAUAUUGUUUUUUUGUUAAUUGUUCAAUUUGUCGUAUUAAAAAUAAAAUUAUCAUUGCAUACUUCUUAAAAUAAGUUAUUUGUUGGCCAGGAUAUGGGUUUAGUUAUUCAGUUUUAGAAACAAAAUCUCUAUCUUAAUUAGUAGUAUAAUUAAUUUUAUGUAUGAAUUCUGAUGAAUUUUCUUUGUUUUAUGAGCGACACCAACAUAUCUAUAAUAACAACCAUGAUAACACCUGUUUAGCCUAAGUGCAACAGUAAUGGCCACAAAAUACAGCAACAAUCAUUAAGUAUGGUUUUUACUAAUUCAAGUUGUAUACUAAGGGGUCGUUUGGUAGAGUGUAUUAAAAAAAUAAUGUAUAUAUUAGUUUUGUGUAUUAAUAGUACCUUGUUUGGUACUCUUUUUCAACUUAUGUAUAACUAAUGUCACUCUAUUGUGUAUUAAGGUGUGUAUUGCUAAUACCAGUGCUUUAAACGGCGGAGGCGUGAGGCGAGACGUUUUAUGCAAUACGGGACGAGACGAUAAGUCUUAUGGAUCUACGAAGUGUAGUCUCAUGUAUAUUUUUAUAAUUUUAUUACUAAAAAAAGUAAAAGUAAAACUUUCAAUUAUUUUACAAAUAUAUUUAUUAAAUAACGUAUAAUAUAUAUAAAAAAAUAUUAAGAUUUUUAUUUGAGAAAGGUAUUAAUCACCGAUAAUGAUGAAAAAAGUAUUACAAUUACUAUUUGAGAAAUAUCAUUACAUCAAUAAUAAAAAUAAUGAUUUAAAGCAAAAAAAGUUCAAAAAAAAAAAAAAACGCCAGAGCAUACGUUUUUACGCUUGAAACUUACGCCCUAUGGAUCUACGCCUUGAAUUUGCGUUCCGAUGCGUUUUUGGUGAUCCCCGCCCUGAGACUCGCCCCAAAAAAAGCCCAAGAAAAUGUUUUUGAAAACACUAUCUAAUACCAUGGAUUUCUAGGUAUUAGCAAUGCAAUGAUUUUAACUUUUAAUGCAUGCAUUCAGGGGCGGACCCACGUGGGUUCCAGGAGGUUCACCCGAACCCCCUCGACAAAAAAUUACACUGUAUAUAUAAGGUAAUCUUCUGUAUUUUUGUGGAUAUAUAUUUUUUGAACCCCCUCAAUAACAAAGAGAAAUUUAUAGCCCAGCGGUAGGUCCCCUUGAAAUUAAGCUUUACAUCAAGGGUUCAAAUCCCUGUGUUAGAAUUUUAUUUUUCAGUUCCGUUUUCAUAUUUUUUUUAGUUUUUUAUUUUAUAAAACAUGCUAAAAGUGUGGUUUUAAACCUAAAAAAAUUCAAGGGUCUGCCACUAAAACUAUAUACUACUGCUUCUUUGAAAUUUUGUUUUGUUGGCUUAGGGCAUCUCCAACCCAAUCCUCUAUUUUACUCUCCAAAUAUAAAGUUCUCUAUUUUUCCAGACAAUUAACUCCAACCAAAUUCUCUAUUUUACUCUCUAAAAAUGAAUCUUUUUCUCUCUCCUCAAUAUUAUAUUAUUAUUUCUAUUUCAUUCUUAUUUUCUUAUUUCACAAUAUAAAUCUUUUAUUUCUUUUUUCCCAAAUAAUUACUUUAUAUAAUUUUUAAUGUGAUAUGAAAUUAUAUUUUAUUCUAAAUUUUUAAAUAACAUAAAUUGCAAGAAAAUAUAAUAUAAUACAUAAAUUAGGGGACAAAUUCAAAUAAAAGUGACAUACAAUUACAUAAAACACUCAAUUUUCAAAAUUAUUACGUUGCUCCCAUAAAUGCUCUAUUAAUGCAUUACGGAGUUCAAAAUGAGCAUUUUUGUCCUUAAUUUUUAUGACUAGCUAAAAAUUGUUCAAACCAGAGAUUUUCAUCUACCACCAUUUCUAUAGUUGGAGUUGGAGCCUCUACGACAUCUUAAAUUGGUGCAUUGAGAUCACGUUCAUCCUCAAUUAUCAUGUUGUGCAGUAUAAUACAUGUAGUCAUUAUAUCAUGCAACAUUUCCUUUCUCCAAAAACGUGAGAGUCCUGCAAUAAUUGCAAAACGUGAUUACAAAACUCUGAAUGUACAUUAAUAUCGUUAUUGGUGCCAGGCAAACCAAAAUAAGCAUGCCAUAUCCAAAGGUCAUAAUCAGUAACAACUUCAAGAAUAAUUGUUGGUGAUCCACUACGACUUGCGUAUUGCCCUGCCCAUGCCGUUGGACAAUUUUUCCAUUUCCAGUGCAUGCAAUUUAGACUACCUAGUCACAACUGCAAUCACAACCACAAUCGCAACAAUUCUCGGAAUCAUAUCCUAAUUUUUUUCCAAAUAGUGCUAAAUAUGGAAACGACCUACCAAAUUACUAAAUUAUUGUUGUGAUCAAUUAAUUAUUAUGUUAUGUAUUGUAUUUUAUCUUGUAUUUAAAUUAUUAUGUUAUGGAUUAUAUUGUAUUGUUAUCUUGUAUUUAAAUUAUUAUGUUAUGUAUUGUAUUGUUAUCUUGUAUUUAAAUUAUCAUAUCAUGUAUUGUAUAUUUAAAUUAAAUUUUUUCAUCUUGUCAUUUUAAUUUUGCGUAUUCUUUAUAAUGAAAUUUAAUCACGAAAGUUAGAAAAAAAAAUUAAAAAAUACUAUUAAUUUGAAAUUAAAAUAGUAUAUAUUAAAUAAUAUUUUUAAAAAAUAUUAUAUUAUAUAUAAAAAGAAUUAUGAAUAUUAGAUAUUUAAUUAAUGGAAUUAUAUGUAAAAUAAUAUGUUAAUUAGAAAGUAAUAGAAAUAAUAAUAAAAUAAUGAAAAAGUGAAAUAGAGAGUUUGAAUAGUAGUUCUCCAAAGGUGGGUUGGAGAUGGUCUUAUAUACAAGUUUAUACUUUUAUUUUUCGAACCUUCUGAACGAAAAUUCUGGAUCCGCCACUGCAUGCAUUAACUCAAUUAAAGGCCCAAUUGGCCCUCAAUUCAUUUUUUAUAUCUUUUCCACCAUAAUAAUGAAGGAUACUUUGUAAAUAAUUUUUAUAAUGCAAUGGAUUCUAUUUUUAAUGCAUCAAACAAACAAUGCAUAAAAAUAAUUUAUGUAUAAUUAAUGUAAGCACAACUAAUACAUGAAUUAUUAAUACACUCUAUUUAGCAUUAUUUUUAUAUAUUCUACCAAACGAUCCCCAAGAGUAUAAUUGUUUUCACUUCAUUAAAAUAGGAAGAACUGCAUUCCAAUUAUAUAAAUUAAAUCGAUUUCUAUGCUAUUUUUAUUUUUAUGAGUUUUGGCCAAUUUAUCAUGACAAUUGAAAGGCAAAGUUUUCAUAGAACCUAGUUUUGUCAAUUAUUCUUCUUAUUUUGUAAUUGAAUAUCCUUUAAAACAUAUAUGGGCAAAUAUUAGAUAAUUUUUGUCAUGGUCCUAACAUGACAUUUUUUCUGUAAUAUAAUUUAUGGACAAAUAUUUGGUUUAUAAUCUUGGAGUUGAAACUUACACUCUGUUUGGAUUAUUGUUACCAUUAUUUCAUAAUGUACUGUAUUGUAUUGUACUCUAUUGUAUUGUACUGUAUGUUAGAUACAAUAUUUGACUAGAUUGUAUUGUUUGCUGUUGUUUAAUAACAUUUUUAUUGUUUGGUUUGACUGUAUCAUACUGUAUUGUAAUUUAUAAAUUUACUAAAAUAUCUUUAAUUAUUCUAAGCUAAGGUUUGACUAGAAUUAAAUAAUAUUGGGUAAAGGGUAAACUAGUAAUAUGAAAUAUUAUGUAAAGGAUAUAAAUUAGAAAAAAAGAAAUUAAAUAACAAUGGGAACACACCAAAUCGAUUGUUCCAUAAAAUGAGGGUUUUCAUUGUUAGAAAACAAUAAAUUUAACAAUACAAUAUAAUACAUUUUAAGUAACAAUAAAAAUAAACAUUGUAGAUAUGAUAAUGAUACAAUAUAAUACAAUACAAUACAAACAGAGUGUUAGUUUCUAAGCAACUCUUGUCAUUUUGGUUCAUUUGAAAUGAAAUAAUAUAAGCUUGAGUUUGUGAAUUUGCUUGUUAGUUUGAUGAGAUCCAAUUACAGUUUGAAUCUCUAAACUGUCCAUCAAGAAUUCAAUCUUCCAUGCAACUUGCAUGGGUAUGAACGCAGCUUCCGUCCUGAACCAUAUCAUCAAUGGCGAACCCACCACCCCCCGUAGCUCCAAAGAGGCAACAUCUUCACAAGCGAAAGCCUUAACCACUACAAUCAUCAACCAUCUUCGUUUGGGUCGACUUGGAAAAGCUGUCUCUGUUUUGUUCUCAGCUCCAGUUCCUUUCCCUUUUGCUCUCUAUGCUCAUCUCUUCAGAAUCUGUGCAUCAAAGAAGGCCAUUGUUGAAGUCCGUAAAGUUGAGUCGCAUUUGGUCAGUUUUGCUCCAACCCCACCUGUAUUCUUGCUCAAUCGAGCAAUUGAAGCUUAUGGUAAAUGUGGGUGUUUGGUUGAUGCAAGAGAGCUGUUUGAUGAAAUGCCUCAAAAAGAUGGUGGGUCUUGGAAUGCUAUGGUUACUGCUUAUUCACAAAAUGGGUAUGCUGGGAAGGCAUUGGGUGUGUUUUCUGAUAUGCAUAAGUCUGGGAUUUUUGCUGCUGAGGUUACUUUUGCGAGUGUUCUUGCUUCGUGUGCUUCUACCUUGGCGCUUUGGCUUUCUAGACAGGUGCAUGCCCUUGUUUUUAAAUAUGGUUUUGGUGGUAAUGUGAUUUUAGAGAGUUCGCUUGUGGAUGUGUAUGGGAAGUGUAGGAGAAUGGGGGAUGCACGGAGAAUGUUUGAUGAAAUUGAGAGACCAAAUGCUGUUACUUGGAAUGUGAUUGUUAGAAGGUAUCUUGAGAUGGGUAAUGGAAAAGAGUCUGUCUUUCUGUUUUUCAAAAUGAUUAGUCUUAAUGUGAGGCCGCUGACAUUUACAGUCUCAAAUGCUCUAGUUGCUUGUUCUAGUUUUAGAGGAUUUCGUGAAGGAAUUCAAAUUCAUGGAUUAAUUAUCAAGAUUAGUUAUGAAGAGGACGAGGUUGUUUCGUGCUCUCUAAUUGAUGUGUAUGCCAAAUGUGGGGAUUUAGUGUGUGCUCGGACAAUUUUUGACCUGCUAUCCCCUAAAAAUUUGAUUCAUUGGACUUCUAUGGUGUCAGGAUAUGCGCUGAGUGGGAAAACUAGGUUAGCAAGGGAGCUUUUUGAUAGGAUGCCUGAACGCAGUAUAGUUUCAUGGAAUGCAAUGCUAGCAGGAUAUGCACAUAAUUCACAAUGGGAUGAAGCAAUGGAGUUAAUCAUUUUAAUGUGCAAUGAUAUGAGGGACACUGAUCGUGUGACUGUAAGUUUGAUCCUGAAUGUUUCUGCAGGACUUUCAGAUCUUGAAUUGGGGAAGCAGGUUCAUGGAUACAUGUAUAGGCACGGUUUCUACUCCGACUUGAGCGUUGCUAAUGCGCUUCUUGAUAUGUAUGGGAAAUGUGGGAACUUGAGAAAGGCUAGAGCUUGGUUUUACGAAAUGAGCUAUUUCCGAGAUAUGGUUUCUUGGAAUGCUUUGUUGAGUAGCUAUGCUCGUCAUAGGAUGAGUGAAGAAGCUUUAGUAAUUUUCUGGGAAAUGCAACAAGAGGUGACACCUAGUAAAUUCACUUUUGCUACUCUCUUGGCGGUUUGUGCAAAUAUUUUUGCUCGUGAACAAGGUAAACAAAUCCAUGGGUUUUUGAUUAGAAAUGGUUAUGAUUUGGACAUCGUUAUCAGAGGAGCUUUGGUUGAUAUGUAUUCCAAAUGUCAUUGUCUUGACUAUGCACUGAAUGUUUUCAUUGGGACUUCUGUGAAAGAUGUUGUUCUCUGGAAUUCUCUGAUGCUUGGAUGUUAUUAUAACAAACAAAGUGAAGCAAUAUUAAAAUUGUUUGAGUUGAUGAAGGAGGAUGGAGUGAAGCCAGAUAGUACAACGUUCCAAGCUGUACUGCUUGCAUGUAUUUCUCAGGGUUGUGUGAAAUUGGGUGGACAGUAUUUCAAUUCACUGAGUCAAGAUUAUUUUAUUAUACCACAAUUGGAGCAUUACGAAUCCAUGAUAAAGCUAUAUGGUCUGCAUGGAUUCUUUGAUGAGCUUGAAGAUUUUGUUGAGAAGAUGCCAUUUCAACCCACAGCCCCUAUGUUAGCAAGAGUUUUUGACUCUUCCAAAGAAUACAAUAACACAAGGUUAGGAAAAUGGGCUGUCAGACAUCUUAAUUUUCUGAAGGACUGAAAUUUUUGAUUCCGUUCUGCUUCAAAGUUUCGGACAAGCUAAUUUGUUACAAGGUUGGCUAAAGCAACUGUCACUAGAAUAUGUGGACACAAGCCUGCUUGUGCACUUUGCAACUUUUUAGUGUGCCAAAUUGCUGAAUAUUGCUCUGACACAAAAUAUUUUACCGGAGCCAAAUACUGCAGAGAAGCAGAUCUCCCGAAAGUGCUUGAACUUAUGAAUACAUACAUAAUUCGAGCACCCAAUAUUUUUGAACUGUAAUGCAAAGAAGUUGAUGUUUAAGUGGCCGCUACAUAACUCCUUGUGUUAUAAAAGAGGAUCAUUUGUGGUGGCUUUGACAUUUUCAACAAUGAAGUGGCUGCGCGCAGUCAUAACUUGAGUGGUCUCUAACAGAUAAAUAGGGAGCAGAUCUUCCUUCUCCUGGUAUGCAUUCUACAGCACUCCUUUUGUCUAGCCCAUUUGCAUACUGCAUGCCCAAAAAAUUAAUGAAGAAAAUUGGAAGUUUUAAAGACUUUCUUCUGGGCUCUGGCAUGUGUAUAUGAAUUGUGUUGCAUGGGAUGCUUUCCUAGUAACACACUUGAAGUAUGGAACUCCUCUUAUAUUAUUGUUCAUUAUAAUAAUAGAAGGGAUGGGUAGAAGUGUUAGUAAUUUGAUUUAGGUGUAUAAGUGUCCUCCCCUUGCAUUCUAUUUUUCUUCUCUUGUGUAUUCACAUUCUUUCCAGUACAUUCUGGAUCUUCUUAAAGCCUCUUUCUUUAAAGCUUCAGGGUAAUUUGGGUGGGAAAACGUGUUUGCUUCUUUUUGAUGCAUAUGAUAUUGUACCUACGGCAUUUAAUACAUGCUUAUCUAUGAAAUCACUUUUUUUCAAUGAACUAAUUUAAUUUGCUCGGUUUCCACCUUUAUCUGAAUGGUUUUCCUGAAAUGAUUAGAAUAGCUGGUUCUUGAAGCCAACACACACUUUCACAUGCAUUAUCCUGCUUAUGGCUUGAAAUGCACAUCUUGUAAUGUGCCAUUUCACAAUUCAAGGGUCAGAUGAUAUUUCAAAGGGAUCUCGAGUUCUAGGACUGUCGAAUCACAAAUAGGUAGGCUGGGUCAAACUCUGUCGGGUUAAAUUGAUUAAGUCAGUUAAUGGAUCAUGACUCAGUCCAUCCAAAUUUUGCUUGGAUCAAGAUGACCUAGGUCAAGUGGCACCAAGUAAUAGGUCAUAGCACUAAAACACUAUUUAACAACUUCAAAUCUCCUAUAUUAGUAGUACUACUACAAGUGCAAACAUAGAUUCUGCAUAAAUCGACAAAAAGAGGGAUAACAAUAGUAUGUUCUAAACAUGGCAUGUCCCUUUCUCAUAAAAGAUUAUUUUACCUUACAAAUUUCAUUUUAGUGUGAAAGAAUUCUACAAUAAUGAUGUUUGAGAAAGGAUCUUAAUUAUUACUCGACACCAUCUUGCUGCCACAUAACUGAAAUACUUGAUUUACUUCAAAAAUUGCAUUCGUACUCCUUUUCUUAAUCUCAGAGCUAAAACAGAUAACCUGUUUUGAGCCCCCAAGGCCUAGCUCAAGUGGCAAAAGGUGGAGGAUUUGUGGCUUAGGUCACAGGUUCAAGCCCCACACCAUGCAAAGCAAAGCCCGGUAUUUAAGUGGAGAAGGGUAGAGGGGCGGGCCCAUUAUCCACCAAGUUUAGAAGGCUGUGAUUGGUCCAAAGGGCGGGUCACAGAUGAAUUUCUCGGUUAUCAAAAAAAAAAAAAAAAAAAAAACAGAUAACCUGUUUUGAAGUCUAGGGGAGCUUAGAUAUCUUAUACCAUGUCCACAACACCCAUGAGAAAGUUAUUGUUUUCAACAGCUACGCUUUGCUAAACACUUGCUAUUAGUUUUAUUUUAUCUCCUUUUUAGAGAGGCUCGUAUAUUAACUUGGAUAUACAUGGAUAUCUUUCUAAGAACAAUUUUACUGAUUUUAACUUUUCGCCUAAGUGUGAAACAAGUUGUCUAACGUGUUCCAACAAAGCAGUAAGGACAGUAAGUAAAAAUAUAAUAUUUUUUACCGUGGAAAAACACCCGGCUCAAAAGGUGUAAAAAACCACGACCUGUACCCCUACAGGAUUUAACUCCAACUUCACUAAAUCACUGAGCCUCCACAAAAGAUAGAUUACAAACUUUGCAACCUACCUUAACUUCAAGUUAUGGAUUUAGAUUACAACUCUUGUAAUCCUAGGAACUAACUCUAAUUCCUAACCUUCACACAAACCUCCCAUGGUAUGUGUUCCCAACUCUUCGAGUUAUCACAACCUGAAGACAACACUUCUAAUUCAGUUUAUAACUCACUGAACUAAGAUUACAUCAACACUUAAUCACAAAGAAAAACUCCUAACACAUAAACUUUGUAGAAGGAUUAGGUUCUUCGAUGUGUUCCUUUAGUUCGUUGGUAGCACUUGCGAAGUCAAUUUCUCAAUUGCUCUUUUUGCUUUGUAAGUGCACAUCUAUUCUAGACGACUUCACCUCUAUUUAAGCACAAUUCUUCAUAGAAUUAUUGUUUACUUCAAACUCCUCAUUGACUUGAACUCUCUUGACUUAGAGUUCUACUUCAAGUAAGACUCAUCAUUCAAUUCAAACUCCUUGCUUCUUUAGACUCCUUCUUCAAAUUACAUUCAUUGAUUCUUUUGUAUUGUAGUCAAACUCCUACACUUCAAUUCAGCAGUAAUUUGAAGAGUUCUACUUUAAGUAAGACUCCUUCUUCAAUUAAAACUCUUUGCCUCUUUAGACUCCUUUUUCAAAUCAAACUCAUUGAUUUUUUCUCUUCAAUUCAUCAGAUGUUUAUUUCCUUGGGUUUUCUCACGAAAUUAACAUUAUCCAUUUCUUUAUUUCUGCACUCUUGUCUUUGUUCAUUCUAAAAGCUUUCUUGAAUUUAACUGCUCGUGACAAUGCACCUUUGGACCAUAUUGACUGACGUGUUUCGUCUUUCUUUGUGAAUCAUCAAAACUGCAUAAAUCCCAACACAUGGAUAUCUUUCUAAGAACAAUUUUACAACUAGAAUUUAGAAAAUCUGAUUGGAAUAUUUACAUCAAAGUUUAAGGAGUACUGUAUCAUUUGCUUGUACCUACUCAGUAAAUCUGUGGUCACACCACAGAUGAAAACCAAGCUGUUUUACUAGCUUAAUUUUUUUUUUCCACCUGCAAUAGGGUAUCUGGCUGGACAGAAGCUGAUCGCGACCAGUGAAGAAAGAAAAGCUAUUUAAUCAAACAACAGGUUGAGGUCAAUCCCCUGCAGAAGGUGGAUCUAAUAUUCUGACAAAGUUGCUUCAGAGAAACUGGAUAUGUCAGGCUUUUCGCUUGGGCGUGGUAAAACUAGUCUAGCGUGAUCAUGGGCGAAGAAAUUGGUUCUUAGUAUGUGAAAGAGCCAUUGUAUGUGGAUUGCACUCCAGUUGCUGCCAUCGAGCCAGGUAACAUGACUACUCAGACAGAUGGGUGAAAAGGUGAUAUUGAUUUUGGAUAAGCUGACUUGAGGCUUUUCACAGUGUAUCUGACCAGAGGAUAACAUACGAUCUCAUUUCGGAUUAAGUCUAGUUCUAGGUCAUUUCGGAAGGUAAAAAACAGCAAAUGCAAGGGAUCCUGGAACUACAAAUCUGCUAUGGGGUAAAUGGAAAAUCUUAGAAUUUUGUUUUGUUAAGUUAAAAGUGAUUUUUCACUACAAGUAAAUAAUGUUGGAUUGGAAAAAUCAUUUUAUUCCUCUUCUUAUACUUCUGCUCAUUUUUGGUGUUGGAUUGGAAAAAUCAUUUUAUUCCUCUUUUUAAGAUUAGAGGUAAUAAUGUUGGAUUGGUAAAGGCCUAAAGGGUGGCUUUGUUUGGUGAUUGUGACCAGCAGUACAAAAUGAUAAUGAUAUCUACAAUAUUGGAAGAAUACGUCAAGUGAUCCUUAAAUUCAGGUUGUUACACUUAAACUUAUACAAAGUUGAAUAAGUAGACACAUACGUUUUACGUAGCAUAAUACAUGCAUGACACUAACUAGGAUGCCGUGUAGAACGUGAAUUGCCACAUAGUACUUGUGUGUUCAUUUUUUUUUCCAAAUUUCAUAAUGAAACAUAGCCAACUCUCACUAAUUUUCAAAAAUAGUCAACGGUUAUUUAGAAAAAAAAAGAAAAAAAUAAUUUUUAUGGCCAAACACAUAGUGUAAAAUUUUCCGAGGAAGAGAGAGAAACUUGAAUGCCGGAGGGUUUGGUGAAGGUUGAAAGAGGAGAAAAUUACAUUUUCAAUGAGUCUGGAAUUAAAGUUAUAUUGAAAAAACUAAGUUUCGUGGAUUAGUUUAGGGGAAUUUUUUGUAUUUAUUCUUUUAUAUUAAUCGCAAUUUGACAAGCUUGAGAAACACAAGAUACUUGCUCAACUUUUGUAUUGUAUUUGUGUUUAUGAUGUAUUUAUUGUUAUUUGACUCAUAAUGUUAAUUUUGUUACAUAAAAUUUGUUAAAAGUAAGGUAAAUAUAGAAAUUGGAUGCUCCUUUAUAUAAAUUGGAUGCCCAACGGUGAAGGGCCUAAAAUAUUUUUAAACUAUUGAAAUUGAUACAAAAUAUACUAUGUUAACCUAUUAGCCACAAAAUGCCCUUGGGGUUAACCUUUAUGGCCCUUUAUUACCCUUAUUUACAAAUGGAUCAUUAAUUGAAUUAAUUAAUUUUGUCAUUUAAUACGUGUCACAUUUUGAUUCACUAGAAAAAUAAUUCAUCAAAAUUAAUUUAAUUUAGCUCAUACUCAGAUAUAGGGGUGUGCAUUCGGUUUUUCGGUUCGGUUUUGUGUUAUUCGGUUUGGGUUUUUCGGUUUUCGGUUUGAAAAAGUAUAACCCAAUCCGAACCAAAAAAAAAUUGGUUCGGUUCGGUUUUUCUCUUUUCGGUUUGGUUUUUUUCGGUUUGGCUAUUCGCUAAUUUUUUUGUCAUGAAAGUGCAAGUAAUAUGUGAUAUUUAUAGUUAUAAUGUAAAACCUAAUGCCUAAAAUUUAGUGAAAUAGGAUGACAGUAAUUUGAUAUGGGCCUAAAUAUUACAACAAUACUGAAUUAUUAGUACCCUACGCCUACAUAGUAAACCUAAAUAUUAUAUGUGUAAUUAUUAAUCUAUUUAUAUAUAUAUAUAUAUAUAAUUCGGUUUUUUCGGUUUUUCUGUUUUCAUUUUUCUAAAUCCGAAACCAAACCAAAAAACCAAACAAAGUAACUUAUAAAUCCAAAACCAAACCAAAAAUCCAAAAAACCAAUCCAAAUUACAAUUCGGUUUGAUUUGGUUUGGUUUUUCGGUUUAAUCCAAAUAGUGCACACCCCUACUCAGAUAUGGAUCUGGCUCCCCUCCAUUACCUCUUCCCUCCAUUUCGUCAAUUGCAUGUCUAGAUGAGAGACAUGUGUCUUAUUUAAAGUUUAAGGGUCAAGAUUAUAUUAUAUUGACAAAUAUCACAACCAUAGUUAAGUCAACUAAUUUUAAAAAACUACUCUUAAAUUUGGUAAGAAUUACUAUAUAUUCCAUUCAAAAUUUGAUAUAUAUUAAUAUCAUUAAUUUCGUAUUAUAUUUUACAUUUAAAUAUUAAAUGUAUGAUAUUUAAGGUGAGAAUCAACUAAACAAUUUUAUGUACUAGUAAACUUUGUUGAGAAAAUGGCUAAAUGACCCCAAAUCUAUAACCGGAUUUCCAACUACACACUUAUACUUCACGGGGUCCUAUUACCCACCUCAGUUAUUUUAAAGUGGAAUUAUUUCCUCCCUGAAAUGUCAUUACCAAGCAUCUGUCUUGUGGUGAAAUACACACACUUGACACGUGUAUUUCACCAUUUAAUGAUUUUUUUUUAAAAAAAGUUAUCCUCCUUCCUCUUUCUUUCUUCCCCAAUUAUUUCUUCAACCCUAACUAUACUAAACACCAUGGUUUAUUUAAAAAUAGAUCUUAGACUGAUUUUAAGAGUCGUCACUUAAUGUUUAAAGUAAAAUUAAGAAAACUAUUUUUUUUCAAAAGAUUAAAACAGGAAUCUAUUGAAAACUAAUAAAGGGGUUCGGGGUUCUUAUUAGCAUUUCGGGAAAGGUUUGAAAGCACCUGAAAUGCCCGCUAAUAUGCGGUUAUCCGGCGAUUAAUUAUCUGGCUAAAAUAAUUCUAACUUAGCUUGACUUGCAAAAUUGAACUAUUUUGUUAGUUAGGCCCAUUAAAGAAAAUGUUGAAAUAUUAUCUAAGCGAAAUAUUUUGUAAACUUAUUUAUUUAUUUAUUUUUAAGUCAAGUAAGAGACGAAUAAUUUAGUUAAGUGAUUAAUUCAAAAUUGGUGUCUUUUGGGGAUUUGAAUUUUUUAGAACCUUAAGAUUAAAUAACAGAUAUCGGCAAGUAAACAAACACAAUAAAGCAAAGAGGGAAAAAAAAUUGGGCCCAAAUCUGAUUUCUAUCCGCCUGGUCCAAUAUUUGGACCCAUUUUUAUUUUGGGCCUUUGGCCCAUUUAAGUCACCUGCACCUGUCCUAGUCUAACACAAAAUAGAAUGUUUUUUCUUUGGGUCUUAAGCCCAAUUUUUUCAUCUGUCCUAACAUGUCCUAAACUUUUAACAUAAAUAAUAAUAAUAAUUAAAUAGGCUUAGGCCCAAUAAAUGAAAAAAUACAAAAAAUUUUCUUUAAAGAAGAGUGAGCCUCUUUAAGCCCAAUCUUUCCAAUUUCUCGAUAUGUUGCUUCUUUCAACUUCGAGACCUGUUCGUCGGUUUAAUGGCUGGCCGACUCGGAAAGGCGAAAUUUAGGCCUUUAUGGCUCUCCCAAAAUGCAAAGGGAAGGAGGGGUUCGUAGUAAACUCGAAUAGAUUUCACAUGUAGCAAGAACAAAUAAGAUACAUAAGUAAUACUCAUAAUAAUUCGUAAGGAGAAAUGAAGCAAUAAGACGCUUUCGGUACAAUAACUUCAAGAAGAAAAUAAAAAAUAAAAAAAUGUAACAACAUGCCAAACACACGAUUUAGCUAGGAUAUCCACACAUGCUCCUUCUACUUAGUAUUCCAAUCUUACGGUAAAUUGAAAUUAUGACCAAUGUACUCAAUCCAACAAUAACUUCAAAUUUUUACACUAGAAAGCUAAUAUUACUACACUUCUCAUAAUGAACAAAUUGAUAAUGACCAACUUCUCUUUUUAUGAUAGAAGAAGAGAACCCAACAAAACACAACAUAACAUAGAGGACAUAUAAGUAUUGCCGACCAUUAGGACAAAAUCAAAUGCAAGAGAAAAGAUUUCGAUUAAAUUAACCAUGAAGACCCAUUUAGUGAUGAAUAUAUAUCCUUUGGCAUAUUUAAUAAUAAUAAAUAAAAAAUGAACAACAAAGUGAUCAAGUACUUUAGCAAGAGAAUUAGAAAUAAGCAUGGUCAUACUACAAAAAAUCAUUAAGUAGUGUUACUGAUUUUGACAUCAAGGCUUCCGAAGCUAUGGCCAAAUAUAUAUAUAUAUAUAUAUAUAUAUUUAUCUUUUUCAAUCCAAACAAGAACUAAACCAACUAUUUUUAACCAAACCAAACAUUAGACGUCAGGUAACAUUCGUGGACAAUGACCGGAAACAUAUAAUUGCUAACUUACGAAACACAUGGAGAGUUAUACCAAGAAUACAUGAUUAGCUCAAACCAAAAUGAAAGUCACAUUCACAUGUAACAUUAAAGACCCACAGAUUGCCAAUAUGCUUUCUAUCACGAAAAAUGGAUAUAGAGAAAUAGAAAUGUGACCAUAUUAAAGAACUGAAAUUUCCAGAUUUUUCGACCAUUAAACAGUACCAAAACAAUCCAAGUUAAACUCAGGCGUAAAGAAGAUGGCGAAAUUCCAAUCUCGUUUUUAAACCAAGACAACGAGUGACUAAUAAUACGAGGGACGAGCAGAAGAGAUUAAUAGAUUUGCAAGCAUGCUUUCAAAAGAAUACAAAUUCUUAAACUCAACUUGCAUUCAAGGAAACUAAACGCAUUCGACAUCUUCUAAACACGCAGCAAAAACAGGGACCCUAUUUCGACAAAUAUGGGCGGAGUAGUAUCAAAGUGAUCAACAAGCAAACUGGCAAAAAUCGGAACGAGUACAACUUAGCCCGAAGUCUUGAUGAGCACCAUAAAUAGAGGAGACUAGAUUAAACAUGCGAUAAAUCAUUUUAUUUUUGAAAACGAGAUACAAACAUAUCAGUUUCAGAAAAUAUUAUCAUGAAGAGGAAGAUUCAAGCUUGACCAAAUCGGACAAAAUUAGUUCACCAACAACAACGACUAUUUUAUGACUCAAUAUUCAUUAGAAUCGGAAUAAAAAAGGCUAGGAAUCGUUUACCUCUUCUUGAGCAGCGAAACAGAAACGGGACGAACAUGCACUACGAUCCUUACUCCACAAACUCGAAUACGCACAAUGAACAAAAAUUUCGGGCAGAAGCUCGGACUCAAAAUACUGAAACUAGUUCUUUUUUCUUGAAGUGUAUUUCGUAUGUAUUUUAGAUAUUUUUACUUGAGUUAUUCUAGGUAUUUUCACUAAAAAAUCCCCCCUUACAAAUGAGAAGAAGAGACAUAUAUAUAUGGGGAAAUUCUACGAUUUACGAUUUUUUGGGGGUAAUGGGGGGAAAUUCGGAUAGCGAGUAGGGGCAGAAAUAGAAUUCUCCUCCAAAUUCAAAAUUCAAAAUCCUUUUCAAGGAAUAGGGAGCAACUGGGUUCGGUAUGAAAUUUUCUCCAAAAUCCCAGAAAAUUCGGACUAGGCAGCAGGGCUGCUGCGUAUAGUUGCUGUUGACAUUUUUGGACUGCUGCUACUUUGACGUUUCUGGUUUUUACUGAAGAAGAAGGAGACGCAGGUAGGGUCGUUCGGCUACUGUUGUUGUUGUCGAUUCUGCUGCUGCUAUCGUUGAAAUUGAAAGGGCAAAAAGGGAUGGGGCCGGGUCAGGGGAAUUGGGUCGAUUUGGUGUUGUUUCUGUUGUAUUGUUAUUGAUUUAUUUGGGCUGGGGCAAAGGAGGUGUUAAAGAGAUGGGUCUGGGAAUUGUUGGGCUGGCAGCUUUGGUAUUGUUAUUGUUGUACGUAUGCAUUGUAUGUUAGGAAUUGUUUGACUGAAAUGAGAAAGGUACGGGCUGCUGGAAAUUAAAGAAAUGGGGCCCUAAACUAAAGUCUUUGGUGGGUUUAAAGUAAGAUAUAACUAAGUGAAUUAACAACUUAGCCAAAUCGAAUUUAAUUUGCAAAUUCGGCUAAAACUUAAAUAGGACGAAUUAGUAUAAUUAAUUAAUGAGCUUCUUAAUUUUAACAAAAUAAAAUAAUUAACUCAAUAAACUAAUGACUCAAAAUAUAAACUACUAAUUUAGACAAAAUUAAUUAAAAUACUCACUAAAAUUAAAAAAAAAAUUGUGAUGAUUUUCGAAAUGUUUAUAAAAUAUACUAAUUAUAUACAAAAUUAUAUAAAACAUAUAUGUUAAUUUAAAAUUACAAAAAAGUGAAAAAACUAUUUAAAAUAACUUGCAAACUAUAAUUAUUAUCAUAUAUACAUACAUAUAUAUAUAUAUAUAUAUAUAUAUUGAAACUUUAUAAAACUAAUUAUUUUAAAUCGUUUGAAAUUGAAGAAGCUUGAAAUGAUUAAUUUAUAUUGUGGAGGUACAAAAUUGGGUGUCAACACACCAUUUUUUACUUCAAUAAAUUUUUAUAUCUCUAACAUUUUAUAAAAAUGAAAAUUCAACUCACUUUUUCAUCUACUCCGAAUCUCUAGAGUCCAAGAUAGUGGUCCUAAUUAAUCAAAUCUUUCAUCCAACUAAUUCAACAAUUUUUCCACAUUUUUUUUACAUUUCGUUCGAUUUUCUUCCUUAGACAAUUUCAGAUACACAUUAAAUGGGUCAUGAACAUUCGAGAUCAGAUUCAUCCCUUGAAGAUUCCGCCGACUACUCAAACUAAUCCCGGAUGAGAAGAUCAAUUUGUAACACCAAUUUGAGAAACCUCUCUCUCUUCCCCAUUCUUUAUUCUUUCUUCUUUCUCCUUCUAAAGUUUUCAUGAUUAAUUUAUAAUUUGAGUUUUUGAUUUUGAUUCUUCAUGGAUUUUAGGAGAACAUGUAGGAUUCUUCUUUUAAAAUGUAGAAGAAAUUGUUUUGUUUUAGUUUCUUUUAUUAAGUUUGAAAUUAUUUUUUAAAUAUACAAUUACUUUGAUUUUGUUACUCUUGAAUCCAUCACUUUAAAAAAAAUUAAUUAAUGGGCAUGUUUUUUUUUAAAAAGAAAGUUAAUUUGUUAGAUAUAUUCUAAAUAAGUUUAUUGAAAAAUUAUUUAUUCAUUAAAUGCAUUUUUUGUUGAUAAUUUUUAUUCCAAACAUCCAUUGAAAAACUUCAACAAUGAUAAUGGUGAAAAAUGUAUAAUUGUAUAGAUAAAUAAGAAGAAAGAAAGUGAAAGAAAAAAAAAAUUAGAAAAAAAACGAAAAUUAAUAAAUAGGCAACUCACUCUCUCAAAGAGAGUGAAAUACACUCUCCAUGCCAACUCAGCACUCAAGGGGUUAUUUAUUCUAUUUUAAAGUAGUUCAGGGGGGUAAUAGGACUCCUGCGGAGAAUAGGUGUGUAGUUGGAAAUUCGGUAAUAGAUUGGGGGGUCAUUUGGCCAUUUUCUCAAACUUUGUUCUUGAAAUAUUAUACUAUGUUAAGAAACAAAAAAAAAAAGGUGAAGAAUUAUCAAUAUUGAAAAAAAUCAUAAAAUAAAAGAACAUGAAAUAAUAAAAAAAAAAGACGAAAGAUUUUUAGAAAUAAACGUGAAAUACCACAAUUAUUCUAAGGAGAAAAUGUGGCUAUUGUGUUUGAAGGGGAAAAAUAUAUGUUUUUAAAAAAUAUUCUUCUAUCUUUUUUUUUUUUUAAAUAAAAGAAAACAUUGUUUAUUUAAUGCAAAUAUUUUUGAAGAUUAUUAUUUUAUCACAUUAAAUAUAAAUAUAAAUGUUUCAUGAUCUACAAAUACCAAAAUUAUUCCAAGGAGAAAAUGUGGCUAUUGUGUUUGAAGGGGAAAAAUAUAUGUUUUUUUAAAAGGGAAAAUGCAUAAGUACUCCUCAACCUAUGCCCAAAAUCCCUGAGACACACCUAAUAUUUAUUAAGGUCCUAUUACCCCCCCCCCCCCAAUUUUUUUUUUAAUUAANNNNNNNNNNNNNNNNNNNNNNNNNNNNNNNNNNNNNNNNNNNNNNNNNNNNNNNNNNNNNNNNNNNNNNNNNNNNNNNNNNNNNNNNNNNNNNNNNNNNNNNNNNNNNNNNNNNNNNNNNNNNNNNNNNNNNNNNNNNNNNNNNNNNNNNNNNNNNNNNNNNNNNNNNNNNNNNNNNNNNNUAAUAGGACCUUAGUAAAGGUUAGGUGUGUCUCAGGGAUUUUGGGCAUAGGUUGGGGGGUACUUAUGCAUUUCCCCUUUUUAAAAUAUUCUUUUAUCUUUCUUUUUUUGAAAUAAAAGAAAACAUAGUGUUGAAUGCAAAUGUUUUUGAAGAUUAUUAUUUAUCACAUUUAAAUAUAAAUGUUUCAUGUUCUAUAAUUUUAAUAUUUAAAUAUAAAAAUAUAAGAUGAAAUUAAUGAUAUUAAUAAAUAUCAAAUUUGUAUGGAAUAUAGUGAGUUCUUACCAAAUUUGGAGAGUAGUUUUCUAAAAUUAGUUGACUUAACUAUGGUUAUGAUAUUAGUUAAUAUAAUAUAAUCUUAACCUUUAAACUUUAAAUAAGACAGAUGUUUCUCAUCUAAACAUGCACUUGACAAAAUGGAGGAAAUGGGUAAUGGAGGGGAACCGGAUCCCCAAGAUCUACCCAUUAAAUCACCCACCUAUGACCCAACCAACACUUCACUAUUUGGAACGGUGUCAUUUUAUCUGCAGAUGCGGAGAGCAGGAUUCCGACAAAUAUGGUGAAGGAGAUCAAGGCCAGGGAAAGGGAGUAAAUGGCAGGAGAACCAUAUUUGAUCAGUUCAUCGAAAACCAAAUGAUUGAAGAGUGUAAGCGGCUAUUGAUUAUCAGUUCAUCGAAAAUCGAACGAUUAAAGGGUGUUUAGAAAGGUAACGACGUCAGGCUUGGAUCAUCAUGAUUUUAGGCAGAGGAAGAAAUUGAAAAUCUUGUUGAUCAACAAAAUAUAUUUCUCUACUAUAACUAUUGUUAGUGCCGGAGUUACACCGGAAAUAUUUUAAGCUAAUGGGUUCUCACGUUUAGAAUAAUUGGGUUUUUAGUUGGGUCUGGAUUGGAUGGAUCUAGGGAUGACAAUGGGGCGGGGCAGAUGUGGGGUGGGUUUAAGGAUAUGUGGAGCGGGGCAGAUGCGGGGUGAGUUGAAGUGGGUUUUUAAAAAAUUAAUGUGGGCGGGCGGGUUGCAGGUACAUGUGAUUUUAUGUGAGUUCAAACUUAAUUUUAACUUUUACAUGUUAUAAAAGUAAUAGAACAUUAUUUAUGAAGAUAAUUUCAUUAAAGCUACUAAAAUAUUCAAGAUAAUAAAUGAAAUGGUUCAAUAAAAAAUAAUACAAUUUUUUACAUGUUUCCCCAAUUGACCUCUAAAAAAUAAAACUUUAAAUCACUAUCCUAUUAAAUUAAUAUAACUUAAUGAAAAAUGAAUUUAUUUUUUGAAUUUUAUUUUUAGUAUCAAACAUAACUAGAAAAAGAAAAUAUUAAAAAAAUUAUGUUGAGCGGGUUCAUGCGGGCCGGGUCUGUGCGAGGUAGGGUGGGGCGCGUUAACAAUGAAAAAAGUUGUUAUGCGGGGCGGGGCGGAUUAAAAUUUUUACGGAUUAAGUUCAACCCGCAUCACCCUUGCCCUACACCGCCCCAUUGCCAUCCCUAGAUGGAUCCGGGUUGAGUUAAAUUAAUUUUAGUUAAUCAUAUCACAUAUUAAAUAAGAAAAUUAAUUAAUUCAAUUAAUGGGCUCUUUGUGAAUAAAAGUUAAUUUAAAGUAUAUUUUUGUGGACAAUAGGUUAACAAAUGGUAUUUUUAUACCAAUUUCAAUAGUUAUAUUUUAGACCUUUUUUUGUUUUACCAAAUCAAAUAUUUUCUUCAAAUUUUUUGAUCAAACACAUAGAAAAACUUUAGCACGACUUCAUCCAAAAAUAAUUUACCAAAAUAAUUUAAAAAAUGUAUGGUCUUAGUCUUUACCAAAUCACACAUUAGAUUUUGUCUAAUGUCUGAAAUAUUUGAUUGAACUUUACCUACAAAUUAAAUGUGGCGCUCAUAUUUGUGCAACUCAGUAGCAGAAUGGUUCCUUUUACCUUAUGAAUAUUCAAAGCUACACUGAACGGGAUUCUUGUUGUUGUAGUUGUAUGUACCCUUUUGUACAAAGAGUUUACAAAUACCACACACAUUCACUUUCAUUCUAUUCUCGUCUCAUACCCCACUGCCUCUCAUUCAGUUCUUUGCAAAUACUUCAUGGGAAAUUAAUAAAACUUGGUUUCAACAAGAAUACUUUUCUGGGUAAUUGUUAUCUUGAUUUGUAUAGCAAGUUUGGUACAAAAAUUGAUGCUUUUAAAGUCUUUGAUGAAAUACCAUACAAGAAUGCUGUGUCCUGGAAUAUAUGGUUGAAGGUGCUAGUUCAGUCAGGUGAUGUGCAUUGUGCACGCCAAUUGUUUGAUGAAAUGCCUGAGAGAGAUGUUGUGAGUUGGAAUUCGAUGAUUUCGGGGUAUGCUUUGUAUGGGUUGUUUGAGAAUGCUUUGGGUGUUUUCUUGGAAAUGCAAAAGUAUGGUAUUAGGCCUAGUGGAUAUACUUACUCGAUAUUGGUUUCACAUGUAGAGUUUGCUUUCCAUGGCAAGGAGAUACAUGGAAAUAUGCUAAGGAAUGGUGUGGAUUUGUCUAAUGUGGUGGUUGGGAAUUCACUGAUUGAUAUGUAUGGAAAGCUUGGGAUAGUAGACUAUGCUACUGGUGUAUUUUUAGCCAUGGAGACAGUGGAUGUUAUUUCAUGGAACUCAUUGAUUUCGAGCUGUUGUAAAUCAGGGUAUGAAGAUACAGCUCUGUCUUAUUUCUCUUUGAUGAGAGCUUGCAAAUAUUCACCGGAUGAGUUCACAAUGUCUUCAGUGCUUAUUGGCUGUUCAAACUUGCGCAGUUUGGAGAAGGGCAAGCAAAUCUUAUGUCUUUGCGUAAAGAUGGGAUUUUUGUGCAACGCUAUUGUUUCAAGUGCAGCAAUUGACUUGUUUUCUAACUGCAACAGAAUUGAGUAUUCAGCUCGUAUAUUUAAGGAUUCAAAUAUUUGGGAUACAGCUCUGUGCAAUUCAAUGAUUUCGAGCUAUGCACUGAACAGUUUAGAAGAAAAUGCCUUGCAGCUAUUUGUCCUAACUUUGAGGAAAAAUAUUAGACCUACUGAGUUUACACUCAGCUGCAUUCUUAGCUGUACUACAACUUUCCCUGUGGAUCUGGGGAUUCAAGCUCAUUCUUUGGUCAUCAAGUUAGGCUUUGUAUCAGAUCCUGUUGUUUCCACUUCACUUGUAGAUAUGUACUGUAAAUAUGGAUUGAUUGAUUCCGCCACAAAUAUUUUCAAUGACCUACUAACAAGAGAUUUGAUAUCGUGGAACACCAUGAUCUUUGGGCUGGCUAUCAAUGGUGAAUCUACCAAAUCACUCAGCCUUUAUUAUGAACUACUUGAACUUGGUGGUCAACCAGAUCGAAUAACAUUGACUGCACUUCUGUUAGCUUGCAGCUAUGGUGGAUUUGUCGAUGAAGGUAUAUCCAUAUUUUCUUCAAUGGAAGAGGAAUAUGGAAUUACACCUGGCAUUGAGCACUACACUUGUGUUGUGGGCAUGAUGACCAGGGCUGGUAAACUUAAAGAAGCCGGAGAUAUAUUACAAAAUAUGCCUCACGAGCCCAACAGUGAAAUGUGGGAAUCAAUACUUCUUGCUUGUGAUAUUUAUGGGGACUUGAAAGCAACUGAAAAGGUUGCAGGGAAGAUAAUGGAGUUAGCACCAGAAUCAUCUCUGCCGUAUUUGGUGCUAGCGCAAGUAUACGAGUCCAGGGGAAGAUGGGAGAGCCUUGUUCGGGUCAGGAAGGAGAUGAAAGAGAGAAUAGAAAACAAAGUAGCUAGUUACAGUUGGAUUAGUGUACGCAGCAGUGUAAUCAUGUACCAAGCAAACCAAAUUCUUAGUUGUGGCAGUAAGGACAUAGGCAUUUAUUCAACGUUGAGGCUAUUGACAGAGGAUACAUGGGAUAAAGGUUUAUGCUAAUCAGUUGCAACUGGGAGUAAUAGCUGCUAAACAGAUGAGUAUAGUGCACAGAUAGAAAAUCAAAAUUUAAAAUUGAUUCUUAUACAAUGGGCAAAGCCAACUUUGUUUUUGCUAUUGAUGUGGAUUUGCUAUAAGUGACUUUCAAGGUCUGAAUCUGAUUCAUUGCAUCAAAAGGGGUAAAAGCUUUUCCAAAGUUCAAAAUUUCCACAUGCAUAUGAUGGAGAACCAGUAAGGGUAAAAGGAUACUCGCCUUGUUUCAGGAUGCAGAAUUGGAGCAAUUCCAUAUAACUCAGAAUGUUGCAUCUAACAAAAACCUAUAUUUUGUAUUUUGGCCUUUAGAGAGGCAUUAACUUCAUCAAUAUGAGAUAAUUCUUUCAGCUUUAGUAGUUUUAUACACCUUAAUCAAGCCACAAACAUCUCUAGGGAACAAUGAUUGUCCAGUAAUAGAUAUCACUCAUAUAACCUCUCCAUGUCUUGGAUGCCUCAUCAUAGAGUUUGAGGCUGAGAGAUGCUGAGUUUGAUGGGAAGAUUAAAAGGUAAUGUAGAAUCUUAUCUCUCUGUAAUCUGUGAAGCUAACAUGUCUACAAAUACUUGAAUGUUUGCUUUAUAUGUUAGUUUGCCUUCUUUCUCAUUGUUGCUUUUGUGAUAAUCAUUCUUGAUAGAUCAGAACUUUUGUGGGAUUUCACUGGGUAUGUUGUUGUUGUUGAUAGAUCACAACUUUUCAUUAAAACCACACGAAGUUGAUUUUAAGAACAUGUACAAUGAGAAUGAGUGGAUCAAUCACACUUAGCUAACAAGUUAUCCCAAUCAUCUAUGCAAGUAGGAUCUUCGAUUUACACCAAAAGACUAAAUGAAACAAAAAUUAAGUUACUUUUAUUUCUUUCAGUAUGAUGGAUCAAUUCUCUUUCCUUCUACACUAUCCAAAAAACAUAUAGAGCUGUGUAGUUCUCCAUAUAGCCCUUCAUUCUUUUUCAAUUCCGCACAGCUUCCAACUCGUAAUUGCCUCCUCAACUAUACUUGGUAAAGCCCUUCCAACAUUGAACGAUGAACAUGUGAGGUUCCAUAGUUGUUUAGUGAAUUUGCAAUGCAACAAAAUAUAGUCAGUGCUCUUCCCACUUUCUUUGCACAAACAACACCAACUCACUACAAUUCUCCUUCUAUUCAUAAGAUUAUCAGAUUGUCAAUAUUGCUCCUUUACAGCACCACAUAUGUGAAAAAAAUAAUACUUUCCAUGUUGCUUUACCACCCCAAACAUUCUUCACACCACAUUUUUACCCUCAUAAGAUUUUGUAUAUUUCACCUUCUACAUCAUCGAAUCCUCCUUUCAUCUUUUCCUUCUCAAUGCUGAUCGGAAUAUCUCUUCGGAGAACACUAUCCAAUCUGACUCCCUGAUUAUCCUGUCUCAAGUGUUCUCCACUAUAGCACCCAUAUCAUUUCUCAAUUAGUAAGCCCAUGCGAAAGUCUCCUUUAUAAUAGUGUUUUUUUGCCACACUUCUUUCAUUGAAUCGUGCAGCACUCUUACAGCAUUACCCACUGCGUACCCAGUAUGUGUAACAUUCCAUUCAUAGUCCCCGUCGAUACACUCACCCCAUACAUGGUUAUCUUUUCACCCGAGAACCAUGAAUUAUCUGUGAAUUUGUUUUUUCGUAAUAUUUUCCUCUUGGGCGGAUCUCCACAGCCACUUCCCGUUAAUGUCACUAAAACAGGGAUUCUUCGUAUCCUUCAUUCCUUCUGUCAUUUGAAGUUUCAUCUUCUAAUAAUCUAACAAUUUUUGCUUCUAUUCCCCUUCCUUUCCUUUCCUUCCCACGUGUGAUCUCUCGUCAUCUUUUCAGUCGCUGUUAGCAACAUGCAAAACAAAAACAUGUAGUAUGUGGGAUACUCCGUCUAUCUUAAUUUAUAUGUCAUGCUUUCUUUUUUAGUAUAUCCUGAAAAGAAUGUCAUACUUCCAUAUUUAGAAGGGUUAAUAUCUUAAAAGGUCAUUUAACUUUCACAAUUUAUCUAACAACUUUAUUUUAUAUCAAUAAAAUCACUCAACUUAGACACAAGUAUCAAUAAAAUCACUUAACUAGAUUUGUCAUUAAAACAAAUCUGGCCUAGCAAAAUGACAACUGCUACUACUACUGCCUUCUCCUUGUUGUUCUAUUUCUUAUUGAUUCAUCAUCAUAUAGCAUUUUCAUUGGCUUAUAACAAGAAUGGUGUUAAUGGUUCAAUACAUGAUGAUUAUAACAUGAUAAUAUAGAUAAUAGGAGCAGUUAUUCAUCCAACAACAAGAGUGGGCAAAGAGCAAAAUAUAGCUACGGAAAUGGCAGCAUGAUGACUUCUAUAUUAAAUUAGAACUCAAUCAAUGAAAUUUAUUAUGACAAACCGACUCCUCCAAAAUUAAUCACGGGAGAUUUAGUCAGCAAAGAUUAUCACAAUUAACAUAUGAAAGCAUAAUCAAUUUAGAUGGUCAUUUAAAUAAAAAAAAUAAGAGAGCUUCAACGAACCAUAAAAUUAGAACAUGCGAAGAUUAAGUUAGUGAUUGAACCUUAAUGAGUUUUAACAGAAACGUUUUAGUUCCAAUCACUUGAAACGAGAGCAGAGCUAAGAUCAGAGACCUCAAAUAGAUGACGUCAGAGCUCUGUUUUGGCCAUUAUAACUUGAGCAAGAGCACAACAUUUUCAUUGACUUCUUAAUGAGUUUUCUUUAAUUUUAUUUAUUUUUGAGCUUCAUAUUACAUGGCAUAAAAAAAUUAUUUUGUCUACUUCUUUCAUGUCAUUGCUGCAUACUUCUCUUUAGAAAUUUCUUGAAGAGACAUAUUUUUAUUGAUAAAUUUAGUUGAAUGAUUUUAUUGAUAUAAAUGCCUAAGUUGAGUGAUUUUAUUGAUACAAAAUAAAGUUUAAUAACUUUAUUAGAUAAAUUGUGAAAGUUGUGUGACCUUUUAAAAUAUUAACUCUUAUUUAGAAACAAUUUAACUUGAAACUUCCUACCUUACCCUUGAUGAGAUUAUUUAUAGCCGCACAAAUAUCAAUGGUUUGUUUUAGAACACAAGUUCCAAAAGUCUUCCUUUUUGUCUUAAACUCCGUACCGAGUCAAACACCUCCACAUAAAUUGGGAUGGAGGGAGUAUGAGAUUACGUGAUUUACCCACCCUUAGAUAACUACCUUCUUUUCCAUUGUGCUUAAGUUUUUUCUCAAAUUUCUCUGCUACCAAUUCCUCUAGUCCCUUGUCCUUAAAUUUCCCCCUAGUGGCAAACCCAAAAUCUUAGUGAUGGUGCUGUCACCUUACUUCUAUAUAUACUUUCCAAUUUAGAAAUAUUCAGCACCUCGCCACUAGUACCAACUCGAACUUCCAUAAAUUGAUGUGAAGUCCUGUAACUGUUUCAAACCAAAUAAAUAUCCUGAAGAAAUAUCGACUGUCCACCUGUGGCUUAUCAAAAGAUAAUUACAUAAAACAGAGCUUCUAAAAAAUGAAUGUAUCAUCAACAAACAAAUAAAAGAUGUGAUAUAGCCAUUCUUCCUCUUAUUAUCUUUUUUUAAAAUUCUUUGUCUAAACUCUAAAGUAUUCAUCCUCUUACUAUCAUCAGCAUAGAGUAGAUGUCAGGUAUCAUUGGUGACCAGUAGAUGUGGUAUUGCCAUUCUUCUUCCUAUUUCCUUCACUGCUUCAAUCCCUCAAUAUAGCCUCUGCCACCGUUCUGUUUAUGAGCCUUCUAAAGGCCUCCAUCUCAAACAAGGAUGACUAUUGGGACAAACAUGUCUCCUUAUGUUAUAUUCCCGUUCAGCUACUCAAAUAUCUGCAAGCACUACCAUCCAAAAUAACAUAAAAGUUUUCCAUUGAAUAUGGUAAAUGAAGACAGCAUCAAUUUAGUUGAACUUCAGCUGAUUCAUGUUGUAUAAAACUGAGGACAAGGGCAUAAAUCAAGGACUGGAACUGUAUAAAACCUUGGUCUUUGGUUGAUGUCACUGCAUAUAGUGUAAGAAAGAAACUCAGAGAUAACAGAAUGCAUCAAUUGACAGGGAACUAAAUAUGAGACCUUUAACGACCUCCAAAAAGAAAUAAGCAUCUAUGUGUUCAAUGAAAAGAAGGAUUUUUAUGACUGGAAGGUGACUAGAAGAUAAAACAGGGAAACUAGCAAUGACUGAAUUAGUUUUAAAUGAAAAAGUGUUAAAUGUAGAGAUUCUCCUAUUGACCAGAAAAGAUUCUUGACAAAUGGUUUUUCAAACUUUGGGUGUUUUUUUCCUUGUAAAAGUUAUUUAUUUCUGGUAGUUCUUGCUGCAUUCCUGUGUGUUGUAGGCAUACCUUCUUCAACUUUGUGAUACUGAGACAAUGAGAAUGCUGUCCUUUCGGUCCAGUUAUUGACUGUUUGUUCUGGCUUUUGUGUCGACAGUUUGUGUCUUGUAGGCAUAGUACACUAGCGAAGUGCUUAAUUUUUUCAGCACAUCAUACUACACUAGCAAAUGCCUUACACAGCUUUUCCUGCUUUAGUUAUGUUCUUUCUGAAUGUGAAAUUUUCUCUGUGAUUGAUUGACAUCGUUUUGCAUGAUGAAAUCGAUAAUGCUAGAAAAAAUAUUUUUAACCUAGUGAAAAACAGUCUUGUAAUGUGCCUUUUAUCAAGUUUUAAUUUUCAUCAGUAAUUAUUAUUCUGAAAUAAUUGAAGCUGAGCACGAUGAACCUAUUUAUGGCGUGUUUUCUUAUGUGAUCAACUCUUCUCUUCUUAGUACUUAGAAGCCUAUAAAAGUCUUCAUUCUUGAUGAACUUCGAAUUUAUACUUCAUUUUCUCAGGUACAGAAAAUUCCCCGUUCUCCAUCUAACAGCCAAAAGGAUCUGGAUGAAUCCUGAGAGCUGGUUAUCAGAAAAGAGGUGAGCCUUUGUCAAAACUUCAUUGUGCAAUAUUUUUCAGUUUAUGUUGUCUUAUCUUUUUAAUGAACGAGAAUUAUUUAGAUAAGUCGAAGAAAAGAUAAUAUAGGAGUAUAUAAUUUGAGUUUUGAGAUCAAUAAUGGGAAAUAUUUGUUUGUUCAAGAUUAAAUUAUACUUGUGUUGCACAAAUUUGAGAAGAACAAAGGUUCAUGUGUAAUUUUUGAAACUAAAUGGUAGUGUAAUUCCCUCUCAAAAGGCCACAAAAGAAAUGAACUCUAGGCAAGAAAUGUUAGGUUGUUUAAAAUUUAAUAGAUCCACAAAAGGCCAAACACAUACACAAUCUCGCCCCUAAAUUUCAUUUAACGGUUCAACUCAAUCUUGUUUCAUUUUAAUCCUCCAAUUACAUUUUUCAUAUACCACUUAAACACGAAAUAUUGAUUGACCUGACCGGUGAGACUACCCCACUUUUUAAAGCGAGGGGCACAUUAAUUUCAUAGUUUCAUUUUUGUAUUAUUAUUUUUUAAUUUACCCCUCCUGUUGGAGCUCCUACCUUUGUUCCCUUGGUGACUUGAACUAACAAUCUUAAAAAUUGAAACUUGAAAGUGAAUGGGUUUACUAUUCGAACCACUCCCUCUUGUCUUUAUUUUUCUAUUUAGUUUGAUUGUUUUAAAAAAAAACUUUCAAGUACGUGAAUAUGGACAAUGUACAAAAUGUAUAAAUGCUAAAAGUGGAAUAUUUUACGUGUCACUCUUAUCUCUCUCUACCUAUAUGACUUGAAACCUAUCCAAAAGGUCAAAUUAAAAAUAGCUAAAUAUCUUCCCUACCAAACUUCGAAAAAGAGCCGUCGACAUUUCCCUUCUAAAUUAUCAUGUUUUAGCACCUAAUUUCAUUUAUUGGCAAGUAUACAUAAAAAUAAAAAAAAUAAAAACUUUUUUUCCUAAAAUUUAAUAGAGUAGUAAAUAAUUAACUAGAAUAGCUUUGACAAUUGACAUCGUUCAUUCUCCUUGUUUUGGAGAAACUUUACUCUCAACACAUUAAGUUAGCAAGAUUAAUAGGUUUAUACUAGGGUACCAACCCUCGUUUUGGAUAUUUAGAUGCUUAAUCAUAUUCAUACCUCUUAAUCUAAAUGUUGUUAAGACUCUGCUACAUAUCUGAUUCGUUCAGAUUCAUUAAGUUUUUUUUUUAAAAAAAAGAAGACAAAUAGACUUAAUGGAUUGAAUCAGAAUGAUUAAAAUUCAGGCAUAAAAACCAAACACACGUAGUGACUUGAAUCUGAAUAAUUAAAAUUGAGACCUUCAUUGAGUGCAAACAAAUAAGGCUGAAAUAUAUACCUAAAAAGUUUGUCUUUCCUCAGUCUCUUCAAAAAUUUGCAAAAAAAAUAGUAAUAUAGGACAAUCACAACAACUAUUAGCUUCAAUUCCAAAAUUUAGCUAAGAACACAUAAAUUGCCUUGACUAAAUUGGCAAUUAAAAAAAAUAGAACUUGCUUGGCAUGCCUAAAUAGCUUAAACUUUUAUACUAUAUUAUACAUCGUGGGAUAAACUACUUUAAUUAUAUUACUCCUAAUUGUCAAGAAUUGACUAGUUUAUAGAUUAGAUUGGCAUGCCUAAUAUAGCCCACGUGUUUUUUCCCCCUUAAAAACCAUAGAGGUAGGCGAAAAGGAAAAAUAGGGAAGGGAUUAUAAAGUGGAGAGUUAAACGUAAUUUUCACUAAUAAAAUAGAAAUUUAGAUAAUUAAUCAAUUGAGCUAUUAAGAUUAUCUAUUUUGCGCACGUUAAGUCUCGACGUAAGCAAUUUAAAGUUUGGUCUUUUCGCACAUCAUAAGUUCUUUAGGAAUUAAGUUACAUAGUAUGACAUGACUUGUGGGUUCUGAAAUUGAAUUGUUUCCUUACUCUAUAUACGUUUUAUGAGAGUGAAGUUGUGCAAUACGCCAUAACUUAUUAUGCUUUUUACAAUAUAACUUGUGGAAUAUUAUAACGUGAAAUAAAAAGUUUUAGAAAAAUAAUGAAGUUCUAACUUUAUUAUUCUAAAUAUAUUUUAUUUAGAUAUUAUGAUUACGUGUUUCAACAAUAUAUUUCUUCUAAUAAUAUUCCGAAAUACUAUUUUCACCUACUAGUAGUAAAGUUCUAGCUAAGUUUUUUACUAAUUUGAUCCGGAAAAAAAACUCAAAAGUCAUGCAUUUUAUAAAUUAAAUAUAAUAAUUUAAUUUUAAAAAAUAUCACAUGAACAAAAUUAAAUGUAAUGUGGCAGAUGAAUCAUGUAACCUACUCUCUUUAAUGAGAUCAUGCAAAAAUAUACUCCCUCCAUUUCAAAUUAAUUGAAUUGUUAAGAUAUUUUUUAUUUUUCAAAUUAAUUUAAUUGUUCAAUCUUCAAGACUAUUUUUAGAAUAUUCUACCAAUUUUACCCUUCAUUAGUUAGUAUUGGAAUUAAUUUUUAUAAUUAAUAUUUAGUUACUUUAAUCAUAAAUUUGACAAUAAUUAAUAAGGAUAAAAAUGGAAAGUUAUACAUAAUUUAUGUCUUAAUCUUCUUUUUUAAAGGGUGUGAAACACCUCAGCAAUUCAAUUAAUUUGAAAUGGAGGGAGUAUGAAGUAGCCAAGUAAUUAGAAGAUAAUUAAGACUAUUGAUAAUUUAAAUAUACUAACUAAUAAUUCCUACCACAUUAAAGGAGGUCUUUAGGUAUGUUGCCUAUUUAAUAUUGUGGCGUGCACUAUUAGAAUUAAUAAUUUACGUUAUUUGGUUUAAUUUUAGAUUUAAAAAAUAAUAAUUGAAUUAUUUUUUUAUGUAUGUAUGGUCAUAUGGAGUUAUCAUUUUUGUCCCUUUUUUGUUAUUGUUUUUUACUAGGACUUAGUUUAUAUUUUAUGUUUGAACAUAUAAUUGGUGUAUUUUUAAGUAUUGUGUUUUAAGUUUCACUUGUGAUUUAUUUUAGAAAUGUAACGACCUAUUCCAGUCGUUAUAGAAAUGCCAACGGGAGAAAAUUUGGGGACGGAAAACUUUUUCGUAGUAUUUGAAUUUUCCCAACCUAAUCCAGAUUUGGACAAAAUUGGAGUCUUUAAGGUGUAGGGAAAUCUAGUAACAACCGGGUGAGUUAAUUGUGAUUUUGAUUACAUAAGUAGUUAGAUAACUCGUUAAGGAAUCCAUACGACUUUACGAAAUUGAAUUCGGGCGAGUAGAACUCCCGAAAUCGAUCUUAGCGUAAAGGGUAUUUUCUGAGUGUCGUUGGUUAGAGGUGUGUUGUGAAAUAAGGAUUUUGGAAUUCUUUAAAUAGCUCUUUGUUUCGUGCAACCCGCCUUGGCGGGGAUUUUGGUCUCUUUGGCGAUGCUGCUAUAGCGGGGUGGUGGCCGCUGUGGCGGGCCAGACGCGACUUAAAGUCGUAAAUAAACCCCUAAACGACCUUAUUUGGCACUUUCGGGCCAGACGCGACUUAAGUGAUCGUCGUUCGAAUUCAAGUGUGAGCGAAUUCUUCCGGGCUGCCAUGAGUUCUCCUUUUGUCUAUGUCCAUAUUUCGAACUUAGACUAUGUUCUAAUUAGUUGAUUAGUUCAUUAGAUUGGAGUUGCAUCCUUUCUUGUUUAGACUUGUUGAACUUUAGAUGUUUUGGUACAUUGACUUUUAGGUUCUAGGCAUUACUUCUGCAUUGUUAGUUUAUUAUUGUUAGACUUUUGUUAGAGUUUAUGAGAAUUCUAUUUAUUUACUUAGUAUUUAACUUGCUUCCGUAACUUAAAUGUCUUAGUUUUGGUUUAGUUGUUUGGUUUGAGUUGUAGUAGUGGUUCUCCCACUGGAGAGUUAGUGUGGGUGUCAAUCACGAAGGUCUGGAUCGUGACAAGAAAGUAAAUUUAAGAGAUUCAAUAUUUGUACUAUUUCUCCUUGUACUUAUAGUUUUUCAAAUUACAAAAAUAACUUUUAUUAUGUUGUUAAUUAUUGACAUAAUCAAAUAACCAAACCAAAAAAAUCAAAUCGAAAAAAGAAAAACUAAACCAAACAAAAUAAACUUAUUUUUAUUCAAAUUGGGUUAUACUUUUUCAAAACCAAAAAUUAAAAAGUCCAAACCAAACGGUACAAAAAUGAACACCCAUAAUUCAAAUUCACAUUGUAAUAAUUAGGAUCACAAAUAUGCCUAGACAAAUAUUUAAAGAAAAACAUUAUUUCGUUUGAUUUGAUAUGAAAUUUUAAUUAAAUAUGAAAAUCUCGUAAUAUCUAAAGGUACUCUCGGAAAGAGUAAAUCUUUAUUGACUUCUUGUCAAAUAAGUGAGAGUCAACAUGAAUAAAAUGUUGAUACAGUCAUUACAUAUUAAUCAAAUAUGUCAUUAUAUUUUAAACCGACUAAAAAUAUAUAUUAUAAAUUAUGACAAAAAAAAAGUAUAUGAUAUUGUAAAUGUAUGUAAAAAAUAAUUCUAUAUAUUACUUACUUAUCAAACUAAAAUAAACUACACAUUAAUUUCAUAGUUUCUUCAAUUACGUGAAUAUGGACAAAUGUAUAAAGUCAUGGAUGCUAAAAAUGCACUAUUUUACGUGUCACUCUUAUCUCUCUCUACCUAUACCUAUAUGACUUGAAACCUAUCCAAAAACUUUUUUUUAAAAAAUGGUUUCAUAUCUUCCACCUAUUCAUUAUAUAUAUAUAUCGAUUAUUGAAGAUGACUCCUUUCUUUUUUUCAUUCCGUCCGACAAUUAUAUUGAGAUUCAAUUAAAUUAUCUACUGCAAGGUUCAUUUCUAAUGAAGUGCUUUUCAUAUGAUUUUCUUUUUCAUUCUAAGCGUUUGAAAUUAAAAAGUUUGAUGAACAAUAAAUUAAUUUUAACUAUCUCACUACGAUUCAUAUCGAUAAAAAUGUGACUCUUUUUUAAAACAUGAGAAAAACAAGAGUAUAUAAUCGACGGUGAAAACAAAGCUAGGUGCUAAGACAAAAUUAUUUAUGUCACCUAAACAUUGGGAAGGAACUAAGAAGAUAUAUCUAGCUAGAUGAAGACUUUGAUAAAAUUCCAAUACCAAAAGAAGUAUUAUUUUAAAAAAUAAAUAGAUUGGGGUCAAUUUAUUUAUGUAUUAUUUGAAAUUGAGCAAUUUUGUUUUCUCGUUAAAAUUUUGAUUUUAAUAUUACUAUUAUCCUUAGAAAAUAAUCUCAUAUUGCAUUAAGUUUCCGGAGUUUUCACUCUAAGUAUAAUUAAAAGUUAAAAAAUAAAUUUAAAAUUAUGUUAAUAUUAUUUGAAGAAUUUUAAUACAUUGAGUUUAUUUAUUUCACAAGUACUUUCAGUACAUGUGCAAUUAAUAAUCUGAACUUUUUCUUUCUUUCUUUCUUUAAGUUAAGACUCUUUUUCAUUCUCUUUAUUUAUUUAUUUUGGUUAUAUAUUUUAUUUAUUUAUUUAAUGUAGGUGAAUAUAGUAGAAAAAAAGAAUUCAAAGUUGUCAAUUAGAUGUUUUAGAGAAUAAAAAAAUGUAUAUAAAUAGUGACAUAAGUUUCUAUCAAUGGAUAUUAUAAUGCAAAAAUUUAUAUGUACAGCGGCCAAAAAUAUUAUUCAUAGGAAUUUGGGGCGCAUUUAUUUUACAACCAAAAAAUUGGUAGGGGGGGCAGAGUAUUAAAUUAAAUUCAUAUGUUCAAAAAAAUGUGGGGGAAGGGGGGUGGACCUGAAAUUAAAGAGAAUAAGAAAAGGAAAAUUGUAUACCUAUGAUGAAAAUAUUUGAUUGGGAGCGUUAUCUUCAAAAAUGAAGUAACGUGUGAAUUUGGUUAGUUUUGACAUUAAAUAGUAAAUGAAAAAUAAAAAAUAAGAUAACAAUUUUAUCAACGAAUAACACUUAAUUUUCAAUAAAAAAAUCAUACUUACCUAGAAAAGAUAUAUAAAUGUAUAAAAGGUUGAAGAAGUUAAGGCUAUUAUUGGUUCCUGAAAAAAAAAAAGGUUGCUAUUCGUAGAAUAAGCAGAGAUAUUAGAGAUUAAGAACAACAAUAUAAAAAUAAGAGAAACAAUAGAAGAUAAGUUUUAUUUUCUUUUUUCAAGUAUAUAAAACGACAUUCUUAAAACUUUUUUUUUUUGGAAUACAUUAGGGAAUAUCAAAAGAUCUCAUAAUUAUGAUUUAUGAUAUUAAUCUUCACAAAGGAGGUGAUGGUGUAACCGUGUAAGUAUUACAACUCAUAAGGAGGAAUUAUACUCCUUCCUUCUGUUCCUUUUUAGUUGUCGUGUUGUAUAUUUGAAAGUCAAUUUAAAUAAUUUUUAAAGUUAAAUUAAAUUACAUUAAUUUGAUAUUUUAAAUUAAAGAUUUAGAUAUUCAAAAAUUAUCCAAAAAAUAUUAUAAAUUACAAGUUUUUGCAUACAAUAUAAUAAAAAAAAUACAUCGUAAAAUACUAAUCAAUUUUUUUAUUGUUUGACUCUAAAAAAAAGAAAAAUAAUGGAGGUAAUUAAAAAUUAUGAAUAUCCAUAAUUAAGAAAUAAUAAUAUUUACAAUGAUUUAAACAGUUGAAAAAAUUUAUUUUUGAUAAAAAAUUAUUAUUAGAGUAAGAAAAGUCUAGAUGGUCCUCAUUGGCUCCUCAAAAUUAAAAAAUAAAUAAAUUAUGACAUUAUUAUUAUUAUUAUGCAAAUUUUGACCUCUUUCGAUCACUUAAUUAAUUCUACUCAUAUCCCUAAUAAAAUAUGAUAAAAUCCAAAUUUAUGACUAUGGUCUUAUUUACUUAUAAAUAAUAUACACACUCACAAAAAAAAAUGCAUAUCAACUUCUCCCUUUGAGCCUCAUUUAUUAUCACAAUCCAUUUAACCAUUUUUUUGUUGAAGAAAAUUAUUAUCAAUGGCAAAUUUGAUUUCAAAAUCAACAAAAUUUAACCAUUUUCUUCUAAACACAAGGGUUCGUUUCUUCUCACCAUUUACAACUUCUUCCGGCAACGGAGGUGGUGGUUUUAUUAAGCCGACGGGGAGUUUUUCCGGCGAGUCUGCCACCAUUUUUCGGCCGGAACGUUACCAGUCCGGUAAAGCUGGAGAGCAGCUAGAUACAAUUGACUAUGAAGAAGUUGAAAAUCAGGUAAUGUUUUUUACUAUUUCCCUCCGAUAACUUUUUAGCGACAUAAUCAGAAAUUUAUAUCAACGAAAAAGAACUACUAUUAAAAUGUCAUAUUUGGAAUUUAAACAUGUGAUCGAUCGAAACAACUUUUGAAUUCCUAAUUUACUAAAAAAAUCAUUUUUUUUAAUAAUCGUAAUGUUUAGUUAAAUUUCUGCACACUUUAAUUUGUUUUACUAUAUAAAUAUCAAAUAAUUAUAUAUAUCUAAUAAAAUUGGAAGAUGAUAAGGAGUUAUAUAGUAGUAUUAGUUUUGACGGUAGAAUUUGAAUUCGAAAUCUUAGGAACUUUAAUAGAUUCUAAGUUAAAAAGUUUAUUUAAUUUUAAAAUAAUAAUAAUAAUGAAAAAAAUCAUAAUAAUAAUUCAAGAAAGUUUGGUAUUAGACGAUUUGAACAAAUGUGACUCACCAUCACCAUGACGUGUUUCAUUUUGAGAUGUUUGAAAAGAAGUUUGGCAUUUAUCCAAGAAAACAAAAUAAUUACAUUUGCCAAGUGUAAGCGUUAGAUCGUUUGAUAGGUGAAAUAAGAAAGUAUAAUUUUAGUAUCAAAUACAUUAGAAUUAUUUUACCUUAUCAUUUAAUGAUAGACAGUGAAAUAAGUUAUCUCAUAUAAAUAACGAAAUAAUAUACUCUUUAUAAGCUAUGUUUUUCUUUUACAAAAUUUAGACUGAUGUUUUUUAAAUGUAAAUUUAUGAAUCAAGUUUUUUAUUUAAAAAAAUUAAAAUCAUGAUUUGAAAUUUUAGAUUUAUGGCCCCAAAUUGCAUAUUCAGACACUAAUUUAAAACCAUAACUUUAUAUCCCUUUAUAUGAUAUGUCCAAACGCAAACUUAAGAAUACUAAUUUGUUAAUAGACUUUAAUUCCCAAAAGAGUAGUUACUCUUUUAGUUAGGUUAGACUUUUAUGAAAUCGAUUUUAAUUGUCUUUAUGUAUACAAUAAAUUCAGUUGUCAGAUUGUUAGGUAAGAUGUUAUUAAAUCAUUUUUAUUCGUCUUUAAUUCCGUAAAUACUUUAUCUUUUUUUUUUCUAAUUUGGGUAAGGAAAAUGGAAAAGGGAAAGAGGUUGCCAAAUAGGGAAUAUAAUAUUUACUGUCAAACAGCCAAUUAAUUGAGCUACUAAGUUUUUUUUUAGUUCGGUUGAUAAUAUUGCAUGCUUUUCUUUUUGAUUUAUUUAUUUAAUUCUAACUUGAUACUGUGUUUAAGAAAAUAAAGAAGAAAUUUUAACUGUAUAAUCUUAAGCUAAAGAUAUGAGAAUGUAUUAGAAUAUUUUAAAUAUUUUUUUGUGGUCUUAAUAUAUCCUAUGAAAAGUCGAAAUUAAAAAUUACCAAAAAAAUGAGAUAUUUGUAAAAAUAGAACAAGAAAAAAUAACUUGACGGAUGAUAUUAACCAGUCAAGUUAUUUUUCUUCUAGAAAUUUAACAUAAAAUAGCUAAAUUUUCUUCUAAAUCAAAUAUAUAAUCACCCUUUCUCGACGUCUCCGUCAUGUGUAGGCAGCCAUGUGAUACAUGUUGUUGUUGUUACACUUGUCAGUGGUGAACACUACAAAACAAUGUCUCCUCUUAUGUUUUAACCUAUUUUGACAUAAGUACAAUUAUUUUUUAAAGAAUAGUAACUUUUAAUUUUAUUUCAAAAAUAGUAUUGGACAGUUUAUCUCUUGAUUUUCUAAACUGAACAAGUAUUGUUAAACAAUUAUUUUUAAUAUAAUGGACAAGUAAGGAUAUACGACUAGUACCUGGUUAUUAAAAUUUAAAAUUUUGAAAAAGUGUUUUGUUUCCUUUUUUUUUUUUUCUUCUCAAAAACUUGUACAAUGAUCCAAAAGAAGGUUAUGAGAAUUUUUCAUUUUUUUUUUCGAAAAAUUUACUUUAUUCUAUAUAUAGUUUCCUCUUCUAGUGUCUCAAUUCCAUGAACAUUUCCUUCUAGUUCUUGAUGAGUAGAGCAUCAAGAAAAUAUAAAAAUAAAAACUUAAAAUUUUACUACUUCAUAUAAUAUGAUGGGAUUCCUCUUCUCCAAUUGUAAACAAACUCAUAGAAUUGUUCGUAAAAAACACUUACACUUGUUGGUUUUUCAUCAACAAGACUUUUAUCAUUGAAAGAACAAUCUUCUCUGUUUGCUGAAAAUGACGAUGAUUUUCAGGUUAUUAUCAUUUCAUCAAGUUUUAUUUGUAACGACACGUACAAUGAUGAUUCAUGUAAUUGUUGGAAUUGGCAGGUGAUGGAUUUUCCUGGUGGAAAAGUUCCAAUUACUUCUCAAAUGAAGUUUAUUUCGGAGUUGUCUGAAAAGAGAUUACCUUGUUAUAGAGUUCUUGAUGAUGAUGGUUAUCCACUUCCAGGGACAAUCUUUGAGGAGGUAAUUUCAAAUCUCAUUUCUAUUGAAUUGAAAAAGAAAAAAAAAUGAAUUGAAAUUUGAUGCAUUUAUUUGGUUAGGUGAGCAAAGAAUUGGCAAUAAAGAUGUAUAGUUCAAUGGUGACACUUCAAACUAUGGAUACCAUUUUUUAUGAAGCACAAAGACAGGGGAGGUUGUCUUUUUAUCUCACAACUGCUGGAGAAGAAGCUAUCAACAUAGCAUCUGCUGCUGCUCUCUCCUUAGACGACUUCGUGUUACCUCAGGUACUUUUUUGCUAUUAUUAUUGUUAUUCAGAGACGAAUUCAAGAUCGUAGGUUCAAAAUAAGUGUAAUCUUUUUAUACGUUGUAUGAGCUGAAAGCAAUGAAUUUGGCACUUUCUUGUAUCAUGUUUAGUAGCAUUUUUUUGGUUAUAUUUGUUCUAAUAGAUUUUAACAAUAGUUUCAUGAUCCUACAACCGGGAAAUGAUGUAAUUCAAUAUGUUGUUGUACAUUGCAGUACAGGGAAGUAGGGGUUAUAUUAUGGCGCGGUUACCCCUUGGAACAGGUUGCCAAUCAAUUGUUCGGAAACAAGUUUGAUUAUGGAAAAGGAAGGCAAAUGCCAUGCCACCAUGGUUCUAAUGAGCUCAAUUACUUAACUGUUUCUUCGCCAAUCGCGUAAGAAUCUCAAAGUUUUUAGCAUUUUCCCUUAAGAUUCAGGAUAUUCCAUCUAAACAAUUUUCUGCUCCGAAUUCCAUUUUCAUCAGAACACAGAUUCCUCAGGCCGUGGGCGUUGCUUAUUCCCUCAAGAUGGAAAAAAAGGAGGCUUGCGCGGUCACUUACUUUGGAGAUGGCAGCACCAGUGAGGUAAUUAAACUAAGCAAAAUAACGCGAUUUUUAGGCAUAUUCUACGUCAAUUGGCUGAUUUUUUCAUGAUGUAAUUUGCAGGGAGAUUUCCAUGCUGCAUUAAACUUUGCAGCGGUACUGGAUGCUCCUGUUGUCUUUAUAUGCCGCAACAAUGGAUGGGCCAUUAGCACUCCUAUAAACCAACAAUUUCGAAGUAUUUUCCUAAAACUCAUUUGAUAUACAAUGCACCUUUUACUAGUAAUUUUCUCCAAGGUAGAUUUUCUGAUGUCUUGUUAUGUCAGGUGAUGGAAUCGCCUCUAAAGGACAAGCGUAUGGUAUUAGAAGCAUUCGUGUAGAUGGCAACGAUGCCUUGGCAACUUAUAGUGCUAUUCGUGCAGCUCGCAAAAUGGCAAUUAAGGAACAAAGGCCAAUAUUAGUAGAGGUAAAAACUCACAUCAGAGUUCAAGUUACAACACAAUGUUGCAAAAUCUGGACUGAAUCUUGAAAUUGUUAAAACAUAAAUCACUCUUAUAAGUACUAGCUUGACAUUCUUUGUGUAACUUUUAGGCCAUGACAUACAGAGUAGCUCACCAUUCAACAUCUGAUGAUUCAACCAAGUAUCGACCCGUGGAGGAAAUCGAACACUGGAAAACAGCAAAAAGUCCAAUAGCAAAAUUCAGAAAAUACAUUCAAAGAAAUGGCUGGUGGAGUGAUGAAAAUGAAUCCAAACUUCGCGGAGACAUCAGAAAACAGGUUCAAUAUUGGCAGAACAACAUUGAUCUUCAUCUGAUAUCUGCUAAAUACUUAUAAUGUUUUGUUUCUUCUUCUUGAAUCAGGUGUUGGAAGCUAUUCAAGCAGCAGAGAAGGUGGAGAAACCUUCAUUGACAAAUUUGUUUACAGAUGUUUAUGACAAAAUGCCAUUAAAUCUUCAAGACCAAGAGAAAUCUGUUAAGGAUGCUGUUAGAAGAUUCCCAAAAGAAUAUCCUUCUGAUGUUCCUAUAUAAGCUUAUAGUGUUUUAUGAUUAGGGGCAGAGCUACAGCUUCACAAUUACUUCAUUUGUGUUUAAAUAUUCGCGUUAUAUGUAUAAUUAAUUAGUAAACUCUUAUCUUCUAGAAUUCAAAACUCAUAAACUCAAAAUCCCAACUCCGUUUCUGAAUAGCUAGCUAGAAUGCAACUCUGAAAUUGCCAAAGUUCUAUAAAGUUAUAUAUAUAUAUAUAAAAAUAUCUACAUUAAAAACAAAAGUUCUGAAACAAAUGCUUGACUUCAUCUCUCGUCUAGUAUAUGUUAAUGGUAUUAACUUUCUCUCUGUUGAUGGCUUGAUUUUAUAAUGAGUAUGUUAUAGUUAUUCAAUUUGUAUAUGUCAAUUAAGAAAAAUGCAUUUGAGUAUACUCUAUUCUCUUUAGAUACUACUUAAGAAAUUUCACUGAAUUAUUGUUGUGAUUGAUUAUUAAUAGUGGAUUUAUUUUGGAAAACAAAAUUUUCAUAUUAUCUAGUGAAAAACACAAGUCUACUACUAUUAGAAUGACAUAUCAAACAUUGUAUUUAAAAGAGAAAAUCUUUUAUUUUUAUAUAAGAUACUUUUUAUAAAGACAUAAUAAUAAAAAUUAUUGGUCAUCUAACUCUAAUUCUAUUAAUGAAAUUUAUAUAAGAAAUAUUUGAUGAAUAUUUUAUAAUUAUAAUUUUAAUGCAUAUUAUUUUAUUUGUUUGACAAAAUUUAUUUAAAAGAAACUUUUGUAAAUUAAUUAGUGCAUUAUGCAUAGCGCAAAUAUAUUUUUGAGUAAAGUUUAUGUUUAGCAAACAUAAAAAUCAUAUUUGUAUGCUAUAUAACUAUAGUUUGCAUAUGCAUCAGAUUUGUAUAAAUCGUUGGCAGCCUCUCGUUUGUAUAAAGCGCAACGAUUGUAUAUGUAUAUCGGUUAGAUAAUUGUAUAUAUGUAGCUACUAUGUAUAUGUAUCAAUGAUUGUGUUUGUAUAUCUGCAUAAUAUUUGAAUUUGUAUACGAUUGAAUUGAAAUAAAACAUUUGUAUAUCAAAUUUCUCUCUCUCGCUUUAUACAACACAAAGUAUAGAUUGUAAUUUGUAUAAUUUGUGUUUGUAUAAAGCGAGAAAAAGAGAAAGGGAAAAGAAAAUUGGUAGAUGAAGAUAUGUAUUUGUAUAAUUAUAAGUGUACAGGACGAAAAUAUAUGUAUUUGUAUUUGUAUAUAUAAUUUUCUCUCGCUUUAUACAAACACAAACACAAUUUAUACAUUUGUGUUUGUAUAAAGUGAGAGAGGCAAGGGAGAGUGGGGAACGAGAUCUAGGAGAGUGGGGAGCGUGAUUCGCUGGAGAGAGAGGCAAAUGAUAACUGUUUGCUACAAAUUACAAUUAAAUGAAACUGUGUUAUAACAUUUAAUUUGAAUUAAUAGUUUGCUAUUUUAUACAAUUUUCCCUAUAUUUUAUAGUAUCAAAAAAUGAGGAAAAAGAAGAAGAAAUAUCAUUGUUAAUUAUCGAGAUGUGUUACAUCACUUUAUCUAUUCCUAACUUUGUAUUAUAUAUAAGAUAUAUAAGCACAAACCUAAUAAAUAUUACUAAUACAAUCUCAAUUUAUAUGACACUGAUAGAAUUUUAAGAGUUAAACAAAUUUUUCUUUGAUCAUAAUUUUUAAAACUAAUUUAAGCUAUUAAUUAUUGUGAUUCAUAGUACUUUUAACAUAAUUUGUAAAUAUAUAAAUAACUGAAAAUGCCUUUACUCCAUUAGUUCCUCUAUUUCAAUUUAUGCGACACAAUCAAAUAUUUUUUUAAAAUAAUUGUAAAGAAUAAGAAGUGGUGGAUCAAUUUUCAUAAGUUUAGUGAAUAAUGUGAAAUACUUAUACAAAUAAAAAUAUGGAAGAAACAAGAAAAUGUAGGAUCGUUUGUGUACUUGGCUAGUCAAGCAUGGCAUGAUCUAUAAUUAUAUACAUUUUUAGGCUUAUGUUAUCAAGAAAUAGAGAAAUAAAUCUCUAUGCAGUAUUAAUCCAAAAUAAUCGAGCUUUAAUACAGAUAUCGAUCGAAGAAAAAAGGAAAUAGCUAUACACACAAAAAAUUUAAUUGCCGGCCCAAAACUAAUAGUAGUAGUAAAUAUUUUUUCAUGAAAAUAAAAGAUUGAAAUACAUAUAGAUGAAAAUGGAGUUGUGUUUCACAAGGAUUGAGAAGAAUAAAAGAUAAGAGAAGAGGACGUAUGAGCUAAUCGAAGAAGAUGACAUCCAAUAUUCAUUUGCUAAAACCCUCUUUCUCUCCUCCUAAAACCCUACCCAGAUACUCUUCAUCUCCAUUCACCGCUUUCAAUUUCCACCUAAAACCUCGCCGGAAUUCCCUCUAUAUUGGCUCAAAGCCCUUCAAUGUCUACCCUUGUAAAGCUGCUGCCUCCACUUCCAGUUCCAAUUCUAACUCUGCUGGUGAUGAAACUGAAUCAGCUCAGCAGCUGUUUGAGGUUAGCUUUCUCUCUCUCUUUUUUUUUCUUGAAUGAUGUGGUUUUGCGCAUGCUUGCAUUGAUGUAGAUGGGAAGAAUUUUUAUAGUUUUAGAUUUUUUCAUGCUAAUUUGCUGAUUGGUAGGUGUAUUAAGUGUAUUACCUUGGCUUUGAAGGUUAAAUUUACGGAAUUUGAUAAUCGAAUUUUUGCUUGCUGCCGAAACAUAAUACUUUUAACAAUUAGUUAACUUAGGAAUCCUAUUAGGGUGAUGGAGAUUGCAUGAAUUGUUUUGUUGAAUGAAUUCCAUGGAACUUGAUACAGAGUUAUUCCUUUUGGUUACCGGAUACUCUAGUUGGUUGCAGAAUUUUUAUCUGUUUAUGGGAAUUUAUUGAACAAUCUCAAGUAUGAUUAUGAUUCCUGAGAUAACCAUAUUUUGCAUUAUUCGGAUUAGAAGUACGUGGUAAAACAAUUAAGGGUUAACAACAACUAAAUAAUUAUGACUUGUUACUUCAGGUUACAUACAGGAAAUUUGUUUUAAUGCUAUGAUUUGUUUAAUGGGAUCUCAGAAACUGAAGGAGGCAGAGCGUGAAAGGAUAAAUAAUUUAGAGGAGUUUGAAAGAAAGGCAAAUGUUCAAUUAGAGAGGCAGCUUGUGCUGGCUUCAGAAUGGAGUAGGAAAUUGCUGGCCAUGCAGGGAAAGCUGAAGGGGACAGAGUGGGAUCCUGAAAAUUCUCAUAGGAUAGACUACAGUGAAUUCCAAAACCUUCUGAAUGCAAACAAUGUGCAGUUUAUGGAGUAUUCGAACUACGGACAGACAGUUUCAGGUUAACUAUUCUCUAUGUGUUUCUUACUUUCAUUUUGUUAUGAUGCUUGAUUGAGCUUUGUACACCAUAUGUUAAGCAAUAGAAGGUCUUCCUGCGAUUGAGCAUCAUAACAAAUUAAAAGAAUUUAUUUCUAGGUAGCAGACAACUUUUCCGUCCAAUACACAUGGUGAAAAUUGGGUAAGUGUGUGUGGUUGGAGCACUUCUUGUACGGUUGCACCUCCCAAGCAAAUUAACAAAUCACCCAACUAAACUAUUGUGCAUGCAUUUAGGUAAAAGGUUACAAAUUUAAAGAAUAUGAUUCUAGGUAUUAGUACCUUUGGGGAUCUCCGAUAAAAUUCUAGGUACUGAAAGCUUUGGAAGUCAUUGUUACUAUCUAUUGUUAAUUUCUGACAAUAUCUAACCUUAUCAACUUAGUUAUCACUUAUCAAGAUGUUUUUUCUCUAGGAAUCAGUUAUGCAAUAUCUAAUAGAUGAUAUCUUACCGCAUUCCCAAGUUUGUUUAUUUGGUUUCCGGUUUAUUUGUAGUGAUUCUUCCAUAUUACAAGGAUGGAAAAACAAAUCGUUCAGGAGGGGACACUAAAAAGGAAAUUGUUUUCAAGCGUCAUGUCGUUGACCGGAUGCCAAUAGAUAGAUGGAAUGAUGUUUGGAGGAAGUUGCAUCAACAACUUGUAAAUGUUGAUGUGUAUAAUGUGAAUAACAUCCCUGCUGAAGUUUAUUCUACUGUCGCGACAGCAGGUGUGUGGUCUAUGCGGCUGGCACUUUCAGUUCUAUUGUACAUUUGGAUUGAUAAUAAGAUGAGACCAAUUUAUUCAAAAUUAAUACCUUGCGAUUUGGGCAGCCCUCCCAAAAAGAUAAAAGAGCCACUCAAGCAGCGUGCCCUUGGUUCAUUAGGAAAAAGCCGGUAAUUGAAAACUUUCACUGCUUGUUAUAUAUGUUUAUUGACUGUAAACUUCCUUUCAAUUUUGUAUGUUCUAGAGAAGUUGGAUUUAUACCUUUCCUCGCAUUUUAUCAAGUUUCAUCUUUGUCACUGUAAAGCUUGAAAUUAUGUAUGUUUUGAAUCAGAUGGGUUUUACUGUGAGCUUUGAUAGGAGUAGUUGUCCUUUAGGACCAAUUUCCCUGAUAACUUUGGACUUAUCUAUGAAAGUGAAACACCCGAAAUGCGGCACAAGCUCAAAGUUCAUAUGUAUGUCUAGUUCACAUGGGUAGAAUUUAGCAACAAUGUGGCAUUUGGAGUAGGGGAUAGGAGAAGAGUAAAAUUUUGGAGGUAUAAGUGGUGCGUGGAUAAUGCUUUGAGCAUUACAUUCCCCAACUUAUAUAGCAUUCAAGCCGAAAGGAGAUGAUAAUCUAGCGAGUUUGGAGAUUACAAGAUGGGGAGGCUAUUGGGAUUUGCAGUUCAGGAUUUUUUUUUUUGAAAUAGGAAGAGCUGGAGUUCCUAAGUUUGUUCGAGUUGUUGCAUAAACAAGGAUGCUCACCAAAGGGACAUGAUGUAUGGGAAUGGGGUUUGGGGAACAAUAGAGACUCUUAUGCCAAAUCAUUUUAUGAGAAGCAGCCAUGCAGAAGGGGGCCGUCAGAUCGUUAGAUCUGGAGUUCUCGCAAGGCCAGGCGACCAGAAUUCCAGUUUCGGCGAGCUGGUUUAUGUAAAUCUAGGGCUGAAGGGAACUUGUUCCGACUUUUUGAAGGGUGACGGCCACUCUAGGUUGCUGGGCAAACCGGAAUGGAAGUGGUUCUGGGGUUGGUUCACCUCCGGCGACCUCGCUGGAGCCAAAAAAUGUCUUGGAUCCGGCUAGAAAUUUUAGAUCCUGAAUUUUGAACCUGUUUUACUGGUUCCAACUCCAUUUUUGCUUCUACUAAGGAAGAAAGGACUGCUAGUCAUGUUUUUGGUAACUGUUAACUGUUUUUGGGUACUAAACAUGGCUGUUAUGAUGUUCAGGAAGAUGAUGUGUUGUCAUUAGCAUGUUUUGAGGAAGGUAGAAGCUUGAUUAGUAGGGAGGGAGAGAAAUACUUGAUGUUCGGGGAAUUUUUGGGAGUGGUCUUUGAAGGGAAGGAGGGUAGGGUGUUAGAACUCCUUUGGGACAUUGAAGAAGAGGCAAAAUGGGUUAGAGAAAAGGAGAUUGUUGACGUGAGGGUGGGUAAGGAAAGUAGCUUGCGGAAGGAUAAAAGGGAGAAGGUAACUUGCUGGAGUACAAGAGGAGAGGUAGGAGUAGGAGUCAGAGUAGGGGUAUAGGAGAUUGGAGGACUGCUGGUGAGGGUAAAUUUUAACCUACUGGUGUUCAAGAGGAGAUGUAGGAGUAAGAGUGGGGGUACAUGAGAUGGGAGGAUGUGUGUGAGGGUAAAGUUGUUGAUUAUGGAAGUAAAAAUUAUUUCUUAGAAUGUGAAGGGGGGAUGAAUGACCCCAAUAAGAGGGCUAUUACUAAAAUGGGAGUAGGGAGUUGGGAGGGGAGGGGGGGACUUUUGUGCUUUUAAGAGACUAAAAUGGAGGUGGUGACAGAUGCGGUGGUGGAUGGGUAAAAUAUGAUUGGGUUUCGGCAUUAGGGAAUGCAUGGGGUAUCAAAGUUUUUGGGGAUGACAGAAAAUUGGAGGUGAUGGAGGUAAGUAAGGGGGAGUUUAUGAUCGCAGUGCGGGUAAAAUCUUGGGAAGUAGUGAGGAGUUAGGCUUCGAGGGAAGGGGGGUGUACGUUCCGGUGGGGAGGGAAGUAAAGAGAGUUUGUGGGAAGAUAUAUCCACUAUUAUGAUGGGUUGGGAGGUCCCUUGGGUGUUAGGAGAGGAUUUUAGCACUAUAAGAUUUUAUGAGGAGAGAGUGGAUUGCAAGAGUGAUCUCUAGGGCGAUGGAGGAGUCCUUAAGGUUUGUUGAUAACCAAUAUCUUAUUGAUCUUCCUUUGACAGGGCCACAGGGGCAAAUUUUACUAGGACCAGAGCAAGUGAUUCCUCAUCAAAAUCUAGACUCGUUAGAUUCUUGGUAUCCACUGAUUGAGAGGAGUUGGUCCCAAAUAGUGGUGGCAAAUGGGUGGGUUGGGUCAAAUUUGGGCUGGUUGAAAAUGGGUCAACAUAAAAUGGGUAAUAAUUCAACCCGCCCAUAUUUGAUAUGGGUAAAAAUGGAUUGGGUAAAAUACUAGUUUACCCAUAUUUUCAUGAGUAAAUAGUACUCUACUUAAGAAUUCAACAUGGAGAAAAUAUUUUAGUCUUUUUUUAGAUGAAAAAUGUUGAAAAUGCUUCAUUUAGUUUUAUUGUAUCAUAAAAGUAAAAAAAAAAAAAAAUUUCUAACUUUUCAAUAUAAAAUAUAUUUAUGUAAUAACAAGGGGAAAAUAUUUUUAAUUUCAAAGUAAAUGAAUAGUUGCAUUUUAGGACUAAAACAUGCUUAAUGCACUUUAAGGCUUAAGCAUUGUCAAUACUAAUACGUGAUUUGCUUUUUUGACACUAUUAUUUAUUAUCCAAUAUAAAAUUAAACAAAUAUAAAAAUAUAAUUAUAAUUAACAAAAGAAAUGUACAUUUAAAAUAUAUAUUUUUGGAGGGCCAAAGACUUCACCUUUUCAAUUAUAGAGAAAAAUAAUUAGUUCUAUAGAAGAACAUAAAAAGGAAGAGAAGUUACAAUUUUUUUAGUGAUAUCAUGAAUUUUGAGUGAAUAAAAGUUAGAAGCUUAACCCAUUUGGCUAAUCCAUAUUUUACCCAUAUUUUUAUGGGCUAAAUAUGGGUAUCAACCCAUAUUUUACCCAUGUAAAAAGUCACUCACCCAACCCAUUAAAAUAUGGACGGAUUGGGCGGGUUACCAAAAUAUGGGCUCAUUUUGCCGGCACUAGUCCCAAAUGUGUUGCAAGUCUCAUUACCUAGAUUGACUUUGGAUCAUACGCCUAUCUUGCUAGAUGGGAGUAGAAGGAGCAGUUUGCGCAUUUCGUUUAGAUUCAAGAACAUGUAGCUCAGAGAACUAGAUUAUGUGGAUAUAGCAAAUAGGUGGUGGAACGGGUCUGAAGUUUUUGGGAUACUUUCUUUCUGUCUUGCUAGCAUCUCUAAAGAAAUGGGGAGGGCUUGGAGUGAAAGAUUUCAGGAUGUAUAAUGAAGCUUUGUUAGGGAAGUGGAUAUGGAGAUUCGGGAUGGAAGAGAAUGCUCUUUGGAGGGGGGCGGUGGAUAAAUAUGGUAUAAUGGAUGAUGGAUCGAGUAUAAAAAACAUUGUAACUUCGUUUAGGUAUGGUUUGUGGAGGAAUAUCAUGAAGGGGUGGGAACAUUUUUGUGGACAUAUCUCUUUCAAGGUUGGGGACGGAAGUAAGAUUAGUUUGAGGACACAUAAGUGGUGCAAGGAGAUCGAGUUGAAGGAAGCCUUUCCUAAUUUAUAUCGUGAAUCUGGCCAGCGAGAGAUGACAAUCCAACAAAUUUGUAGGUCUCAUGAGGGUGUUAUCCACUGUGACUUAAGAUUCAAAAGGAACCUAAAUCAUUGUGAGAUGGAAGAAUUUAACACUUACUUAAGAUUCAAAAGGAGCCUAAAUCAUUGUGAGAUGGAAGAAUUUCACAAUUGAUAGAGCUUUUGUAUAGCCUAGACACACCAAACAACUUAAUGGAUGUAUGGAGGUUGCAAGAGAGUGAUGAUGGCUUAUUCACCGUUAGCUCUUUUUAUAAGAAGUUGCUAGUGAGAGAGGAAGGUGCUUAUCCCCAAGACUCCAUUUGGAUCCCUAGAGCACUAAGGAAGGUUUGUUUCUUUGUAUGGUUGGCGGCAAGGGUUGUGUUAUUAACAACGGAGAAUCUAAGAAAGAGGAGAAUCAUCUAUAUUAGUUGGUGUUUCAUGUGUAAAAGGGAAGGUGAAAGUGUAGAUCACCUUCUUUUGCAUUAUAAGGUGGCUAGUCGGUUAUGGAGGGUGGCCCUUAAUUUAUUUGAGAUGCAAUGGGUCGUACCGGGUACAGUGAAGGAGGCCUUGCAAAGUUGGACUCAUAAAAGGGGGAAGGAAAACCCGAGGCUCCUGGUGCAUUGCCCCCUUAUCAAUCAUGUGGGUCAUUUGGAAAGAGAGGAAUAUCAGGGCUUUUGAAGGUGUGGAACUUGAUAUUGUAAAAAUGAAGAGUAGUGUUUUUUCCUUAGUUUCUUUUUGGUGUACUUGCGAGGUCCCAAUUUGUAUAGAGGAUUGGAUCUCUUCUGUCGAGAACCAUAUUUUGGUGUAGGUUCUCUUUUUUUGGUGUAUGGCUUGUAUAUAGGGUUCCCCCAAAUUUUAGUAAAAUUAUUUACCUUGUAAAAAAAAGAGAAGAUGUUGACCAGGGAGGAGAUUGACUAUCCUUAUGGUUCAAUUUGGAUUUCUGUGAUUCCAAGAGAUGUGUAUUUUUCUUUCACUUGCGUAGUAGCUAGAGGGGGUAAUCAUGACACCGAGAAUUUAAGGAAGAGAAAACUCUCUUAUGUAAGUUGGUGGUUUAUGUGCAAGGGCCUGGGCAGGUUAACCAUCUUCUUCUUCAUUACUGGUCUGUCUCAACUCUCAAGAUUAUGGUGGGAAACUCUGGCAUGGUUUGGAGUACAAUGGGUGAUGCCAGGCACUUUGAAAGCAAUGUUGACCAGCUGUAAUUGUGGCAGACGGAGGAAAAGACAUAGGGUUUGGAAUGUAGCUCCAUUAGCACUUAGUGGAUUGUGUGGAGAGAGAAAUAGGAGAGCUCUUGAAGGGAUGGUGAUAAAUUUAGUUUAGUUGAGGACUAGCCCUCAUCCCUUAUUGCUUUUUGGUGCACCCAUGAGAUCCCCUUAGGUAUAGAAGGUUGGAUGCCUUUUGUAGAAAAACAUUUGUUUUUGUAGAUAUUCUACUUUUUGGCAUAUCUCUUGUAUAUGGGCGUUUGUUUUUCCCAAACAUAAAUAAAAUCUUAUUACUUAAAUAAAGAAAACACUGUGCGUAUCUAAUUUUCUUUUUACCAUCUGGCAUCAGUGCAAAAUUCAUAUCAGCAGAAGAAAAAACUGGUAUAACUUUUGAUGAUUUUGCUGGCCAAGAAUAUAUUAAGAGAGAACUUCAAGAGAUUGUUCGAAUAUUGAGGAAUGAAGAAGAGUUUCAAGACAAAGGGAUUUAUUGCCCAAAAGGUGUGCUUCUCCAUGGUCCUCCUGGAACUGGCAAAACACUUCUGGCAAAAGCUAUAGCUGGAGAAGCAGGAUUACCUUUUUUUGCUGCUAAUGGUACUGAUUUUGUUGAGGUGAGAAGUACUUGCAAUUCCGACACACUUAAAUGGAGGAGUAAAUUCCAACAGCUGCAAGAUUAUUAAAUUUUCUUUAAUUGACUAUUGUUUUGGGCAACAACAUCCACUUACAGGGUUAACCACAGCAUGUAUGACUAUAUCUGCUAUAAUGGACUCCAAAAUGAAAGCUACAUUCCGGUUAUGUUUGGCAAAACCAGAUGUAUCAUUUUCCUGAUUUCCCUGCCUAUUCGAACAAUUGUUUGUUAAAGAUACCAAGGUUUUUUUACUUUCCAUUUCAAAAAAGAAUAAGAAAAGAUAACAAGGUUUUCAUUAGCUUCUGUUUCUUGAACCUGUAUUUAUUUCUUGUAAACACUUGCAAGUUUUUCCAUUUGUUUCUUUGUUUUUGUUUAUUAACCUCUAUAUAUAUAUAUAUAAACCUCAUUUCACUUUUCAAUUUUGUUUUAGCUUAUUGUCUAUAGGUCCUCUAGAUCUGAAAGAAACAUUGUGGGAUAUCUUUUUGGAUGCUAUAAUUUAGCACAGCUCGAUUGAAUGUCUUAAGUCAUUACUUCCUGCUAAUAAACUUUUCAUAAACAUUUACCUGCCUUCUGAGCUAUAUUUGCUAUGCUACAAUGCUGGAUUGUGGACCAUCAACAAUCAAUAUUAGCUUCCCCACAAAAGCAGGGAUAUACUCUAAUAUGGAUUCUUGUAAAGCAUAUAGAUGAUUCUUUGAUGGCCAGUCCUAUGUUGUGGUCUCCCUAGGCAUGAUUCAAUUGUUAAUGUCCAGAAACUCCUCAGAAAUAAUAACCUUAUGUGUGUCAGUCUUGGUAUGUAUCAGUUAGCAAAUGUAAAACAUCUAAUACGUGUGAACAUUGUCUUUACUUUCUACAGUACAGUCUCUAGGAAAAUUUACCUAACGGCUAACCUAUGUUUGGUGUGGAAGUAUUUGUUCAUCCAAUCCAAGACCUUAAGGUUAAGGGUGAAGUGACUUUGGACAUUUUUUACCCUUGCACAAACAACGAGGGAGAAGUGUAUUGUCUAAUUCCAUCCCACACGUGUACUGAAGAAGUUUUUUUGUUACUAAUACUUUUUUAAGUAAGAGAGAGAGAGGAGACUCAGUAGGAGUGAACAUGAAGUAAAGGGAGACAAAUGAGGCUCAACAUGCUAAUCAGUGUCUGCAGCAGUUUUAGUGGCUCGAUGGGUUGUAUUGAGAUAUAUAUGUGUAUAUAUAUAUAUAAAAGCCCAGAAUAGCUCCAUGGGCUGUAUUGAGAGAGAGAAGCCAUAACGAUAGAACAAGAAGAGAGAAAGCUACUGGCUUGAUGAGCCUAAAUUGAGAGAGAUAAGUCAAGUGCCAUAGAACAUGAAUGUAGAAACCGGUUGUAAAAACGAGCUCUCUUAGCUCUGAUUUCAUGGUUAAAAAGUGGACCUUCUGCUUAAAAGUUAAAUCAAUCUCAAAAGUUAGCUCUUAUGAUGUUGUCCCAGACUAUACAGGGAGAUGAUGAUGCAUUCCCUCCAAUUGGUUCUAAUACCAAUUGUUGUAGACCGAGUAUGAAAGCCCAACCCAAAAUACUAGAUGAAGAUGAUUAUAGAAUUCAACAUGGUAUCAAAUCAGCUAAGAGAUCAUAGUUCAGAUUUCUCUGCCACUCAAAAAGUGAUUUUAUCCUUCUUUUGCCCCUUGAAAAAGAAUCUAGCACAAUGUGAGGAGGCGUGUUGGACAUAAUAAUAGAGUUAUAAAAAGUGUGCUCUCUCUAAUAGUUUAAGCUUGAAGAUGAGGUGGUCACACAAUUUACUUAGUUGGGGAUUGUAAAGAGCAGGGAUUUGAGGAGUGGAAGUAAAUGUGGAAGGAGAAGGAUCACUUACCUCGAGUAUAAAGAGGAGGUGGUUAAAGUGGAUGAAUUGGGUAGUGGUCUAGUGGAUCCAUCGUCUUCUAUUCCGAAGAGCUUGUUUACUAGAAUAUUGUGUACAAGUUCCUUACUAUCUCCAUGAGAGUGUUGCGUUCUAUUUUGUAAUAAAUACACCUUGUCUUAUUCAUGCGGAAGUCUAAGGCUUUGAUAUUAUUGAAAAUGGUAAUAUUUGAGACUACUGAAUUGCCGAUUUCAAAGUGCAUGUGGGUCCAAAAAUGGUGAUAGAAUUUUCCACCUUCUUUAUAUCCCUUGCCACUAUGUUUAGGUAGACAGUUAUCUUUGCUUCUCCUUUGUGCAGUGGAGUUUGGGUGUGCUCUGUUAGUCAGAAUUCCUUGUUUGUCUGUCUGUAAUAGAGGUGCAGCAAGCAUGUCCUCAAAAUAAUGUACCCAUUCUCUAAUAAAUCAGGAUCUUUUGCUCUCCUUAUCCAACCGUGUUGGUGGCUUCAAGAAAUAUGCUCUUAACAGUCUAACCUUCAACUGUGUAACUAAAGAGAGGAAAAAUUAGUGGGAGGAAGUAGAAAAGAACAGAAGCAUGUUUCUUAAGGCCCUUAGCCUAACCUUCUAUACUUCCAUAAUAUGUGGAUACUAUCUAUGUUCGCACUCCAAUAUUUGAUUCAGGAAUUUCUCUUUUUAGUUUGGCAGCAUUUCUAGCUUCUAACCUUUCACAUCUAUGCAGAUGUUUGUUGGUGUGGCUGCUUCACGUGUGAAGGAUCUCUUUUCUAGUGCCAGGUCAUUUGCUCCUUCUAUUAUUUUCAUUGACGAGAUAGACGCAAUUGGCAGCAAACGUGGUGGACCGGAUAUUGGUGGGGUAUGAUACACAUAUUAUUCUUUUUUUUUUUCAUUUUGCAUAUUAGAAAUUAUUCUCCCAGAAGCAAUUUUCGGUUUCGAGGUAUUACUCUCCGCUGGUAAUUAUUGUAUGAAAAGAAGUUUAAGUUCAUAUGUAACUUGGGUGCAUGCAAUCUUAAGUCUACACCCAUUUGCAUAUGUUUCCAUACCCUUCUUCUAUCUCUGUUCCUACAUGUUAUUCUGUAUUUUGCUUCGAAACCCAUACAACCAACAAACCGGAAAGGAAAGAAAGAGAGGGUGAGUUUUGGGGGGCAAGGGUUUAAAUUAAGGGACGUAGAUUAACUUAAGCACAUCUAGUGGAGAGUUUAUUUUCAGGUGCUCCUUUGUGAAUUUGAUGAUCUUCUUUACUUAGACUAUUAUUCACCAUUUUUGUAUCGACAAAUGCAAUAUUAAAUUAUAUGUUGGAGACAUUAUCACUACUACAACAACAGUAACCAUAAUUCACUCCCGAACUAGUUGGAUUUGGAAAUAGGUCUGCUCCAUUGGAGCUGUUCCCUUUCAAUAACUUGUCUUUACAGAAAAAUUAGAGGUUUCCGGAUGCUGGAGGUUAUCUGCAUUACCAACAUAUAGUACUCCUCUAAACAAUCUAAAAAGAAUGGAGUCUUGACCAACACUAGACUUGAUGUAAGUGUAUCAACACUACUAACCUUUAAUCCCAACAAGUUGAUAUCGCGUAAUAAGAUCUUUUACUUAUAUUGUAAGUUUUUCUAUAGGUUGCAUGGACACUGACAUUGUAGGCAAACAACUUCAUUUCACAUGACUUUAGGUGUAUCUCAUCUCGUUCUUAACACUUUUUAAUAAUCAUAAUGUCAUACUUAUGGACCGGCAUAUUUGGAAAUCUACGUAGAAUUGCAGGUCUCACAAUUGUUUUUACAAAAUUUGCCGUUCACCAGCAUAAGUAUCUUCCUGUUGCACCCUUCUAUUCAGUCAUUCUAUCUUAUCUGUUAUACCGUUCUCCCAGAAUACCUAGUUAUAGAUAUCUGAAUUGUCUAAAUUUAGGUAUCAAUCCCGUCUAAUCUCAUUUCAAUGUCAUUCUUGUUUUGGGUAGCUAAUCUAUAAUCCGUAUAUUCUGUAUUACUUCUAAUACUAAAAUCCUUUUUCUCUAGAGUGCUUCUCCAAUGUUUCAGCUGGUUCCCUCACUAAUUUCAUUAAUAAACAUAUAUAUGGGCUGUACUGGAAUAACUUUAUAUGGUAAACGACAUGUAUUUUCUUUCUUAGGGUGGUGCAGAGAGGGAACAAGGGCUUCUUCAGAUACUGACAGAAAUGGAUGGAUUUAAAGUCUCAACAUCACAGGUACAUUGUAGUUAAGAUGAUGGUUUCCCGUAAAGAAGUAAUGAGAGCUUCUUAGGUUUGCUGUUAAUGCUGGGUUAUCAGGUCUUAGUUAUUGGUGCAACCAAUAGAUUGGAUAUUCUUGAUCCUGCCCUGCUACGAAAGGGUCGUUUUGACAAGAUUAUUAGGGUUGGUUUACCCUCAAAAGACGGUAGAUUGGCCAUAUUGAAGGUAUGUGUCGCUGUACACUAGUGAUUGACAUCUGUUAAUCUUUUGAAGAUUGUCUGUAGUUUUUGUGUUAGUAUGUUUUGUUUUGAUUCUCAUUUCAAUUCUCUCAGGUGCAUGCUCGGAACAAAUUUUUCCGGUCAGAAGGGGAAAAGGACACUCUAUUGCAGGAAAUUGCAGAGCAAACAGAAGAUUUUACUGGAGCUGAACUUCAAAAUAUAUUGUACAUAAUCCUCAACUGUAAUUCCUUUUGAUUCUGCAUUUGGGGGGACUAGCUCACACCUCCUCCUGUGCAGGAAUGAAGCUGGAAUUUUGACCGCAAGGAAAGACUUGGACUAUAUAGGACGAGAUGAACUCCUUGAGGCAUUAAAGAGGGUAGGUGCUAAAAAUUGAGAUACGCAGCAUCUGUUGUAUGUUUGAUUUAGUACAUUAUGUUCAUGUUAUACCAUUUAAUAUUACAGCAAAAAGGCACAUUUGAAACGGGUCAAGAAGAUAGUACUGAGGUCCCUGAGGAGUUAACACUAAGACUAGCUUACAGAGAAGCUGCUGUUGCAGUUCUUGCUUGUUACCUUCCAGAUCCCUACCGACCGUUCACUGAGGUUGUAUUCAUAUAAAUAUCAUAUUAGUCAAUCUUAGUAUUUCUUAAAUUUGUGACUUGCUCACAUUUGUGCCAAUUGGUUUCGAUAUAAUGACAGACGGAUAUCAAAUCCAUUCGUAGUCAGCCCAAUAUACAAUUCGUGGAGAUUGGAGGCAGAGUGUUUAAAAGGAAAGCAGAUUAUGUGAACUCAAUAGUCCGUGCAUGUGCUCGUAAGUGGGAAAUAAAAUAGUAUUUCAGUUCAAUAUUUCUGUUCUAUAAACACUUGACGUGAAUCUGUCUAUGGAUCUAUGUUUGAAAUCUCUGUUUCUCGUCUUCACUGUUCAUAUCCAACAAUGAUAUUUAAUAUAAGACAGUUAAGUGCACAAUGAUAUUUAAAGUGAACAAUGAUAUAUACUUUAAAAAACAAAUGCGCUUAAUGGGCUGAGAUCUGAAUAAUUCAGAUUCAGACUCUUGUUAAGUGCAAAUAAAUGAGUCCUAAAUCUAUGCUUUAUUGCUUCUUUUUUUUCUUUCAAAAUUGCAUAAUAUGAUCCAUAAGUCUAUUACUCUGAUAGUUGACACAAAGUUGAGUAUCUACCUUGUUAUAUACUAGACUAGACUUGUACGUCUCAUAUAGUGAAAUGACGUUUUUCUAAAGUAUGUGUUUCAAAUCGGUAAGUCACUAAUAUAAAGGAGACUUCUGGAUAUUAGACUGCAGUUUUAGCUGUACUUGUUCUCUUGUUUAUUCAUGAUCCCCUUGAGUUUGGUAUUUGCUUUGAGAAAAUAUGCACUGUUAGACAAUGAAGAUUCAAUACAAUGGCAUGAACAUGAUGCCAAGGCAAACCCAUGGAAAUACCCCUUAUGUGUACAAUAUCAAUCUGCUUAAAAGGCCACUCUUUUUGUAUCUUUGUUUUUUCCUCCUUUUCUUGGUUUGAUUCUUUCACAUGGGACACUGAUAGAUUGAAUCUGUAGCCAGAGUAAUUGAGGAAGAAAUGUUUGGAGUUGACAAUCUAUGCUGGAUCUCUGCAAAAGCAACUUUAGAAGCUUCCAGGCUUGCAGAAUUUUUGAUACUGCAGACAGGGUUGACUGCCUUGGGAAAGGCUUAUUACAGAUACCAGAGAGAUCUCUUACCAAAUGUCAGUAUAUACUAGAUCUUGUAAAUGUUAAAUCUAAUAAACGUCUAAUUUUUAAUCCAAGUUAUUGUGUUUUGCAGCUCCCUGCUAAAAUUGAAGCACUAAGAGAUGAGUACAUGCGAUAUGCCGUGGAGAAAUGCUUAUCUAUUCUAAAGGAGAACCAUGAUGCUGUAGAGACAAUUACAGGUAAAGUUGGUUAACCUUGAUUGUCUGGUCACUUUAAGUAUUGUCUUCCCUGAAUUGGCGCCGAGUCCAUGAGUAAGACUUGUAAAAUUGUGCAACUGGUAUUGGCCACUUACCGUUGAUUGGCUUAUGCUUGUGUGUCUGUUGAUCAGAUGUGCUACUUGAGAAAGGAGAGAUCAAAGCCGAUGAAAUUUGGAGCAUUUACAAAAGAUCACCUAAAAGUCCUCAGGUGAUUCUUUACUUCUCUUUCCAGUGUUUAUUAUUGACAUAAUUGAGGAAGACUAAUGCAAUUUUCUUCUUUUCUCUUCCCUCCCGAAGAAAAGGAAAAAAUUAAGAAUGAGCCUGCUUAUUUCAUUAAUAAAAUAUUUUGGAGGAUUACGGUUUGGUGGUCUUUGGAGUAGAUUUGGCGUAACUGCUUUUGUAUCGAAACUCCUGGGAUUGGGAAACAUGUUGCAUGUUUAGAGAUCUCGAACACCGGUUCCCUCAGAAAAUGCCAUUCUGUUUUCUGUCUGAGGCAUACAGGCAACCACUUCUUGCCUUUUUUCCCGAUAAAGAGAGUAGGAUUUUCGCUUCUUGCCUUUUCCCCUCUCUUGAUUCACUAGUCUGAUUUAACCUUCACGAAUCACUUCACUAUAGCGGUUUUUGAGAUAAAGCUGGUAAUUCUGUUGAUCAAAGAAUAGAACUUUGGGGAUGAAUCCCUUUCUUGACGGAUUGCCUUUACUCGUGCACAACUUUGGUGUCUGCAUGUAGAGGUUAUCCUUCUCUCUAUAUGCUUCUUAGUGUUAUAAGAUGGCUCAACAUUCAGGUAAGUCACUUUACCCGGGUGCGCACCUGGACUUGUGUCCAGGCUCUUGGGUUACAUGUUGCAUCGUAUAAGAGAACUAGCACACUGUUCAUUUGGAAAAUGCAAUGUGGCAUUGCACAAUCUGACCUACCUUAUUAUGAUUAAUUGUAGCUGUUUUUUUUUUUUUUGAUUCGCCAUUCUGCUGCUUUCAGCAUCCUAUAUAUUUGUCCAGGUAACUAGAUCAAUUGCCGCAACCCCUUCCCCCUUUUUUGGGUAGCUUAUUUCCUCACCUUUUCCAGUAGAUUUAAAUUGCAAUUGAUGUCAGGUGAGGAUUAGCACAUUGACAGGAACAAAGAGAGGAGACUCAAAGGGGGAUGUGGUGAUUCAGGGAAAGUAGGGAGAUUAGAAAGUUGAAGGCCUGUGUAGUGGUGGUGAGGGGGAGUACUGCGGAUGCUCUUAGUUAAGGCGGCUUUUUCUCCCCCCCUCUAAUACCCAUUUUCUUUUCCCAUUAUAUAACCUACUAUUAUCAUGACUCUCGGUAGCUUUGGAAGCUGCACCUUGGUGCCAAAUCCUAUUGCUGUACAUACGCAAAAAAAUUACUUGAUGGAAUAUAAACUAUUCAGGGGGCCAAAUCGCCAAUGAACAAACGUCUAUCAUGGCCUGCAGUGGGUUACAGUUCAUUCUUACAUAGUACUCUUUUUGCCUGUUAUCGUGUAAUGGCAUUUAUAUUUUUAAAGUUUUUUCUUUUGUCAGCCUACUGUGAGUCCCAUCGAUGAAUAUGGAUCCCUUAUAUAUGCUGGACGGUGGGGAGUCCAUGGAGUUUCACUUCCAGGGAGGGUGACGUUUGCACCUGGAAAUGUUGGAUUUGCAACUUUUGGUGCACCUCGACCUAUGGAGGUAAGCAUGAUGGAUGCUCUAUUUAUUGAUCUUUAUGAUGAAUACUCUAUGUAUUGAUGUCAUUUCAUGCUUUUAUGCAGACCCAGAUAGUUAGUGAUGAAACAUGGAAGCUAAUAGAUGGCAUAUGGGAUAAAAGGGUCGAGGAAAUGAAAGCUGCUGUAUCACUAGAAACUGAAGAAGAUGAGGAGAAGCCAAAACUUCUGAUGGCCAGCCAUUUCCUAUAGAUCCAAGUAUCCAAUACAGGUUAUGCCACUAGUCUCUGAACGGCAUAUAUUGUGCAGCUAUGGCUUUAUUUUGUCUGCUUCAAUUCCAUGAGGAUGUAACAUCAUCUCUGAUUGCUUGAGUUUGAAGGUCAGAUCGGGUUGACUGGUAAAGCUUGCAUUAUGCUUGGCCCCAUUUUUUAAAUAAAUAAAUGAGCAUUAUUGGACCUGAAAGUGUUAGGUGUAGAGCCUGACUUGUUCACUAAAAGCAAAGAUCAAACUGAAGUAGGUGGGCUAUUGCUUUAUCAUAAGCUAAGAGCGGACAUCCCAACUCCUUUACAUUUCUUAAACUUGAUUAUAGGAUAUUAAGUGCAUGCCUACUGUUAACUUUUUUCUAAGAAAAAGUAAGGGGCAUGCCUACUGUUAAACUUUAAAUGCCCUAAAAUAUUAUAGGGAGGACUCUACCCAUGGAUAUCAUGAAACUGUAUACAAUUCACAGAAGUAAUGCAACAUUUUAUAAAACUAAGCUUUUUGCAACUCCCUUCUAUUUUGCUUUGCUUCCCAAAAAGUGUCAGUUUCUUUCGCUUCUAGAUAUCCCAGUAUGCAGCCGAAAUUGACACGAUGAGUUCUUAGAUUUAUUAUCUAAAUCCUCUUGUGGCCAAAAUCCUCCAACUGGAAAUUUUUUAAAUGUGUCAAACAAGAACCACUUUUAAAGAUGAGCCCGAGAAAAGCAACAAAACUGAAGAAAAAAAAAAAAAAGACAACAAAAAACCAUCUUUGACUAGUGACCCAGUGAACUUAGGAAUCCACAUAAAGAUGGUAAACUAAACCUUUGGCCUCACCGAGUUGUAAGCAUGUGACUAUUCCUCAACCUUCACCUUAGCAGGAGUGAGUAACUUGCCAUUUAUGGCUUAGUUCCUGGAGAGGCAAUACAGAAACAUACUCAUCAUUAUUAUAGCACAACCAAAUUUGUUUGAGAAAUAUGUUACAUCUGUCUGUCCAAAAAGUGCUUAUGAUACUUUCCUUUUGAGAUGUCCCACAAGUUGUUCCCCUUCCUUUAGUACAUUCUGAAAUACCACAAAAUGUUUUGGUGGACAGAUUUUUCCUUCUUGUAUAGUUCUGCUGCAUGGAAAGUCAAAAUAUGAGAGACAUGUUUUUCAACAAAUAACUAAAUAUUUCUGUUUCUCUUAAUAAUUAUGCUUAGUCAAAGUGCGGCAAGCAAAUUGGAUUGGAUGGAGGUGGGGUAUUAAUCAGUGUUCCUCGUUCUGAUUGACAUAAUUGGUUGUAGGCAGGCUGUUGUACUCUUCAAUCAUUGUUUGUUCUAGAUAUAAGGAGCCAAACACUCACAUUACUCGGAGAAGCGUUUUGACAUCAGUAGCAUAUUCAGGUUUUUUGAGAUCAGAGCUAGACUCCGGCUGUGCUAGAGGAUUGGAUGGUGAUAAAUUGUAUCGAUGAUGCUAGCCUUAAACAUUAGCCACUUGUGAACUGCUUUGGGAAAUGCCGAGCUGAAAAUUAACAUCCCCAGUAGUACAAGGAACAGGUGCUCAAGAGGGGCGAAUAACCUAUUCUAGAUGAUGGGUUACAACUUACAAGGUGCCCUUUUAGUCCAGUCAGUCGAUCAACUCACCUGGGUCCCAAACAGGUUUUAGAAGGUGCCUAUUAGUGAAGUUUUGUAAAUUAUUCCCCUACAGCAGCUCGAACCCCCUUCCCUAUCCAUUAAAGUCCCUUCCAGAAUUUUGUAAUAUCUGGAGAUUCAACUUCCUCUGUUUCAGGAUAUUGUUGCAGGGAUUAUAGUGAUGAUAUCGUUGUCAUAAUUAAUUUUUGGUAACUGACAGUUUUGCUGUAUUCUGAACUCAAAUUCUUUGGUAUCUGUCAUCAACUAGUACGAUUAAAUUCGAUACUUACUAUUGCCUGCUGGGCUGAAAAACUGUUAGAACUGUAUUAGUUUCACACAGCAGACUUACAUAAAAUGGAACUAGUUACCUUCUUUUUUUUGGUAGAAAAUUAGUGACUUUCAGUUCAUCAAAUUUGCUUAAUUUUUUUUUUUCCAUUUUCCCAUCCAUUUUAAUCUCUUGGCAUUCUUCCACCGAAAUUAAACGUAUUCGGAGCAAAUAAGUGACUACAAAAAAAUAAAAAUAAAUGCUAUGAAUAUUUCAUCAAGUGAAAAAUAAAAGGGGUCUUAAGCUUGCACUCAAUGACUCAACAAUAGAGGUGACUUGGAUAAAAGUACUAGUAAUUCAAUUGAAUUCCCUUCAGCUGGAAAACUAUAAUGUUUAAACAUUGUUUUUUUGGCUAUUGAUGAACACUCUUGAUAUUAGGAAAAAAUCUAGUAAAGUUCUAAUAAAAGAGUUAAAAAUUUACUUUAUGACAGUGGUUCUGAUUAUAAGUGUAACAUUUCUAAAUUCUCCCAUAUAAAAUCCGCCACUUGCACCUUUAGCUAGAUUUAAUGUUGCAAUUUGUUCACGAUAGAAUCAGAGUUUCGAGGAGCUGGACAGGUGCUUAGAGCGGAGAAGCUCGAGUUAUUCAGCUACAAAAUGAAGAAUAGAAUUCAAUAGGAAAGUGUACUUGUAUAUUCAAUAUGUAAUGAUGCAAUGUCUUAUACAGAAAUGAGAAAGAAUCUUAUCUUGCUCUAGCUCUAGCUCUAGCUCUAACUAACUCGACCAACUGAUUCAUUUUGUGUAACACAGUUCUUUCAAUAACCAUUUUAAUUAAGUUGAACUAUGUGUAUCACGUUUAAGAGUAUUUCCAAAAUAUAAUAUAAGAUCAAAUGAAACAAUGUGAAGUUCAUUUUUUCCACAAUUAGCUAAGGAAUUUGUACUGGAUUGAAGAUUUAAAAUUUAUGAGUUUUGAAUUUGAAGUUUAUGAAUUGUGAAGUUGAAUCAAUGCAAUCAUCAUUCAUGUUUUUCAAAAUUUGCAGAGCUUUUGAAUGAAGAAGUAAAAGGUAUAUACGAAUAUUGAUUUGUUUCAUCGGAGUUUCAGAUGAAAAUGAAAAAUGUUGGUGAAUAGGUGAUACAAGAAAUGCCCAGCCAAAUUGAAUAUUUCCUUGUCUUGUUGCUAUUUUUCACACAAUUUCUUCAUCUUUGCUCCGCCAUGGCCGGCCGUUCCAUUUCCCGCCAGAAAAAAUAUUCAAGAAUAUCCCUUCAGAAUAUGCUCUAAUUAUUCCCCUCAAUCACUCUUUUUGGGUGCUGAGACGAGCAAUUUUCUAAACUCCAAUCGUUUCAACAAAUUUAAAAGGAUUUCAUUAUCAAACAAUCUUAUUGGCACAAAAUUUGAUUAUUUUACCUGCAGCUUCAAGUCCUUUAUAUAUAUGUGCUUGAGUUUCAUCAAUUGAGUGUACUUUUGAAUUGCCCAAAAAAAGUAAACCCUAAUUGGUGCUUGACAGCCCUUUUUUAUAUCUUUUGUUUUUUUAAGGGCUAUUUUUGUGUGUUUGUUUUGUUGGGAAACUUGAAUUGCAAGAAAUGGCAUCAUCUGUGGGUAACAAUAGUAGUCAUACAGAUGUUGAUAGUCUCAUAACGGGUCGUAUUGUUAUAGCUUUAGAUGCAACCAGGGAUCACCCUGAGCAGGAAAUCAAGCGCAUUAUUGAUGAGAUCAGAUCACAGGGUAACAUCCUUCAUGCGGGCGAUACCAUUAUUGUGCUUGGGGUUUUGCAUAAAUAUCUUCAUCCUAGUGAGUGUCUUGCCUCACUUUUUGAUGCAAUUAUCUCAUUUUUCAUUGUUACUUUUAGUGCUCGAGUUGGAUGGCGAUCCAACGUUUUAGUUAUCUUUGAGUAAAUUUUGUUACAGUAACUCUUAUAGUUGUGACAUCAUUUCCUUAUGUUGAAGAGGAAAAUAUUACUAAUUGUAGCUACCUUUGAAUCCAUGAUUAGAGGGUUGUAUUUGACAAUUUUUACAUGAUUAGUAAGGUUAUAGUUUUCUAUCCUCGUGGUUUCUCAUAAUUCUACAGAUGAUGAUGAUGAGUCCUCCGAAUAAUAUGAUCCAACUUUAGGCUCAACUCAAACUUUUGAAAUCAUUAUAUCAACGCGUUAUAGCGGCUUUCAAUUUUCACCAUUCCCAUUAACCAGAUUAACUUUCUCUUUUGAUAAUUAAUGGGUUAAAAUUGAAUGGUUUUAGUCAUCAAGGAUUGUUUUUUUCUAUUACGACUAAGUUGUGAUAAAAGGUCACUUUACUAAGGAGCCAUAUUUUGGUUCUUGACAGUUUAUAACUUCAGUAGUGCUAUAUUUUGAGCGCUUCUGCUUUCCUGUGGUUGUUGAAGUGUGUACAAAGAAUAUGUAAUUUCUACAUAUUAUGCCCAUUUAUGGUAAAUGUGGAACUGUGGUAUUCCAGUAUUAGCUGAACGGUUAGAUGUGCGAUUGACCACUGUCUUUAGCUGACUACUUAUCUUGUGUAGUAUUUAUUAUUCAUGCCUACAGUAUGGUUUUCUAACCCAUUUUUGUGCACAGUGGGUUAUCAAAUGGAAGCAGAGCCACUGUCCAUGUUUGGAACUCACAAACGUGAGAUCGAAAAAGAAGUAACAAAGAAGAUUGAUGCAUAUGUGAACAUGCUCAUGCAAAGUGCCCAAGACUGUGAAGGUGAAGGGGUAAUAUAUACACUUGAUCCUCAUAAUAGUUCUGUACUGGAAGCAACUAUUAAUUGAUAUAUCUUAGAAAUGUGGCUAGAAGUAUCCAUAGAAGUCAUACGUAUGAAAUCCUGGAAAUUUUUAUGACCCACUGGUGUAGCAAGUUUGCUUCGCUGGGGACUGGGGGCUUGUGGGUUGGAUCUGAUGUGCUUCAAUACAGUAUAUUUGAGUUUGUUCAAAUCAAUAUGAUAGCAUAUUUAAUAAAAUGUAAAAAACAAUCUGAUGCAGGACAGAUUUGCUUUUGAAAAAGUAAUUUUCAAAUGUUCACUAUAGGAAUAGACAUUACAACUCCCUUUAGUAUUCGAACUUGGUUUAGAAACUGUUUUUUUUUUUUUUUUGCAUUACUUUAAAACAUGUUUCAGAUGUCCAUAAGACACCAUUGCAUCCGUUACAACACAACUUGCGAAGGCAGAAUCCCAAGAAAUCCUAUUUAUACAUGAAAUAGAAAGUUUUGCUAGAAAACACUUUAUUGCAUUACUUUAAAACAUGUUUCAGAUGUCCAUAAGACACCAUUGCAUCCGUUACAACACAACUUGCGAAGGCAGAAUCCCAAGAAAUCCUAUUUAUACAUGAAAUAGAAAGUUUUGCUAGAUUAUGGGCUAAUACAUUCCAUGUUCGAGGAAUAUAUAUAAUCUCGAUUUCUUCAAAAGACUUCAUCAAUCGCCAGACAUCCUCGCAAGUGGUCUCUAUUUCCCAAGAUGUUAUCGCUUUCUUUUGCAACAUUUGUAUGACAUUCUUUGCACCUGACAGUAUGUGAACCUUUGACCAACCCUUUUGUAGUGCUCUUUCCACAGCUUCCCGAUUGCUAGUGCAGCAGUUAUGGCCUUCCCUACAAAUUGAAUAGGGGUACCAAAGGCAUGAAACAAAUGACCACAACUAUCUAUAGCCGCCAUUCCGAUGCUUGCUUUUUCCUUCUCCCUUUGUAGACCUGCAUCUGUGAAAACAAUAACCCCAUCUUGGGCCAAAGUAAUAUCUGGUUAUCAUCUAGCAAAAAGCCUAGCUAAUAGUACUGACCAUAGAACUGAAAAACCUCAAGCCAGUAGUCAAUCUUUCCCAAAAUCUUUUUGGACUUUCUUAUGGUCACUUAAAAUAAAAAACAAAUACAAACAUUUCCUUAGAAAAUGCAUUCUUAAUAUCCUUCCUGUUAGUGCAAAUAUUUCUAAGAGAUUGCAUCAAAAUUGUGAUGUUUGUAGGGUCUGUGGCUUAGAAACUGAAACGGUUGAUCAUAUGUUUUUCAGUUGCCCAAAAGCACAACUAGUAUGGAAGUUGGCCCCCAUUAACUGGCCUAAGGUAGAAAAUGUUAGGAAUUUUGCAAUAUGGUGGAAUGACUUAUUUUGUAAUACAUGUCAAUAUCCAGAAUCCAUUGAGCUACUAAGAUUAAGUGUCUCUCUUUUAUGGAAAAUCUAGAAACUGCUUUUUAAAUAUUGUCUUAUUUAAUCAGGAUGGGGGGGCUACGAUAAAUAUAUAUUCUGGUUUCUUCUUGACAACUUCCUUUUUUAUAUUCUUAAAUUGUAUAUGGGAUCAUGAACAUCUUUCUAUUUCUGCUACCAUGCCUUCCUUUAUUUCAGUUACUUUAAUAUAUAUCACAAGAGACUUCAAGGUUCAUAAAUCCUACAGGCUGAAUCAGGGCUGGACUGUUAUUUGUAUCAUGUUGACUCCACUUUAUAUGUUGAUGAAGCAAUGAUUAACAUUCCUUUUGCACUUUCAUUUAAUUCCCGUUUUCCUUAUAUAUUUAACUGGCACUAGGUGGGCACUGUCUCCCUAUAUAAUUGAGGUUUAUAUAGAUUGUAUUUUUAUCCAUCCAGGCGGAAUAUCUAGGAAGUCCAGUGUUUUUCUUGAAUGGCCUUCUUACCUAAGAAGCAUUUGCACGACCUAAGCUAUGAAAAUCAUGCACUUUGUACCAACUAGUCGAGAGAGAGUAAGAGAGAGUAGUAGACUAUAUUCAUCAUGGAGGAAAGUGAAGGGUCUAUCACCCGGAUGGAGUGGCAUUUUGAUUGAAUGCCCAAGCUAUUCUUUUGCUUGUCUUUCUAGCUAUCUCAUCUCAAUAUGUUGCUUUCUAAAGCAAUCAUUUUAUUUUUCAUAUAUUUCUAUCUCCCUUUUAAUUUUUCUCUUACUACAAAUUAUUAUACAUUGUGCUUAGGUCGACAUUGAAGUCAAAAUUACUGCUGGGACUCCAGUUAGGAAGGUGGUUGUACAAGAGGUUACAACUAUCAAUACAACAUGUGUUGUGUUAGAUAGGUAUGUUCUCUGAUGUGAUCAUGGUAAUUCCUGUUGCUGUAGUUUGCAUAUUGUCUCUAUCUUUGGGAUCUGAGUUAUACUGAGACUUGAGGCAACAAUAAAUUAGUGACGAAAUGCACUAGAAAACCAUGGCUACAUAAAAACCUCCUCUUUCUAAUAGGCUUUUAAAACAAGAUGAAGAAAUAAACAUGGCAAAGAGCAAAUAGUUUCUGGUCUCAGUGUUGCUACCAUCUUUUAUCACAACAUUGCAAUGUGGUUGGUCCAUAGAAAAGGAAUCUAUCCAUGCAUCGUGAGGCCAUUUUAUUAUCCGAAUAAGUAAAUAAAUAUAUCUUUUUCUAUCCGCCAAAACGUAAAGUUGGAACCUUAAUUAUUAUCAUGCAAACAGAAAAUCCUUGCUCAGAUAAGAUUUUUAACUCUUCCUUUAUGAACUGAUAUUUUCAUUGAAGGAACUAUUUUAACUGCAUUUUGUUCGAUUGUUUGUUGAGUAGCUUUGAUUUUGGUCCUCCACUAGUUAAGGGAUAUAGGGUAUUUGCAUGGACCCUUGUUUAGAGUUCUUUAUUCUUCUAUAUUGCUUUCGUCACAAGAUGCUCCCCCUUCGUUUACCCUGUCUGUCUACUUUUUUCUCAUUACAAAUGCAUGGAUAAGUCUCUACCUGUUAGUCAUAAUUAUGAUUUGUAAAUAAAAAACAAACUCACCAUCCAUUAUGUAAAAUGGGAAUUUUAAUCUAUACAUACUAUUGUGUUUAAUGUUCACAUAGAUGAUUAAUAUUGUGUGAUUGCAAUAUAUUUUGUUAACUAUGGUGGUUGGAAAAUCAAGCUUCUAUUGGAAGAUAUUUUGCUUCUUUGUUGGAAGAAGAGAAAAGGGAAGUUAUUAAUUUAAAUACUUUCUUAUAGUUUGGUUUAAUUGAAAGGGAAGGAACAUGAGAGAUACUUUUUAAGUCCAUGAAACUAGUCCCUCAACUCACUGAUGCGAUCAUAAACAUUUUGAUUUCAUGAAGAUAACAGCAAAAUUAAGCUAUUGUACUUUUAGAAACUACAUCAAAUCCAUGAUAUGCAUGCAUGUACAAUAAGGUCUUGCCGCAAUUAAUUAGAGCUUAGUUGACAUACUUCUUCUCAGCAUAAAGAGUAUUUGUUUGUUCCAUAUUGGUGUUCAGGAUGUCAAUUUUUGCGCUUCUGAACUGUCUGAUACAAACAGAAACACAUAAAUCUGAAGCUCUAUAAUUUUAUCAAAGGUGGAACAAUGUCUUGCAACAUUUCUCUUAUUUGACUCAAGAAAAACCAUGUCUUUUGCACUUAUUACCAGAAAGUUUGUACUUAUCCUUGACAAUUGAGUCUCUUGGAUAAAUCAUCAUUUCCUUCCAACUUUAUAUCCAUGAAAAACCAUGAGCAUUUUGUAGUUGUUACAAGGAAGUCUCCAUCUUAUCAAGCCACUUGAAUUAAUUUUAUAUCAUCAUGUGCGUCCAACUUUAUUUACCAAUUUUAUGUUUAUCUGACUCUACAUUUCUGAUAAAACCCCAUGUUUAUUCGAUUUGACAUUUUAUUAUUCUCUAAUAUUGACAAGAUUAAACCCUUACAGGCACCUCAGGCGGGAUUUGACGUAUUACCUUAAACACAUACCCUGCAAAGUUGCAUUAAUUGGUGAUAAUUUAUUCGUCAAGAUUGUGAGACCUUAUUCCAUAGUUGAUGCUGACAACAUAGAGCAUAAGUUAUACUUUUCUAUGUCCAAACAAGUACCCUUGGCACCCCCUCCAACUGCAGAGAACGCAGAGCAGUCUGUUGUUUCAAUCAACUAUUCAGGUUCUGUGGCAAGCUCCGAAAUACCAGAGAAUGAACUGGUGGUAUAUAAUCAACUGGAGCAUAGCACUUCACACGAAGAUCUUAGUUUCAAUUCUAUGCAAGAAAGAUCAGGUGAGGUAGCAUGAUGAUAAUCUUAAAAAUAAAUGCAGCUAUUCCCUCCCUAGACCCCACUUGUGGGAUUACACUAGGUAUGUUAUUUUUGUUGUUUUUUGUGUGAUACUUUUAAGUUGCGGAAGUGUAUUGUCAUCCAACUUUGAGGGUUUGUUCUCCUUUUCUGGUUGGAAUCCUAUUCUACAUAGCAAGGAGAGAUCAGAAGAGCAAUUAUUGACAAUAUUUUCCCUUUCAGUUUUCAUGAUUUUAAGAAACUUCUGUUUUCUGAAUGUAUGUGGUCCUUUUGUAGAUUGGAUUCCUUCUCACCAUAGGUGAGGAAGAAGUCAGCAGAGGACUCCUUAGAAAUACCUUUCCUUACAGUUUCCAUGAUUCCAAAACAGACUUCGUCUGCUUUUGGUGUUCAUAAAACUAGUUGAGUUAUAUAGAUCUGUAAUGAUGUUACAAUCUCUAGUUUUAAAUUGUAAGGGAUUUGAUACAAAGUAGGGAAUAGUUAUCUGUCCUUCCUUCUUUAAAUGUUUGAUAAUUUGAACAGAUAGGUCUGCUAGAGGAGAUAUGAAGCAUCCAAUCCCUCCUGUUUUCCAGAAAGAACGAAGACCACCUACAUCAUGGAGAUCCUCUAAUACACCAUUUCUUUGUAUCGCUUGUGGAGCAAAGACAGAACUAUACAUCAAGGAUUCAAUGAGAUUCAGUUUCUCAGAAAUACAGCUGGCAACAGAUGAUUUUUCAAAGGAUAACUUGCUUGGAGAAGGUGGAUAUGGUCAUGUAUACAAAGGUCGGUUAAAAGACGGUCAGGUCAUUGCUGCAAAGGUGCGGAAGGAAGCAAGCACACAAGGAUUUUCUGAGUUUCAUUCUGAAGUUUAUGUUUUGAGCUUUGCACGUCACAAAAACAUUGUGAUGCUUUUGGGUUAUUGCUGCAAGGAAAAUGUUAACAUCUUGGUCUAUGAAUACAUCUGCAAUAAUUCUCUUGAGUGGCACUUAUUCGGUACGUAUAAUUAUGAUACUCAAACAUUGCUCCAACAACCUAAAGCUCAAGAUAAAAAGUUAAUUUGGAUUAAUAUCUUGACAGAGAAUACCGAGAAUAUUCUUGAGUGGCACCGCAGAUAUGCCAUUGCCAUUGGCACUGCAAAGGGCUUGCGCUUUCUUCAUGAAGAAUGUCGUGGAGGUCCAAUUAUUCAUCGUGACCUGAGGCCAAGCAAUAUACUUCUCACUCAUGACUAUGUUCCCAUGGUAAAUCUACACAUUUUGAUUCAAACACAUAGACUGUUCCAAUGGUUGGACUAACUAGAAUGAACAUAUACUUUUGAGUUACCACAUUUGCUCCCCCUCUCGCCCACCCCUCUGCUUCUGGUCCUCCAAGCUGGACAGUGACCUGAAUAAAAACAAUUGGGAAGCUAAUGUUAUGGAUGACUCUGUUUGUUUUUGUUUCUCAUAGCUAGGUGACUUUGGCCUGGCUAAGUGGAAGACAAAUGACGAUGAUAUAUACACAAGGAUACUUGGCACAUUGGGGUGUGAGCAAGUCCUAUUAUUCAUUGGCUACGCAGAAUGUUCUACUGUCAAUAGAUGAAACCUUUUAUCAGCUAUUCACCAAAAGCUUCUCUUGCUUCAUGCAGAUAUCUCGCUCCUGAAUAUGCUGAGAACGGCAUUGUGUCUGUCAGAACAGAUGCCUACGCAUUUGGCAUUGUUCUUAUACAACUAAUGUCCGGACGCAAAGCCAUAGAUGCAAUGAGAGAGGACAGCCAUCAUUCCCUUAGACAAUGGGUGUGUCUCUGGGCUUUUUUACUUGGAAUCACAGCCAAAUGUGAUUCCUUUCAAAGAUCUAGCUAGUUUAGUGAACUUUCUUAUUUUAAAAAAUUCAGUGCAAUUUUAGCAGAAGUUUCUCUUUUGCAUUUUCAGGCAAUUCCCCUCAUUGAAAGGCUUGCAUUGCAUGAGCUCAUUGAUCCUCGCAUAGGCGACUCUUAUGACACAUUUGAAGUGUACCACAUGGCUAGAACUGCAUUCUUGUGUGUGCAGAAUGACCCUGAGCUGCGGCCAUCAAUGGGAGAGGUAAAUUUUGUUAAUUUGAUGAUUAGCUGCUAACUUAAUAGAAGAACACUGAAUAUCAUCAGCCUACUAAUCCAUGUCGAAGAUCUUUUUCUUUUCGUUUUGAAGCUUCAUGUAUACCAGUCCAUCUUUAUUAUCUUCAUAAUUUUCUCAUAUGCAACAUUAUGUAAGCGUAAACAAAUGAUUCCUCAACUGAAAUACAGUCAAUGUUAUAACUGUGAAGCAGUAGUAUAUAAACGCACUAGUGAUAUAUUUUAACAUCAGAAAUCAGAAGUCAAUCCACUUUGGAAGGAUGGGGAGCUGGAAUUUUCAUCUUUAUUGCUUCCUAGCAAUUUUCAUUCUGUUCUCUUCUUCUUGAUAGUGUGCAGCCUAACAUCCUACUGCUCAUAAAGCAUCAAGAUGUAGAUGGUUUCAAGCUAUCAUAUCAAUUUGGUGAUAAACUGACCAAGAACUAAUGUUCAGGCCAUUUGCCAUGGCCAGUAAAAUCCUGCAACAUAAAACAACUUAAUUUUGGUAACGAAAAGUAACCUGAUGUAACCACACAAAUCUUGCUUACUGAGUAUGGAUAGCAUAUCUUCCUUGUCAUUAUACUCAAAGUGAUGAACUAACCGGUUGCAAACAUAAAUGCAGGUCUUGCGUCUUCUUCAUGGGGAGUUAGACCAUCUCCACCAGAUCGCGGAGCAGUUUGUACCUCAAUUUGCUCCACAUUUUAGUAAAUAGAAACCUGAUCAGCCAUGUUAUGUUUAGUUUGUUGCUGCAACUGUCUUGGUAUGCUUUACAUUUGUGUGCCCAGGGGAAUUGGAAAGAGCUGUAUAAGCUUUGUUUGGUAUGAUACUUUAUAAUACAAGUAAUAUUUUAAAACAGUUCAACUAGUAUAAACUCCUAUUUAUCAUGUUAUAUAUACUUUAUGAUACACGUAAUAAGGUUUUUUCCACGUAAAUUUGGCAUCUCUUGGAUUUGAUUAUUUUUGUAUUGUCAUAUUCAUUUGUUGGUGUUUAUAGUUGUUGUCUGCUCCUCUUUCUUUUUUUGCGUUUGUGUUUGAGGUAUCCUCUUGGUUCGAAUAGAUUGGGGAAAUUGACUGAAAUAUCAUGUGUUGCAUCUUUUAUCGUGUAAUUUAUUUUUGUGUUCCCUAACAAGUACAAAUAUACCUUAAUUACAAGCCAUUUUGAUAAUUUUUCAUCUUAAACACAGUCAAACUUGGCAAAAAAAAAAAAGUAGAAGAAAAAAGUUUAUUGAAGCUUAAUUAUGUUAUCCUCUUCCAUUUAUUACCUAUUUUAACAUCCCAAAAAACAUGGAUGUUGACUAGAUUUUCCAAUUUCCCCAAAUCAACCCAUCAUCUAAAUAAAAUGCAUUUAAGAGUUGGAUAAGAUUUUUUUAUUAUUAUUAUUAUUUUAUACAUAUUAGUGACUAAAUAAAGUUGUGUUUUGUCAAAUUGCAUAAAUGAAUGUAAACUCAUCACAUAGUUACGACUUUGGUUCCUUUGGACAUGAUUUAAUUUGAUAUCAGGUUGAGUUGAAGUUGAAAUUUUAUUUGGAUAUGUAAUUUGAAUUUAUUAAGUUAGUGUUUUCUUUAUAUAAAUAUGAAAUCUCUAUAAUUUGUGAAAAACUAUUAGAACUUUCCAAUUUUUUAUACAAUCUUACCAAAUGAUCAAAUCACAAUUCAUAAAUAAGGUAUCCUAAUAUUCAAUAUCCUAAGUCUCCGAAUUAAUAAAUCACAUAUAUCCGUGUUCUUUUAAUAAAUAAAUAUUUGUGACUACAUAGUAAUAUAUUAUUACAAAUUUUUAAAUAUACUUAUUUUUACAAAGAUUCAUUGAUCCAAUAAAUCAAUAGCAGUAACUAGUUAUUCUUUGACAGAAUUUCCCCACAUGAUUAAUGGUAGAGACAAUCUCUUCAUAACAACAUGAGUAUUUCCUUAUGAAAAUUAAUUUUAUGGGUCUUUCUUAUAAAUAUUAACUUAUUGGUCAGGUUUUAUAUCAAAAUAAUUUGAAAUUUCAAAUAUACUUUUAAGAAAAUUUGAGAUUUGAAAUCAUGAUUUAAAGUUGAAGUCGAAAUUUGUUGCAAAUUUCCUAAACAAACAUCGUUACACCGAUUUGAAAUUAGGCUCUCAAAUUCUAUGGUCAAACGCCUCCAAUGAAAAAAUUUCUAUAAAUUUUCAUCACUUUAUUUAAAGCUUUUAUAGCAUAAUCCUUGAGUAAAUGGACCUGAAAUUGAAUGCUGAGUUUCACUAGUUUGAAGAUGAUCAUGUUUUCAUGGAAAGAAGUUUGUGAAAUGCUUUUUAGAUUAUGAUAUUUGAUAGAAUAUUUUGGAGAACAUUUUAGGCCUUUAAAAGAGCUUCCGCAAUGCUUACUUCUCUGUUGAGAUAAGAAUAAUUAUAUCACAUAUGUUUGUCAGAUAUGAUAUUACUAUUUUUAGUUUUAUAGCCAAUUUACUAGAAUUUUUUGUUUUCAUAUAUAAGAAAUCUGAAAAUGUCAUUUUUUUUCCGAAUCAAAUUGUAAGAGGAAAAACGUUCUUUUGUUUCUUCAUUUCCAGCGAAGGAAGAAAUUAGUUUUAGACACUUCAAAUUAUUUAAAACUAUUGUUGUUGUUUGUUAAAUAUUAUCAUUACAUCUAAAGCUAUUGUCACACGUUGUUUGUAUAACUAAUUCUAAUAUAACUUACUCGUACCAUAUUAUGUGUAUUAUUUAACGCAUAAAAUAUAUGAUAUUAAACUAUGUAUACGAGGAAUAUGCGUAUAAAAAUACUUAAGAAAAAGAAAGAAAAAUCCCUUAAAAAUAGACAACCUAUAUAUGUGCUAAGGCACCUUAAAAGUGGCAGUUUGAUUUAGACAAGCCUUCCAAAAAUAAAAAUGUGUUAUUAGUUGAAAUUUCAGUUUGAAUUAAUUAUAUUAUGUCUAUAAAUUAAAUAUUACUUUUUAUAUAUAUUAAAUUCUGAAUAUGAUUCCUUCCUUUCUUAAAGAGUUAUCAUAUCUAAAACAUAGUCUAAGUUGCAUAGAAAGAACUGAAUGCUCUUUUUCUUUUUUUUUCUUAAAGUCAAAUGAAUCACAAUUUUAGAAUCAAGGGAUAUUUUCGUUCUUAAUGGCUCUUUUGACUAUAAAUAAUAAUAAAAAAAAACAAAGGGCAUUCAAUAUCCUAACCUGAUGAAUUCCUUCAGGUGAAAAUUACAAUACUUAUAUAUAAUUAAAAUUAUUUUUUUAUAUAUAUUGAAUCUCUUUUAGUGAGAAUUAUAACUCAACCACUAUUUAUAACUAGCAAAUAUUGGAUGAGUGUUAUACGGUAUUAUAUUGUUAAAGGAAAUCAGAUCGGAUCACCCCAUAUAAAGGUUAACCCUAUACAUGUCUAGAAAAAUUAAUAUGUAUAUAAUUAUGUAGUAUAUAAAUUUGUAUAAUAUUAAUAAAUAAAAGGGAAAAGUUUACAUAACUAUUAAUAUUCUUUAUGAAAAAUUGUAUUCCUUUAAAAUUAUAAAAUAGAUUAUCUUAAUAAAAAUUAGGACAAUUUUCUUUUUUGAAAAAAAAAAAAAAACUUGCAGACGAAUUCAAUAAUAUUGUAAACUGUGUAUAUGAUUAGAUUCUUGAGUGUAUACAAAAUUAAGGUAUCAGCUGCCAGCCUUCUAGACAUAUCAACUUUAAUUUGGUCCUUCACUUUUAUUUUUUAUAUGUUGUUUAACUCCCUAACUAAAUGCUUCCAAAGUCAAGCUAGCUUCUUGUUUUUGGCAACUAUGUAUACUUAAUCCGUUCAUUUUUAUUUAUUCAUUACACUUUAAAAAAGGAUCUAUUUUUAUUUAUUCAGUUUAGAAAAACAUGUCCUUAAUAAGAUGAUACAAACUUUCAUACAAAUAUUGCAUGGUUAUAAUUAUCAACUCAUGUUUGAGAUGUUUGAUUGAGUUAUACAUAUAACGAGUGGAACCCUUAUUUUAUAAAUAUUCAAGAGAUAAUUUAUCAUUUAGUUCCUCGUUUAUCCUUAUUAUUAAUCAUAAUUAUUUCUCAAUACAUUAAAUUUAUUAUAUCCAGUAAUAUAGUAAAACUGAAAUUUUAUUUAUUACUUAAAUAUACUAAGUUAAACUAAAUAAAUAAAAAUAAACGGAGAAAACAAUAGCAUUAGAGGUACUAAAAGCAAACAGCAAACAGCAAGACGCACAGAGUUCAGCAAAUAACUCUGGACAAUCAGAAGAAAAUUCAAAAAUAGAUCCAGUACAAGAAUAUGUGCAAGAGAGUGGAGGAGUUCACACUGAAGCAGUGUUUGUGCAUUCAAAAGAUAACGAGGAACUGAUUGGGGAAUUGAAUGAUGAAACAAGAGAUAAAGAUGUGCCCAAAAUAAAAACUUUUACAGCAAAGGAACUAAGUGAUAAGCAAAAUUCGGAGGAGGAUGAAAGCAUUGAUAUCAAUGUAGAAUAUGUGAGUAAAAAUGGGGAUCUUUCACCAAGGCAGAUUGAUAAUCUUAAAAGCAAAAUGAAGAAGAAUACAAAGCAGGUUCAAUCUCAAUCACAAAUAAAUACAAGGAGUAAGAAGGGGUCGUCUUUUACAUCAGUUUAAUGAUAAAUAAGAUAAUUUUCUGGAAUAUCAGGUCUGUUAGGACUCAAAAAUCUUUUGAGCGACUAGUAGAUCUGCAUAAACAACAUCAAUAUUCAUACAUUGCUUUAUUAGAACCAUUUCAUAGCCCUAGUGAACUGGAAGCUUAUAGGAGGAAGGUGGGUCUUCCUAAUGCUAGAGUGAACUGUUCAUCUAAAAUUUGGGUCUUCUGGGAAGAUGAUUGGGUGGAGAAGGGUUCAACAGAUUCUAAUACAACAAUUAACAAUACAAUUCCAACUAAGAGAUAGGGAUGACUGUUUCAGGGUAACGACUGUGUAUGCAAGAUGUAGUGCCCUGGAAAGACUAGAAUUAUGGGAUGAUUUGGAGCAUAUUGCUGCUCAACCUAGUAGCCCUUGGUUGGUGGGUGGUGAUUUCAAUACAAUUGUAGAUGAGUCAGAGAAGCUAGGUGGUUUACCGGUGACGCAACAUGAAAUGGCCGACUUUGCUGCUUGUAUCAAUGUUUGCGCUUUAAAUGAGUUGAAAUUUGUAGGUAGCUGUUACACUUGGUGGAAUGGACGAAUUGAAAAUGAAUGUAUCUUCAAGCGACUGGAUAGAGUAUUGGGGAACAAUGAAUUUAUGCAGUUACUACCUAAUAGUGAGGUGCAUCAUCUAAUUAGACAAGGUUCUGACCAUGCUCCACUACAUGUGAUAUGUGAUGACUCUCAGGAACACGUGGUAAAACCAUUUAGAUUCCUAAACUUCUGGACGAAGCACAAAGAUUUCAUGAAGAUAGUAGAGGAAAACUGGAUUGAAGAAAUAACAGGAUCUCCGUUCUUUAUAGUUCAUUCCAAAUUGAAAAGGACCAAAACGGCUUUAUCAAAACGGAGCAAGAAGACCUUUGGAAAUAUUUUCCAAAAAAUUGCUACAUUGGAAGAUGUGGCGAAGACAAAGGAAGUACAGUUAGAAAUCUCGCCUAUUGUAGAAAAUAGAAGUUCACUCAGCAAGGCGGAGGCAGAAUUGAAGAGAUACCUUCAUAUUGAGGAGGAAUACUGGAAGCAAAAAGCAGGUAUGAAGUGGUUCAUGGAUGGAGAUAAGAACACUAAAUUUUUUCAUGCUUAUGUGAAGGGAAGAAGAAGAAAGCUUCAAGUCAAAGAAAUUCAGACACCACAGGGAGAUAUAAUUAGUAAUCCGCAGAUUAUAGGAGAAGAAGCAGUCAAUGUGUUUAAGGAACAAUUUCGGGAGAACUCGGAGAAUAAUACAAUGGAUUUGAUCCACUGUAUUCCUAAAUUAAUCACGGAAGGGGAGAAUGAGGGGAUGGUGCAGAUGCCAUCCAAAGAAGAGGUACAAGUGGUUUUCUCAUUGAAUGGCGAUAGUGCAAGUGGACAAGAUGGUUUCUCAGGUCAAUUUUUCCAAUCAUGUUGGGAAAUAAUUGGUAAUGAUAUUACAAAUAUGGUAAAAGCUUUCUUUUGUGGACAAGAGUUACCCAAAUAUGUGACUCAUACCAAUAUGGUGCUUAUUCCAAAGAAGGAGGAGGUAAAGACCUUUGGAGACUUGAGGCCUAUUAGUUUAAGUACGUUUACAAAUAAGAUUAUAUCGAGGCUGAUGAAUGAAAGAAUUGUGAAGGUGCUACCCAAAAUUAUCUCUCUUAAUCAGUCAGGCUUUGUGAAGGGAAGGAGUAUUAAUGAGAAUGUAUUGCUUGCACAAGAGAUUAUCAGAGAUAUUAACAUGAGAAACAAAUUGCACAAUAUAGUGGUGAAGCUUGAUAUGGCAAAGGCAUAUGAUAGAGUUUCGUGGAAGUUUUNNNNNNNNNNNNNNNNNNNNNNNNNNNNNNNNNNNNNNNNNNNNNNNNNNNNNNNNNNNNNNNNNNNNNNNNNNNNNNNNNNNNNNNNNNNNNNNNNNNNNNNUUUUUUUCAAUCAUCUAGAGGUCUAAAGCAAGGAGAUCCAUUAUCACCCACCCUUUUCAUAAUUGCUGCAGAAGUAUUGGCAAGGAAUCUGAAUAAUUUAUAUGAAGAACAUGAUUUCAUAGGCUAUGGUAUGCCUAAGUGGAGUCCAAAAAUAAAUCAUCUUUCAUAUGCAGAUGAUACCAUAUUAUUUUGCUCGGGGCAUGGAGUAUCAAUUCGCAAAAUGAUGAAGGUAUUGCGAGAGUAUGAACUGGAGUCAGGACAGAUGAUCAAUCUGGACAAAAGCUUAUUUUAUCUUCAUGAAAAGACACCAGUAAGAGUGUGUAAGCGAAUCAAGAGGUUAACGGGCAUCAAACAAGGCAAUUUCCCAUUUAUAUAUUUGGGCUGCCCUGUAUUUUAUGGAAGGAAAAAUAAAAAUCAUUUUGAAGAGUUGAUCAAGAAGGUGAUGAAAAGGCUUAACCUAUGGCAGAAUAAGUUAUUAACAUUUGGGGGAAGGUAUAUUUUAAUCACACAUGUGCUGCAAUCCAUGCCAGUGUAUCUACUCUCAGCUAUGAAUCCGUUGACUGGUGUGAUUGACCAACUUCAUAGAAUUUUUGCAAAAUUCUUUUGGGCAAAUGCUACAGGAACAAGAAACAGACAUUGGGUGUCUUGGGAAAAUUUGUGUUAUCCAAAAGAGGAGGGAGGAAUUGGUCUUCGGUCUUUACGCAUAGUGUCUAAUGCUCUAUUUGCUAAGCUAUGGUGGAAUUUCAGAACUUCUACAUCGUCCAUGUGGGGAGCUUUCAUGUGGAACAAAUACUGUAAAAAGUCACAUCCUAUCAUGGCAAAAGGAUGUGGUGCUUCACACGUUUGGAGAAAAAUGCAAGUAGUAAAAGAGGAUAUAGAGCACAACAUAUAGUGGCAACUAAAAGCAGGGAAUUCCAGCUUUUGGUUUGAUAAUUGGACUAGACAAGGGGCUUUAUAUUAUAUAGAAGGAGAAGGCGCAAGAGAAGAGGAACUGGAAGUUAGAGAUUUUAUAAUGGAAGGAGAAUGGGAUAUACAGAAAUUGAGGGAUAAAUUAUCUGAGGAAAUGACAGUACAUAUUGUGGGGAAUAUAGUUCCUCCAGCUGAAUUACAGAGUAAUGAUGUACCUUGGUGGAUGGGGAACACCCAAGGCAACUUCACAGUGAAAUCAGCCUGGGAACUACUGAGACAGAGGAAGAAAAAGAAGGCAGAAAAUAACAAAAUCUGGGCAAAAGGUGUCCCUUUUAAAGUGAUUUUUUUCUUAUGGAAGGCCUGGAGGAGGAAGAUUGCCACAGAUGACAAUUUGAAGAGAAUGAAGAUAAAUAUUGUGUCUAGAUGCUGGUGUUGUAAGGAGAAGACAGAAGAAACUAUGACUUAUCUUUUUUUAACAGCACCCAUAGCUACUAAGCUAUNNNNNNNNNNNNNNNNNNNNNNNNNNNNNNNNNNNNNNNNNNNNNNNNNNNNNNNNNNNNNNNNNNNNNNNNNNNNNNNNNNNNNNNNNNNNNNNNNNNNNNNNNNNNNNNNNNNNNNNNNNNNNNNNNNNNNNNNNNNNNUUGGAUGAAGAUAGGAAAGGAGGAUUGGUCUCACAUGGUUACAUUAUUGAAGGAAUACAAACCAAGACUACACUAUUAUUGUGUUACUUGGAAAUUGCCAGAAAGGGAUAAGGUGAAAUGUAAUACUGACAAGGAGUGUAGGGGAAAUCCAAGGAACAAUGCACUUGCUUUUUGUGUAAGAGAUGAUGUAGGAGAUCUGAUAUAUGCUACUGCUAGAGGAAUAGGAAUAGCCACAAAUACAGAAGCAGAAGCAAUGGCUAUUAAGGAAGCUUUGAGGUUUUGUCAGACCCUUAAUUUAAAGGGAGUAACUAUAGAAACAGACUCUCUCACGCUGAAAAGGAUGAUCGAGAGGGAAUGGAAGGUGCCAUGGGAGCUUAUCGAGAUAAUAGAAGCCAUAAGGGUCCAACUACAAUUUUUACAAGGAAUCAUCAAGCAUAUCUUCCGAGAAGGAAACACAGUAGCAGAUUCUUUAGCUAAUGAAGUAGUAGACACGCAAGGCACAAAGGAAUACCAUAGCUUUCACGAGCUACCAGCUAAUACAAAGAGGCACAUAAACAUGGAUAAAGCUCAGAUUCCUAAUCUUAGGAUUAGGACACGGAAAAUAAACAUGCAAUGAUUCAGUAAAGAAAUAGCAGGGGAAAGGGGAAAAUACAUUCACACAACAUAGAGAAACAUAAAAGGGAUCCCAAUAAUUACAUGCCCAGGGGGAAUAAAAAACACAUAAUCCUAGUGACUGACAACAGAUAUGUGAUUAAUCUUUGCUAGCUGCCCUAGCUGCAAAGAGAUGGGUAUUUAGCGCCUACCACCACAACAAUCCAGAGCAAAAAUCAAUAGUGAUUUUCUAUAGAUAUGNNNNNNNNNNNNNNNNNNNNNNNNNNNNNNNNNNNNNNNNNNNNNNNNNNNNNNNNNNNNNNNNNNNNNNNNNNNNNNNNNNNNNNNNNNNNNNNNNNNNNNNNNNNNNNNNNNNNNNNNNNNNNNNNNNNNNNNNNNNNNAGUUGGACUCACCGGAGAUGAUAGACGAAACCAUUACCAACAAUCAAUGAUGGAGCUUGAAGAUAACCCAAAGGAGAAACAAGAUGAAGUGCAAAUUUCAGCUCAAGGGUAACAUCACACAAGGAGGCAAAGACUAGAGGAGAGGAGUACUGUGUACUCAUGGAAGUGUGCCUAAGUUACAUCUAGAUAAUUAGGAAACCUUCCUUUUUUGGACCAAGUUUUUGGGCCGAUCUGUUUUGUACGAAUUGGGUUACUUUGUUUUGUGCAUAUUUUAAUAAAAUGGGUCCAGCUAUGGACCUAAAAUUUGAUUUUAAAAAAAAAUAGCAUUAGAGGCCACGGCAGGAUAGAAAUCAUUUUAUUUAUUAUCUAAAUAAUUAAACUGCAAAACAUUCUUAAAAUAGUCAAAUAUUGAAAGGGGCAUUAAUUAAUGAGAUCGAAACAAUAUCAAAGUUGCAACAUGCACUAAUAUUUUCAAUAAUUAUUUUCUAUGAGCCACACUGCGAACGUCCCAUCUUUUUCUUACUUGGAUGAAGAAAGACAUAUCCUUCUUUUCAGUUAUAACAAACAGUUUACUCCAUUUUCAAAUACCAAAAAGCGAUUGAGAGAAAAACAGUACAUAAGACUUAAAAAGAGGGUUCCUUCUUUUCUUUACUCUCGCUAAUUUUGAUCCUCAUCUUUCUAGAAAUCAAAUAUUUUUUACUUUAUUCGAAAUUUUUAAAAUUAAAGGUGAAGAUAGAGUUGUGUUUGAUUCUAACUUUUGUAAAUAAUAUUUUAUUGUCUGAAUAUAUUAAAAGUGGGUGGAAAAAAGUGAAAACAUGAUUUUAAAUGGCUUUCAAAUUCCAAUUACAAGAAUUGUAUUCGAUAUUUUCAUGAUCAAACAUUGAUUUUCAAAUAAAUUGAAAAACAAAUUUUAAAAAGAUUAAUAAUUCUCAAAUGCCAAUUACUUUUUGUGAAGAAUAAAACCGUUCAGAAUAAAUUGAUUAUGUCAUAAAAAUUGGGAAGAUUUUAAAAGACAAUUUCAACAUAGUGAUGACACGUUUGAAAGAGAGAAAGUUGAUUUUUUUGCUUUUUAGAGACAUGACAUUUCUUUUCUUUUCUUUUUUUAAAAUAAAAAAGAUGAAUUCAAAACAACUUUUGAUAUAUCAAUGAACUAAAAAAUAAUUGAAAGAUGAGUUUGUUAGAAAAAAUGAUUUUGACCAACAAAAAAAUAAGUUCGAAAAUAAUAGUUUGAACAGAUCUUCAAGUGAUUUUUUUCAGUCACAAAAAUAUUGUUUCUUUAAAGUUAAAUUCCUAUUGAAGAUUUCUUGAUACAACUAGUUUUCUUGAUGAAAAAGAAUUCUUUUAUAUCUAUGUUUUUCUCGUACAUAUUCUCUUAAUAAAUUUCAAAUUUUUUAUAUUCGUUUAUCAAUCACUUAGAAUCAAGUCAUAUAAAUAAUGUUAUGUUUUUUAAUACUCCUAUUACUUUUGUUGUCUGAUUUAUCAAUAUCCGAGGUGUGUAAAUCACAUAUGUCUAUUUUUAUUUGUUCACUAUAUUAUUUUAGGAUGUAUGUCUAGUCUAUAAAAUCAAUGAAAAAUUUAUCAUAUUAUGUCUAUUUUAUCCUUGUUAUUAAACACCUUAUUCUUCGAUCCAAGCCACACGGGUCUCCCCGCAUGCGGCUCAUGCCAUUUGAGGUGGCCCAACCCAACAUUCAUUCACAAAUCUUGUAGUGAAAUCGAGACUGCUCAACCUCGAAAGCUGAUUCACGUGUAGGCAGCGCUACCUAUCAUACAAUUGACACUAUCUGUUCAUGAAAUUUUCUUUAUUUCAUUUUCUAUUUUAUAUAGGCUCGCUCCCUCUUUUUCCAAGAAUUCAUCCACUUUUCUUUACUCCAUAGGGCUUCUCUAAUAGGAAAUUUUUCAAUGUUUAAAUGACUUAUAUUUAAUAAGGGUGAUUUAAUAAAAUUACUCAUAUUAUUUAUUGUUUCUUAAUUUCUGCGUCAAAUUAAUAAUGAAUAAUUAUUAAUCAAACAGGGAAAGUAUAUCGUAACUUCUACAUACUAUCACUUUAUUAAUUUGAACUCCAACAUGUACAAAUGUCAACUAAAACAAACUUCUCCAAAAAUCGAAGCAAAACGAGCCUACCACAUAAUAUGCGAUGCCUCGUCCUCUACUUUGUUUCUUACGUCGAUUAUUGCAUUAUUUACUGGAUUUUAUUUUUUUUUGCAUUAUUUCAGUUGUACAAUACUUCAAGAUGAACAAGUCAACUUCAUGUACAUUCCUUUUUUUAAAAAAUUAAUAUUUUGGAGUGGGGUUUGAGAAAAGGAGGUUCUCAAUAAUAAAAUAAAAACGUCCUUUCAAAGAUAGGUAACCUUCUUUGCUAAGCAAAUAGGGAAUUAAUUUUAGGAAAAAUUACUUAAAUACAUAACUUAUUUUAUCGUAUGUUUAAAAAAAUUUAAUUAUUUGAAAAAAUUACAAAAAUCUAUAUUCUCUCUUAUUCUCGGAUACAUCACUUUAUGCGAUAUAUUGGGACAUUGGGUGACAUAUUCAAAAUAGAGAUACGAUGUAUCAGUACAUUGAGAUAUGUAUCCAAAACGGAGACGUUGAGAUGUUUUGGGAUGUAUCCGAAUUCCAUGAAAUUUAAGAGAUUCUUAUAAUUUGGAAAAGAAUAAGAAUAGAAUGUAAUUAGCUCUUAACACUAUGAGAUUGUGUAAAAUUUCCACCCUUUAUUUUAUUAAAGGUCCUAUUAAGAUUGUGGUGGAAGUGGAAUAUAAAAAAACUUUUAUUUUUCAUAAAUCAAACUUCUAUUUUGAGCAGCCUUGCAAAUAAGAAAAUUCUUGAUGGGAAUAUUUCCUCUUUUAACGAGCCCUAUGCAAUGUAAAUUUAAAUUAAUUGAAAUUUCAAAAUAAAUACUAGGUAAAAAAAAUCUAAAUUUUGCUACUUGAUCAUAUAUUACAUGUCCUUGUUCUAAUGUAGUGAAAGUGUUUUAUUUGUUGAAGAAAAAAUAAGCUGACAAUUGGAACAUGUCAAAGGAAUAGGUCCAAUGAAGCUGACUGACGUGUGUGCAACAAGUGUUGAUGAAGAAGGAAGCUGACGAUUGGAACAUGUCAAAGGAACAGGUCCAACGAAGCUGACUGACGAGUUUACAACACUGCUGUAGAAUUAGAGUCGCACUAGGAUUAUACUACUUAUAGUAAUUAGGAUUAUAUUACGACUAGAAUUAUAUUAUGAUUAGGAUUAUAUUACGACUAGGAUUAGAUUAUUUAUAAUUGCAUUAUUAUUAUUAUAGUAGUAUAGGUAUUGUAGUAGGACUCUAAGUAUAGUUAACUUAGGACUCUACAAUUCUCCCUAUAUAAGGAGGUUGUAACUCAACAUUAUUUUCAUCAAUACAAUCCUUGAUUUCUCUAAUCCUAAACGUGAGAUUACUACAUGGUAUCAGAGCAUAAAAGCUCUUCUGCUCUGUGAGUAUUGAUCACAAAAAAAAAAACCACACGUUAAAAUUGUUAUGACCCAUUCUACCAAUACUAUGUCGACCUCCUCACUUCACCAACUCAUUGUCGCUUGUUCCAUUAAAUCUAAGCCAACAAAUUACACACAAAUAUCCCAAUUAAUUCACGUGAUGAAACAAACAUAUCUCAUCACAGAGAAUGAACCAAGUAAAAACAGUUGUUCCACUGGACAAACUGCUAGGAAAGUUGUAGAUGUUGAGAAGGAUGCAAAAGAUAGUGACACCAUUGUUGAUUGGAAGGAGAGAUGUGUUACUAAGGAGUUGGAUCUCAAGCACAUUGACCGAAAAAAGCAUGCACCUAAUUGUGGGUUGCUCAACUGCCAAAGAGAUGCUGGAAUGCUUGAAAAAAGCUUAUAUUCAAGCAACAAAAGUAAUUUAUUUUGCUAGAGGUUUAGGUCUCAAAUACAAGACCUUUGUCAUAUUAGGUAAGGCACCAUAUUCCACUCUUAAUCAAUUUGUUUAUGCUCUCACGAGUUUUGAUAUAAGGGAAGAUGAAGAAGAGGUGCCACAACAAAAUCACAACAUGGUAUUAUCUGCUCAAAAAGGCAGGGGAAGAGUAAACAACAACAUUAACUCCAGUGAAACAGGUUUCAAGCCUGCUGGACAGGGAACAGGUUCUAAGAACAGUCAAUAUGGACCAAGUUCUCUGAACAAUAAAAGUUCUCAAAGUGAAAAUAAUGAGAGGAAUAAUAUUGAGUCAUGUCAAAUCUGUAGUAGGAAUAAUCAUGCUGCUCUUAAGCGUUUUUACUGGUGGAACUACUUGUAUCAAUCUGCAGAUGAACUAUCACAAGCAACGACUAGACAUCACAUUCAUACCGAAGCAUUGACAAAACAAGUUUUUGCUAGGUAUUCAAAGGUUUUUCAUGUGUAUUCGAAUCAAGCUAGGAGUAAUCGUUCCUCUACUCACUAGCUUGAGGGGAAGUGUUGAAAAAGAAAUAAGCUGACGAUUGGAACAUGUCAAAGGAACAGGUCCAACGAAGCUGACUGACGUGUCUGCAACAAGUGUUGAUGAAGAAGGAAGCUGACGAUUGGAACAUGUCAAAGGAACAGGUCCAACGAAGUUGACUGACAAGUUUAUAGCACUGCUGUAGAAUUAGAGUCGCACUAGGAUUAGACUACUUAUAUUAAUUAGGAUUAUAUUAUGAGUAGAAUUAUAUUAUGAUUAGGAUUAUAUUACGACUAGGAUUAGAUUAUUUAUAAUUGCAUUAUUAUUAUUAUUAUAGUAGUAAUAAGUAUUGUAGUGGGACUCUAAGUAUAGUUAAUUUAGGACUCUACAAUUCUCCCUAUAUAAGGAGGUUGUAACUCAACAUUAUUUUCAACAAUACAAUCAUUGAUUUCUCUAAUCCUACACGUAAGAUUUCUACAUUAUUUACGGCUUCAAGGUAUAUUAAUCAAUUAAUUUCCUCAAGUGAUCUUUUUCAACUUAAAUCUAGUUAGAAAGAAAUAACAAAAUACAAAAAAUCAUGUCAUCACCAAGAUUAUUUAAUUAGUUGAUCGACCAAAUAUAAGAUAGUAUUCCUGGAUUUCUAUCAGUUAAGAUACACCUAGAUUAAUUAGUUGAUUGAUUUGAUUUAAUUUGUUAAUUAAUUAUUGAACAGUGUUGUUUAAGAAAACAACUUUUUAAUUUGCAACUUAUGCUAUAAAUUUGAGUCCGGAGCCUAAAGGGCAAAAACAAUUGACAAAAAUUCCAAAAGGGCACAUCAAAUUUUUUCUAACCAAAAGGGCAAAAAUCGCUACUGAUGCAGCGAUUUUGUUUUGAUGCCGUUAACAUAUCAAAAUCACUGCUAGGGCAACGAUUUUGUCCUAUUUUAUUUUAUUUUUCAGAAAAUCGCUGCCCGUGCAACAUUUUUGCAAAAAAAUAAAGAUUUUUUUUAUAUAGAAAUCGCUAUCAUGGCAGCAAUUUUCGUUAUUUUUAAUUAUUAUUUUCAAAAUUGCUGUUGUUGCAGUGUUAUUCUUUUUUCUAAAAAAAAAAAAUCCUUACCUUGGCAGCUUUUUGGUGGAAAAAACAAAUGUGAUUUUUUUUUCUUGAAAUUUCUGUCAACUAGUCAACAUCAAAAUGACUAAAAAUUUUUUUUUUUAGAAAAUGCAGCCUUGGCAGCGAUUUUGGUGAAAAUUCUUUAAAAAAAAAAACAAAAUCGCUGCCUUGGCAGCGUUUUUGGUGGAAAUCUUUUCUUAAUAUUUUUUUUAUAAAUAUCUCUGCCAGAAUUUUCACCAAAUUUUUUUUUUUUGGUCAUUUUGAUGUUCACUAGUUGACAGAAAUUUCAGAAAAAAAGAAUUUCACCAAAAAGCUGCCAAGACAGGGAUUUUUUCUUAUAUAAAAAAAGGAAUAACGCUGCAACAACAGCGAUUUUGAAAAUAAAAAAAAAACAACGAAAAUCGCUGCCAUAUUUCUAUAAAACAAAAAAAAAUUGCAAAAACGCUGCACAGGCAGCGAUUUUUUGGAAAAAAAAAUUUGGACAAAAUUGCUGCCCUAGCAGCGAUUUUGAUCUGUUAACGGCGUCAAAGCAAAAUCGUUGCGUCAGUAGCAAUUUUACCCUUUUGGUUAGAAAAAAAUUUGAUGUGCCCUUUUGAAAAUUUUAUUUUUUUGCCCUUUAGGCUCUGGACUCCAAUAAAUUUCUUCCUUAAAUUCAUGAAUUUAUCGUUGUAGCUUAUAUAUAUAUAUAUAUAUAAUAUAAUAUACCAAUUUUACUUUAUCUUCUCAAAUUAGAGAAAAAAUAAAACCUCUAGUUGUCCAAAAUGAAAAUCAACAGAGACAAUAAGUUAUGGCUAAGACACCUUCAAGGUAAUUGCAAGAGAAUAAGAGAAAAUUUCAAGAUGGAAAGUUAUAUCAAACUCUAAUUACCAACAAGAUGAAAAUUUAUGUAACCAACCAACGGAAGAAUUAAAAUUUUCCCGUACCUUUAAAAGUUGAAACCGUACUGUAUAUAGAUUAAAUAUACACACAGGUUUGUUAAUUGUUACACAUUAGAAUAUUACUCAACCCUUGAUUUGGAAUACCUCUAACAAGUAAUAAUAUACUAACACUCUUUUCUUUUUAGUCUGUUAUAAGAAGAAUGCUAUUUUUAUAUAAUUAGAAAUAAAUUACUUUAACCCUUCAGGAUCGUUUGGUGUGAGGUAUAAGGUAUAAUAAUCACAUGAUAAAAUGUAGGAUUGCUUUAUUCCAUAUUUGGUUGGAGGUAUUAGGUAGUUAUUAUAUCAGAUUAGUUAUCCAACCAUUUUUGUUAUAGUGAUGAGAUAAGUUAUCUCAUACACAUGCAUGGUGGAAUAGCUAAUUAUCCCAGAAUUGUUACCCUGGGACAACUUCUUCCCAACCAAACGCCCCCUUAAUGAAAUGAUUUGCAAUUAUAUAUAAAUAUUUAAGGAUUAUAUUAGAUCACAAGUUCCAAAAGUCUUCCUUUUUUUUAAACACCAUACCAAAUCAAACGAUAUCACAACAUAAAAAUCAUAUUUGUAUGUUAUAGCUAUAGUUUGCAUAAUUGCGCUCCAUAACAAAUUUUAUGUUUGUUAUGGAGCUUUUGAUUUGUAUAAUUCGCUAGAUACAUCCAAUUUUAUACAAAUUGUUCAGUUUUGUAUAAAUUCAUUUAUACAUUGUAAUUUGUAUAAUAAGAUCUGUAUUUGUAUAAUUAUAAGUGUAUAGGACGAAGAUAUAUGUAUUUAUAUUUGUAUAUAUACUUUUUCUCUCGCUUUUAUACAAAACACUAAAACACAUUUUAUACAUUUGUAUACCGAAUGGGUAAUUGUAUACCAAAAAUGGCUAAUUGUAUACCGAACCAGAUGGCAAGAAAAUGGGAUGUUUGCUGCGAAUUACAAAUAAAAUAAACUAUGGCUAUAACAUUUAAUUUGAAUUAAUAGUUUGUUAUUUCAUACAAUUUUCCCUACUUAUUUUAGUAAUAUUGGCCUAAUUGAAAAAAAACAUUUAUUAGUUAAACCAAUCAAAUAUUAACAUGAGGGUGGCUUUUUUGAUAUAUAUUGUAGCUAGUUGUCUAAAAGCAGGAAAUGGUCAAUAUAUAUAGUUGGAAUAUUGUCAUCACAUAAAAUCUUAUCCUUUAAUUAUACAUUUAUUCACAAUAGGAUUACGUAGUUUGCCAUCUAAAAAAUUCUUAGAAUUUUGGCAACUACCUUCCAUAAUAUGACACGUAUCACUCUCGCGAUUAUCGAUAAGACACAUGUCACAUCCUGGUUAAAUUGCCACAUUUUUAACACCUGGCUAUAACAACAAGUAUUAGUUUAAUUAUGAGAAAAAACAUUUUUAUGUUACUGAAAUAAAUUUCACAGAAAAAAACUAAAAACUAAUUGAUAGUACUUUGCUUGUUGUCAAAGAAAAAACUAAUUGAUAUCCCACGUUAUAUAUAGAUUUAUACACCCUUGAUAAACAUCAUUUAAUUAAUUCUUAUCCAAUAAAUAAACUAUUAUCCUUCAAAACAUUGUAUCGUAGCAUCUAGUAUUUGCUUGGAAGUUUUUGUUGAAAGCAAAAGAUUCAUCACAUUUCAUGUGAAUUAAGUUUUUUUUUUUAUGGUUUUAUUCCACGUGUUUCGAUUAAAAUUUUGAGAUAAGACGUAUUAAAAAUUAAUAGUCAAUGAACCUCAUAUUAACUUGUACUCCAUCUAUCUAUUAUUUUUUGUGAUAUAAUUUAAUUGAGCACGAAAUUUUUUAAAAAAAUAUAUCAAAUGAAAUUAAUGAUCAAUUAAUAUAUUAUUAUUGUUUAGUUUAUCUAUCGUCUAUCUAUCUACAAUAAUUAAUUAUCGCUCAUGAUCAUGUUUUAUAUUAUAGGUAAAAACUAAUUAGUUAUCGAGUGUUUAUAGUCUACCAAUAAAAGUAAUAUUUUCAUACACGAGCCUAUUACUUAAUUAUGUUGUUACCUUAUUAUUUUAGUUAGCUGAGGUUAAAAUGAUUAGUUAGAUUGUAAACACUCGAUGGUUUAGAUAAGUGGACAUGCCUAUAUAGUGUUAAAGAGGCUCAUAUAUAGAAUGACGCAAAAUAAUACUUGAGGCAACAAAUUCAAUUAAUCAAAAUUUAAAAGCUGAAAUUUCACUUUUAUCAUCAAUGGGUUUAGCCAAAAUAUUUAUAACACAAUCCAAAUAAGUUUAACUCAUGGUUAUAUAAGCAAUUCUUCUGGUUCCAUUUACAAAGUUUUCUUGUUUUAUCAACAAAUAAUAACCCAUCAAUACAACAGAAACAUUAUUUGAUUUUAAAUUCGGAAUGAUGCCUUAUACUCACUACAUAAAAAAUGAUCAUUAACGGCAAUUAAUUCUUAAUUACCGCUAAAUAUGUAUUAGCACUCUUUGUAUAUGUCCCUAAAGGCUUUAGCGACAUUGAUUCUAAUGGCACUUAACUAAUGUCAGUAAAAACUUUAACACUGUCAAUAUUUAAUGCCGCUAAAAGUUGUUUUUGUUGUAGUGGUACUAUAAAAAAUUUAUAGUUUAUUAAUUUCAAAUAUAAAUUAUUAUUUUUUAUUUCUUGGCAAAACCAUACAAUAGGACCAAAUUAGAUGCUAUUGUAAAGUGUCAACAUGUGCUUGACGGACACUCAUAAUGUGAUGACAAUAUACAAGCCACUAACUUAAUUAUAGCAAGAAUUUUCUCAACUUUUUAUAUUCAUAUUUUUGGAACACUAUUUAUACACAAUUCCAUAAAUUAAUCAUCAACUCUAUGAUCUAGCUAGCUAGAUCCAUCUACAUUUUUAAAAAAUGUCUAACAUGGUUAUAAUGAGAUUAAUUAAGUGAUAAAGUUAAUUAGCUCAAUAAAUCAAAUUAAAGAAAGUUGUCUAGGUUCAAGAAAAUAUGUACCUAGACAAGAACCAACUAAAGAUUCAUGAUAAAACAUUUCAGACAAAGUUUAAUUUAAGAAAAGAAAACAUUAUAUAUAUUGUGCUCCCAUAAUGGAAGACGACAUAGAAAAGCAUGCAUACACCAAGAUAAGAUUGAAAAUGUCUGAUUUGAUCACUAGAGAAAUUUAAAAAGGGACGCAAUUUGAGAUUUAUUUAAAAUAUGAUGAGAUAAAUGAGAUAUCUUAAUUAAUUAAUAAAAAUAAUUUGAGUAUGAGAAUAGGAAGCGUUAUGAAUUAAGCUACGUAAAUUUAUGUUAGUCCAACUAAGUACUAUAAAUAUUGAAUAUAACAUAUGGUUAUAGGAGUAAGAAUUAAUCCAAAAUGUUAUUAGCUUAGGUAAGUUGUUGAGUUUUAAAAGGGAAAAGGAAAAAGGGGAUCAAUCAGAGCUAGAUAUAGAGAAGAUUAUGAUGAAUAAUAGUUUUCUUUAUUAAUUAAAGAUUUUGAGUUGGAAUUUGAUAAUAGAAAAAAAUAGAAAGCAAAAUUAAAUAACUAAAAAAAGGUAGUGCUUUCUUGGACCCACUAGUGUCUGUGUUUCCUAGGAUAAUAGCCUUUAUUACAAGACAGUACUAUUAUAUUCCCUUCAAUUUAUUUUACUUGUCACUUUUUAUUAAAAAUAAAUUAUUCAAAGUAUUUCCUUCCUUUGUUCUUUUUUAAUUUUCUACUUUUAAAAUAUAAUUUUUUAUUAUUGCUUUUAACUUUUAAUAUAUCAAGAAAAGAUAUAAAAAAAUCAUGUUGUAUUCUUGACAUUAUUUACUUAUUCCUUAAAUUAUUUUUCAGACCUAAUACGAAAUAUUAAUUAAUAGAGAUAGUGUGAUAAAAUAGUCAUAUUUGUGAUUUUUUUUCUUAAUGGUAUGUCAAGUUCAAAUUUGAUAAGUAUAAAAAUGAAAGGAGGGAGUACUUGAUCAAUUCACUUUUACUUGUCCACUGUUUCUAAAAUUAUAUUUUCACUUUUACUUAUCAUUUUUAACAUAUCAAGAAAAGACCCAAAAAAAUCUAUUUUACUCUCAACACUAAUUACAAUUUCCUAAAUCAUUUUCCAUGAUUUAAGAUUAUACAUUAAUUAAUAUGAAUAUUAUGGUAUAAUAUUCAUAUUAAUUAUUGUUUCUUAAAGGGCACGUAAAGUCAAAACUAAAUAAGUACUUAAAAGUGAACGAAUAAAUUAAUUACCAAUUUAAAAGUCAAGAUAUAAUUAGUUGUUUGUUUCCACUUUUAUCCUUGAUGCAGAAGAGAGAAGUUUAAAAUUGGAAAAAAAAUAAAAUAAGGAUAGUACUCUAAAUUUUUUUUCAACUUACCUUCUACUUAAUCUUUUUCUUUAAGAAAUGUAUAAAACAAGACACGACACGUAAAAUGAUCUUGAGGAAAUAUGUCACACAUGAGUUUUUUUAAAAUAAAUUGUACUAAUAAACAAAUGUAAAUACAUUUGCUUGACAAAAAAAGUGCUAAAAUUAUUUGAUAUUCACAAUGCUCAUACAUUUUGUAAAGUUGUUCAAAAAAUAAGAGUUAGGUGCCUACGUAGUUUAUUUUCUUCUUAAUUUCUUUUAUUAGAGAAAAAUAAAACAAGUUCCAAACAUUAGGUUUUUUUCCAAACUUUGUUUGGUUGGAAUAUAUAUCAACUCUCUGGCAUAUUUGGCUAUCAUUACUUAAGUUGAAGUAUGCACAAAUUAAUUAGUGGCUUCGUCAAAUAUAUAUGAUUAAGACACUCUAAAAUGACUAAUGGGUCCUAUUAAAUUGCUAAUUAUAUAUGUUCACCCCACGUAGACUUAUUUUCCUUUUUAAUUUCCACUUAUUGCUUUCAAGAAUAAAUCAAAGUGAGAUCAAGCAAAACCAUUAUCUUGAAACUCUAUACUUCCUCUGUUCCAUUUUAUGUGAAGUAAUUUGUAUCACACGGAGUUUAAGAAAGAAAUUAAGACUUUUAAAACUUGUGGUCUAAAAUGAAUUGAUAGAAAUUUGUGUGGCUAUAAAUUUUUUCAUUAAGGAUAAAAUAAAUAUUUUAAAGUUAAAUUGUCAUAUAAUAUAGAAAUGUGUCAUUCUUUUGGGAACUGACUAAAAAGGAAAGUAAGUCAUAUAAAUUGAGACGAAUAAAAUAGUAAAUUUCAAUUGAGACAAAAAACGUCAAAUGAUUUUUUUUUUAUUUUCUUCGUUUGAGCUCAGUUUAAAUUAUUUAAUUAAUGUUAUGCUUAUUUUUUAAUUAAAUGGUGUCGAUAUUUAUAGAAAAAAAAAGAUAAGAAUUCAAUUAUCAUAUUUAUAAGUAAAAUAUAUUCUUAAUCCAUUGAUUUAGUUUGAUUUAUUUUUUUAAAAUAGAAAGGUGUUGGUUUCAAUACUACUUAACCACAAUUUAAAGCAAUAAUAUGUCAAACUUUGCAAAAAUAUGUUUAGGUUAAAGUACAAACCUCCAACCUCAAAGAACAAAACAAUAUUUUUGAUAUAGGAAUACAGAAAAGGAUCAAAAUGUCAUUUCAUUUCAUAAAUAAUCUUAAAAGUAUCCUUCUUUCAUCUAUUAAAAAAAAGUGCCAUCAAUAUUUUUUUAGAUCUAAAAUUAUCCUUUUCUAACCGCAUAAUAAUAUUGCAGUUGAUAUGGCUUUAUCUUUUAACCUAAUCGAUUUAUAGUAAUAAAACGAUAAGCACCAAAUACAAAAGGCAUUACAAAUUAUAGUCGUGUAUAAAAUAAAGGAAAAAAUGACAAAUAUACCAUUGAACUAUCGUAAAUGGUAUGCAGAUACCCUCUGUCAUAUUUUUGGGACAUUGGUGCCCCUGCCGUAAAAAAACUAGAGCAUAUAUGCCCUUCACUCUAACAGAAGACUAAAUAGAGACACGUGACACAAUCUUAUCCGUCGGUCAGAUAUUUAAUAAAUAUCGAGUCGAUGGAUAAGAUUAUGACACGUGUAUAUCCGUUAGUAUAAAGGGUAUAUAUGCUCUAGUUUUUGAACGACAGGGGCACCAAUGUCUCAAAAGUAUGACGGAGAAUAUCUGCAUAUCAUUUACGAUAGUUUGAAGGUUUAUUUGUCCUUUUUCCCUAAAAUAAAAUACUAAUAAUGUUGGUACUCUAUAUAUUUAUUUAUUAUUAUAUGAUAUAAAAUAUAAUAAAACCAUGAUGCCAAAAGCAUAAAGAAAAGGCUAUAAAGACCCAACUUUUUGUAGAGCGGCUUCGUUUUUGUACACUAUUUUGGAAGUUUCUCAACCAUCCCCCCAUUUUCUUCUUGCCACUUACUUUUUCUAUCCACCAUUCUUUUCUUCUAGUUUUUGUCUUUGGAAUUUUUUUAUUAAACCUAUAUAUAUAGAGAGAUGCUCAAUAUUAAUUCAUUCACCACAACUCACAACCCUACAAUAAUCACAUCAAAGUCACAAUCAUAAUCCUACAAAUCUAAUUGGAAAAGGGUCUACCUUGUGGAGCCCCCUCAAUAUUUUAACUAUUUAUGAAGAGAAAUUAUUAAGUGGAUGAUAUAUAACUAAUUUGAAAUGAACUCUAAAUUCUAAAAUAAAUUAAAGUGCAAAUAAUAUUGUCUAAAUGCCUAUCAAUGUCAUAUACUAUCAUAUUUAAAUAUUCUAAUUGCACACGAUAUGUGUCACCUUCCAACCUCUAUUCAUCAAAGUUAAUACAGAUAAAAAGAAUUGCCUAAUAUCUUUUGUUUUCACUGAAUUUUGAAUCAUAUACUAUCAUAUUUUAGUAGACGUUUGGCAUGCAAGUUUAGCUUGUGAUUCGAACUUAUGAAAUAAAAUUUGUGUUUGAAAAUACAUUUGUAUUUUAUGAUUUCAAAUCAUGAGAUGAAAUCUCAAAUUCUCUAAGAAAUCUCAAAUUCUCUAAAAAACUUGGUUUGGAAAUUUCAUAUCACGAUUACACAUUUUUCAAUACAAAAAUUGCACAACUUUAUAUUAUUAUUUUUAAAAAAAUCUUUUAUAUCUACAUAAUUUUAUAUGAGAGAAAUUAAUUAAAGGAGUGAUGAAAUAUUUACGGAAUAUGAAUAUGAUGAUAUAGUUACUAAUGAUACUAACCAUGUUCAAUUUUAUUAAAGAGUAGUAUACUACAACUCAUUUUUAAUUUAAUUUAUUUUUUAUUGAACUAAAAUUCGGUGAAUAAAUGUUGUAUUCUUUUUAGAAUAACUUUGUGAUAGUGUAUUAUAUUUUCGUUAUAAAUUUUUGCUUAUUUGAUAAGAUUGUAUAAAAAAUUGAGACAAUUUUGAUAGUUUUCACUACUUAUGAGUUUUUUUUUAUGUUUAUGAGCAAAAAAUAUAACUUGAAAAUACAAAUUACAUGUCAAAUAAAAUUUUAAUUCCAUCUCAUAUAAUUUUAUAUAGUGAUUUCAUCUCACGUAGCCAAACAAAUCAUUAAUCUACAUAUUCUACAUUUUUUAGUAUAUCUUAAAAAUGUUUAUUUUUUCUUAGUCAGUAAACUUUUCAGCUCCAACGAUCUACAUAUUUUGAUUUCUUAUUUAAUUUUUUUAAAAACGAUACUUAUUUUGAAAUGGAGAAAGUAACCAAUAGUUAAAGAUAUAUAUCAAACCAAACACAAAUUAUCAGACGUUGACGGUCAAUUAACCAAUUAAUAACUAGCAUAAAAAUCAUCAAAGAUCUAAUUUGAUGAAUUGCCAAUUGAGUUUUUUCUAAUCAUAGAUAAAAUUAUAAAUGUGUGAUGAUAACUUUUGAACCUUCAACUCAUUACGUUACUCGUUAUUGCAACUCAACGUUCUUGCUAUUGCAUAUUGCUUGGUCCAUAAGUAGUUCUUAAUAAAAGAUUAAUUAAAUAAAAGAUGAAGUCAAAAUUAUAACAUUGAGUGUUAUGUUGGAUAAAACAACUGUUACAUUUGAUUUCAUUCAUACAUUUAUUUAUUUUCCAGUUAUUUAAGAAAAAUAAUGAAUUUUUUUAAAUUAAGUUUCCUAAGUUUGACCGCAAUAAAACAAUUCAAAACGUUUUUUAAUGUAGUAUAUAGAAUAAUAUGCUACAAAGCUGAAUAAAUACUUUGAUCCAGUAAGUUGCUUUCAAUUUGAAGAAAAGAAAUUGAAGAAGACAGCUCAAUUGGUUAACGGGAGCAGCUUUGUCUGAAUAUUUUAUGUGUUCAUAACCGAUAUACUUUAAUUAUUUGUGAAGAUCUCUUUAAACAAGCAUAAGAUUAUAGCUAAAUCUCGUUUAUUAUGAAAAAUCAUUUGAUCAUGAUAUUAUUUAGAAAAUAUUUUUUAUUUGUAUUUACGCCUCUUUAAAAUUAGUAAUAGUAUAUUAUCUCAUUUACAUCACAUCGAGAUAAUACAAGAUUACUAAUUGUGAAAUUACAUAUUCAUUUUCUCCAGAAAUUUUUUCUUAAAUUAUUUUAAGAAAUUAAAGUUAAUAUUAAAAUUACAAAUAAAAAUGUAUCCAAUCUAAUGUAAUUUGAUUUUGCAUUCACUCUAAAUUUCACUAUUUGAAAUAGAUAUCUUAAAAAUCUAACCCUAUGUGCUUUUUAAUUAUUCAUCCACGUUGAAAGCUUUAAUAUAAUUAAUUUCAAGUCAAUAACAAAUUUAUUUUAUUAAUAUUUAUAGUCUAAAUCUAAUUGAUAAUGAUUGAAAUAUAUUUAAAUUUGAAUUAAUUAUGACUCUUGUAUUCAUUUUGGUUUUUAUUAUUGUAAAAAAAAGAAAGAAAAACUUGUGUUGAUUAUGAUCCCUUCAUAUCCUUACGACACGUGUACUAUUACACAUCUCCCACUCCCAAUUCAUUUCCCUUUACGAUGUUUCACAAAAAUCUACUCAAUUUUCAUUCGACCCCUCAAAUCUUCCUUUUUCGUAAUGUCUAUAUGAUAAAAUAAAUCAAUUUAGUUUGUUUGUUUAAUUUUAAUUUAAUAUUGUAUAAUUUUUUAAAAUAAAUAAAUUUAAAAUACAUUGGUAAUAUCAAAAUGUUUUUAAAUUUUGUGAUGUGAAAAGUUAAAGUAAAAAAAAUAAAAUCAUAAAAAGGGAAUACAUAUUUUUUCUAAAUGGGCUAAAAAACUAAAAUGAAACACAGGAUUAUUAUCUUUUUGGUCAGAGAAAAAUAUAGGUUCUGAAAGUCUCCAAGUGAUUAUAACCUCUUGGAAAUUUUUUUACUCCUAAAUGAGACCACUUUUUUUCAUCAAUCCCAAGAAAAAUACUUUUCAUGUUCCAUAUUGAAUGAAUUUAUUGAGACGAUCUAUAUUUAUUACUCUAAGACAUAAUGCAAAUUAUAUUUUUCACUGUUUUUUUUUUAAAUAAUAAAUAUAAUUUUAUAAGUAAUUUAAUUUACCUCCUAGAAAAUAUGAAAUUUUAUUAAAGAAAAGAAUAAACAUGAAAAUAUUAAAAUAUUUAUCUUGAAUUCUGAAGAAUGAUUUUUUUUUUAAACAUUCAUUUAAUAUGCAAUACCUAAUUACUUGUCCACUUUUGAAUUGACACACCUAUUAAGAAAUUAAUUAUUGACAUAAUGAGUUUAUCAUUUUAUCCCUAUUAAUUAUGAAGUGGAUGGAUUAAAAAUUAGAUUUUUAAGAAAUUGUACAUUUUUCAAAGUAAUUAAUUGAGGGUAUAAUAGGUAAAUUGUUUUUGGCCUUUCUUGAUUUGUCAAAAUGGACAAGUAAUUAGGGACAACUAUAAAAUAAAAAAUAAAUAAAUAAUUAGGGACAAAUGUAAUAUUUUAUUAUAAUUAGAAAUAAUAUAAUUUUAAAAUUAUAAAUGUAAUAAAUUUUCAAUUACACCUCACAAAUUUUAAUAUAUUUUUUCUUAAAUAUCUAUCAAGUCAAAUAAUGUCACAUGAAAUAGCACGGAGGGGUGAUAAACAUUUUCAUUUUGAUUUCCAAGGGUUGAUUAUUUCUAGAAUUUUCUUGGACAGACUUUACUUGUGUGUACAACUUAUGUGAUGACACAUGUUGUUACUUUCCUUCCCCAAUGAAACAAAACUCCCUUUUCCCCUAGAAAUACUGAUCAAUACAUACACUACUAUACAUUCAAGUCUAUCUCUUUUUUUUCCUACUCACCUCUCUGUAUUUUUGUUUGAAACAGCAACAAGAAGAUACCCUUUUUGGGCUUUUCCUUCUUUGUUUUGUGUAUAUAUAGAGGUAGGAGUUUGUGGGGGUGUAAAAAGAUUACAACUUUGAGUAGUGCCAAAUGUUAGGGGUAGAAGAUUUGAGCUUGGACAAGCUGUUUGUGAACAAUAGUAGCAGAGGUGGGGUUUGUAAAAUGGGGGGUGGGGUGAUGAUGAUGGGAGAGUGGAAGGAUAUACCUAUGGAGUUGUUGUUGAGGAUUGCUUCACUUGUGGAUGAUCGGACGGUGAUUGUGGCUUCUGGUGUUUGUAGUGGAUGGAGAGAUGCAAUUUCUUGGGGACUCACUCGUCUUUCCCUUUCUUGGUAUGACUGACUUUUCUUGUUUCUUGAUUUUGAUAAAAUUUUAAGGUUUAUUUUGAUUGUGUGGUUUUGCUUGAUGUGAUUGAUGAAGGGUAGUUCUUGUUCUUCAUUUGUUUGAUUGUAAAUGGUCAGGGGAGUCAAGUCAGCAAAAGACUGAAUUUUUGUGUUCUAGAAUAGUUGAAGGAAAUAGGAAAAAUCUACAAGUUUUUAUGUGUUGGACUAUUUUGGUCCUAUUUACCUUGAUUAAUCUAUUUGAGAUGUCAUGUAUGAUUGAUCAACUGGAGGAACACACAUGAGGUUUUCAUUGUUUACUUUCUUGGAGGAAGGGUUUGUAAAUGUUGUUGAAUAAAGCUUUGAGUUUGGAACUAAGGUUAGAUGUUAAAAGGGGAAUCAUAGUAGCUCAGUGGAUUGACUACCUGAACUUUUUUAUCUCGUUGGUGAGGGUAUGAGUCCCCACCUUGUAACCCCUUCUCCUUUACCCUACCCCGGUUUUGUUCUUUUGGAAAAGGUUAGAUUUUUUAUGUUAAAAGGGGUUGACUGAAGAUUUUUUCCAAUUUGGAUUUGUGAGUGCCAAGACUUGGAUGAGCAAAGCUAAGUUGAAAAGCUUGCCUUGCACUGGCAUCAAGGGAUUUGGGGGAAAUGAGGAGAUUAGAGAGAUUAGGAUAGUGAUUCAACAGCCUUAAUCCCAUAGGUCUUAUCACAUGUGUUUGUAUCUGAGAUGCCCUAAAUAUGAAAUAUGGUCAUAGCAUAAUGGUUAUUGUUCUGCUUUGUGGCUAAAUUUUACCCUUUUUUCUAUGUGCUUCAUCCUGGACAUCUGGAAGUUAAUAUCUAUGUUUUAGUGCUCAGAAGCAUUGGACCUGAGAAGAUAUAACUUGCAUAUGAUUGUGCAUUUGCCUUUAUUUUAUAUUUUUCCUUUACUUUUUGAGGACUUAUUCACAUGUUGGUUCUUGCUUGCAUUUUCUGGAUUUGUAGUGUUGGUUUUUCACCCUCUCCUGCUAUUAGAAUUUGAUUGUAUUUCCCUAUCUUGCUGGUAUUAGUAAUCUGAGAGUUGAUAUUCUAUGGAAUUGAGUACAUAGAUAUUUGUGAGUUAUCUUUCCCUUGUUGAUUUGUGGUGUUAUAUCGGUUUCUAAGCUUUUUUGUCCCCUCAGGUGCAAGAGGAAUAUGAACAAUUUAGUGCUGACACUUGCCCCCAAGUUCACGAAGCUGCAGGUUCUAACUCUUAGACAAGAUUUACCACAACUUGAGGAUGUUGGUGUCGAGACAAUUGCCAAUCACUGUCAUGAAUUGCAAGACCUUGAUCUUAGCAAGAGUUUUAAGCUAACUGAUCGUUCCCUUUAUGCUUUAGCUCACGGCUGUCCAAACCUCACAAAGCUGAAUAUCAGUGGGUGUUCUGCUUUCAGUGAUAGCGCUGUUGCAUACCUAGCUGAGCAUUGCCGAAACCUAAGAGUCUUAAACCUUUGUGGUUGUGUUAAAGCUGCAACUGAUAAGGCAUUGAAGGUAUAUGUCUUGUCCUCUCAAAUGACCUGUAGGAGUACUAAACCGUUGUUUCUUCGAACUUAUAUGACUCAUAUUACUCCUUGCAGGCUAUUGGUUACUACUGUAACCGACUGCAGACUGUAAAUCUUGGUUGGUGUGAUAAAGUUGGUGAUGAAGGUGUAAUGAGUUUGGCUUAUGGGUGUCCUGAUCUCAGAGCCCUCGAUCUGUGUGGCUGUGUCCUUAUAACAGGUAAAACAUGUAUCUGGUUAGGUUUUGUAUUUAAUGUCUUCCCUUAGCAGUGGUAUGUUUACUACCAAAGAGUCUUAAAACUGACUCGGAUUUGCCAUGCUUAUUAGGGCAUAAGUUGUAUUCUAGAAAUUUUAUGCAAAAAAAAUCUUACCAAAGAAGACGAACUUAUUUAUUUCCUAUUAGUAACUAACUAGAAGGAGAUAUUCAUGCAAGAUAUUUUCUUCUAGGAAAUGAAAAGUGGAACAUGAUUUUGAUGUAUACGAGGGAUAUGAAGGACCUUACUUUAGAUUUUAUAUCAAAUAAACUCCUAUGGCUAUUUGUGGUGUCUGAAAUGAAUGAUGAAAUGCAUAUUAGACGGUAGAACUGAGCUUUUUUUCUUUGGGGGAGUGUCCAAAUUUAUGAAGUCUGCCUCAGCCGACUGAUUAUUAGAUGUCUCCUAUAUUUCUCUGUGUGGAUGCUUUUGUUAUGAAAUUUUAUGAUCAUUGCUCUCGACCUGUUAGAGCAAUGGCUACAAGAUAGCAGUGUUCUAAGUAGUUUAGAGGUCUGUGUUUCCUCUCGUUGGCUUGUCGAGUGUACUCACACCUAUGUUCUACUGCCUACUUCUUGAUGGGCUAUUAGUGUUUCCUUUUUCUACUGAAGUUUGAGAUAAAGUUGCUGAUGUCUCCAACUGGAUUCAUUUUUCUUGGUUUAGUCAUCCAUUUAACAUAGCUAUUAUCUAAUGCCUGCAGAUGAGACUGUGAUUGCUUUGGCAAACAAUUGCACUCACUUGAGAUCCCUCGGCCUAUACUUCUGUCAGUACAUCACAGAUAGGGCAAUGUACUCUCUAGCUCAGAGUCGGGUCAAGAACAAGCACGAGAUGUGGGCAUCUAUGAAGAAGCACAGGUACGAGGACGAAGGGCUUAUGAAUCUAAACAUCAGCCAAUGCACUGCUCUCACACCUCCCGCCGUUCAAGCAGUAUGCGAAGCAUUUCCUGCUCUGCACACAUGCCCUGAGCGACAUUCCCUCAUCAUUAGCGGAUGCCUGAACUUAACAUCAGUGCACUGCGCCUGCUCUGUCCAAGCUCACCGUGCGCGUGUUCUCCAUCCAGCUCACUGAGUGUUCUAUGGAGGAGAAGUUGCCAAGUUUUUUUUUUUUGAGAAUGGUAAAGAGAAAAGUUGCCAAGUUUCGAAGCCGUCAUAGAGGGAGAGAAGAAAAAUAGGGUGAGAAGGUUGAAACGCCCUUGUACAUAUUUGUUUGUGAAAAAACUAUGCUGGACAAUCUAGGCUGUUUAAGCCAAACAGGUUCUGUUUGUUUAAUCUGUUGGACUGAGAACUUGUUGGUUUAUGUCAAAACUCUUAAAGACUCCUUUCAUGUGUUUUGACUAUUUGGUGAAAGACAUUUAAUUUCCUGUUUCAUAUUUCACUCCUAAAAUAUGGAGAAAUAACUUUUUAAGUGGAGAAAUUCUAUAAAAGCUUUUCACUGCUUCUCUAGGUUAAUCUAUAUGUUGGAAAAACUUGUUUGCUUUCUUAAAAAAAUUAAUACAGGGGAUGCAAAAUCAACCUAUAAAAUUAAGUUUGGGUAGGUUAAUUUGUUUAUUUUAUUAAUUUAGUUCAUUUCAGUAUGUUUGAUUUUGUCAGUUUAAAAAUUGAGUUAUUAUGCAUUCCAAAUUAAUUAAAGUGUUUUUUUUAUUAGGUAUUUAAAUAAAUUAUAAGAAAAUAAAUGAAACAAAUUGAAAUUUUAACAAGAACUGAACGAAAAGAAUGAAAAGAAAAAUAUUACCAGCUUCUAGUUUUUUGACAUAAAGGAAAUACCAAGAAUCAACAAAAGGGGUCAAGUUAUUAUGUUAAAGUUUUAUUUCAUUCAAGUUUAAGUAACUUUUUAUUUAUUUAUUUAUUUCUGUCUAUUCUUUGAUCAAUUAAGAUUUAGUUCACUCGGUUCAUUGUAUUAGGUUUCCCGAUUGACGUAAGGUUUUUUUCCAAGCAUUAUUAAUACAGUUGGAGUUUAAGUUGUAUGUACUGAUUGACCUAAGGUUUUUUCCCAACACGUUAUUAAUAUAGUUUAACUUGUGAUUCUACUUCUAUUUUUAUCAGGUUACAAUUAGCUAAUUAGUGAUAUUUGUGUAAAUAUUUUUCGGUAGUGACGUAAGUGGGAAAAAGGAUAUUAUUUGCAGAAAUUACAGUAAUCAGAUAGGUGAUGAAAUAAAAAAGAAAAAAGAAAAAAAAAGAUAGGUGAUGAAAUAGACAUGUGAACAUAAAGUUCUUAAAUUGGUAGUAUUACUUUUUAGCAAAUGAAAGUAAUCUAAAAUUAGUAAAUAAUAGCUAUUGCUUAGUAGAACUUUGUCUCUAAUUUUAGUGACAUUUUCCUUCUUAUGGCAGUUUUACUAAAAUUAUGGAAUUAUUGUUUUUGCGUAAUCUAAUAAACACAAUCAGAAAUAAGAUAAUCCAACAAACUUCUAUAAUUGUAGAAAUAAUGAUAGAUAUGAUCUACUUGACUGAAAAAACAAAGAACCAAAAAAAAAAAAAACUUUUGGAGGGAAUUAAAAAUAUAUUUUUCAUACUUUUUACGUAUUAUUUUAAGAUUUAUUAUGUGUAAAAUAAAGAUUCCUAGUGAAAAGGACAUGAAAUUAAAAAUAAAUUUGUAUAAUCAUUUAAAACAAACAUAGUAUUUCAUUACAUGUUUUUCCAAUUACAAAACAAGCUGCACAAAUAUUAAUUGGCUUACGCCUUUUUGAGUUUUCUUUUCAAUUAUCCGUAUUGCAUAAACAUUCAUAAGUGGGAUUGAUUAAUUCGAAGCUAGCUUACGGAAUCGAAGCGAAGGAAUUAGUUCAUCCAUAUUAUUUGCCUUUGUAUACAAUCUCUUCAUCAUCCACAUCGAAUGCUGGAUUACACAAACAUCUAAAGAGUCUACCAAUUCCCUACAAUAUCACAAACCAAAAAAAUAAUUAGUAUUUAUGUAUUAAAAUCUCAUCGUCAACUUUUAGUGUAGUGUCUGAGAUUUGAAUUUGAAACAUUAAGAUGAAUUUUGAAUUCCCUAGAUUGCUGAGUCAACCUCUAAUCUUGUAUUCAGGGGAAUAAAAACAUUAUCUUAACUUUAUGUCUCGAAAUAUCAUUGGUUUCAAUAGAUAGUAUAUAGUAAGUAAAAGAGUAAAUGGAAGCAAAAAGAGAACCUGUGUGAGUAGAGGAGUUCUAUAAUUUAGUGUUCUUAAUGAGUCUUCAUCAUCAUCACUGCUAUCUGAACUAGAUUCAUCAGCAUUAAUAUCGCCUAUUGUCUUCUUUUUCGACGUUCCAACACACUUCUCCCUCUAUAGAAUAAAAAGGAAAAAAAUGCAAAUGUUACAAUGAAUUAGUAUAGUAGCUCAAUAACCAACAAGACAGACUUGUGUUUAGAAGGGAUAUGAUAAGUACAUAUCACAAGUUAUGCUUAAACCUUACCUCAAAUACUUUUCCCAAAAUCUUUAAAGCCAUCGCACGUUUCUUGAGUUCUUCCUUCUUCACAUUGCCUUCUUGUAGUACCUGAAAGAUUACUCAGAAGUAACUUAAAGGUCUCUUUCAAGAAUAAAGCCCGUUUCAACGUAGCAACAUUUGAUCCAAGGCUUACCAAUUGGCAAACAUGUAAAAGAGUCACUUCAAUGUCUACGACAUUUAGUUUCCACAAUGAAUUCAUUAAUGUUUCUCUGUUUAAUCUUAGAUGUGAUUCAACAUCGUUUUCAGGGCCACUACCAUCCAUUUUAAACUGGCGACGAACAUCUUCUUGAAGUUGUAGCAGUUGAAAAGCACCUAUAAAACAUUAUAGUCCACUGCAUCAAAGAUACAGACAGAUAUAUGACAAGCAGGGGAGUAUUGUAUCUUGAGUGAGAUAAUGUAAGUUUACCUUUUGCUGCUGUUAGCUGUGACUUCCAGAAAUGACCUUUGUUGCGAACCCACUCGGCCAUGAAUGGAACUCCCAAGUAAAUUGCUUUCUUUCCAAGCUCUUGUGCUGCCUGUCUUGUGUAUAUGUAUCCAAUAGUUUGAAGAAUCUCAGCUCCAAAUGCUGUUAACAGAAAUGUCAGGUUCUAAUUAAGAUUUUUUUCUUGAUUUAGCUCUCUUCUAAGGUCACAAUAGAUUUCACUGUGCUUAUUCAAUGCUGUCAUUUUAACACUUGUCAUGGUAAAUUCUGUAAAACUUACAGCAAUCACUAGAUGAAGCACAAGAGUAGUGAGCUGACCUGCUUGUGAAAGAUGUUCUGCUUCAGAUUCUACACGACGUAUAAAUCCCAUUCUGUCACCACGAACGUAUUGUUGAAGAAAAUCUUUGAGUAUUCUAGCAAGCUUUUCUUCCCUUUCCUUUUGGACACCCUUCAUAACAUAGUUCUAUUAUAACAAAGCUAUGUUCUUUUUUCUCUUGUAACAAACAGCCAAAAAAGUGGAGACACAUAUAAUUUGAAUGUUAAUGAACUUCAUGACAUACUUGCCUUGAGUCUAUCAUGGAGCUUUUCAGGGUUGUCGUUUUCGCUAACUAAUUCAGAGGAAGCCAUUGAUGCAACAGAUAGAUGCCCGAUGUAGUCUUCAAAAAGUUCGCUCCCAAAGAGGAGUGCAAACACAGCAGUUGGAUCAAGCAUAGUUUCCCUACAAAGAGAACAUCAAAAUUAGUAUUGAUGGUAAUAGAAAAAACAUCUUUUUACAUAGAAAUUUGUGAAUUAGCAAACUACUUGCAUUUAUCAUCUUAAGGGGUCGUUUGGUUGCUGGCUAGGAAGAGAGUUAUUCAUGUUUUAAAACUAACAAAAUUAAUACCAUGUAUUUGGCACUCUGCACACCAAAUAUGGUGUUUGAUUAUCGUUUUACAAUCCCACAUAAAUAAAGCAUGUAUACAUUUUGAGUCAAUUUAUGUACUAUUAUAUGCAGAGUAGAAGAUGGAAUAACUAAACCUAGCAUAACUAAUCUUUGCAUUAUUAAUACCUGCAUAACUCUAACCAACAACCAAACGACCCCAUAAAAUUCAGAAGAAGCAAUUCUAGAAAGAUUACCUGGAGACACAUGACUUUCCAUUUUGAUCAUAUACAUUUCUCUGUACUGGAUCACUCAAAACCUGAUAUGCCUCUCCUAAUUCCUGUUUUUAACAAUUUAAAAACAUUAAAAAAAAAAACAGAUAAUUUUUUGCCUAAAUUUUACAGAAAAGUGAACAUAAAAUAAGCAACAAGCAAUGUGCUUGCCUGAAAUUUUUGUGCAGCAAGAGGAUCAUCUGGAUUUUUAUCAGGGUGAACUUGCCUGGCCUGCACCACAAGAUGAAAAAACAGAUUUCCAACAUCAUUUAACAAAUCAGAAAGGAUAAGACAUUUUCCAUUACCAUUUGUACUUCAAAUCAAAAUGAAAGUUGAUGAAACAAAUCUUCAUUUCCAAAACAAACAUCCCAAGAAUCAUACUACUUGGAUCCAUUUAUCAAAUUCUAUAAGUUUAAACAAAUGAAACUUAAACAAUACUACUCUCCCUAUCUUAAUUUAUGUAGUAAAGUUAAAGUUUCGAGAGUCAGCCAAAUUUUCUUUUUGACUAGAAUUUCUUGUUACCUAUCAUGAUUUACCGUGCUUUUUACAGUGUUUUCAAAUAUAUACAUUUUAUAUCAAAAAACAUAAAAUUUUUGUGUCCAGAUUCACACCAUCAAAUUUUAGAAGUUUGAAUCUAGAAAUUCCAACUAAUGCCAGGUAAAUUAGAUCAAUUCCAACACUCUAAAAAACUACACAAAAUUCAAACAUAGAAAGUAAAAAAACAAAACAAAAGAAAGAAAUUCAAAAACCUUGAGAUAAUAGGCCUUGCGAAUUUCCUCUUCAGAUGCUAAAGGACUUAAACCAAGAACAUCAUAAUACUCUGUCUCUUUCACCAUUUUCUUUUCUUUUUCCAAAAUCCCAAUUAACAAAAAAACUACUCUUUUACCUCCUCCAAUACUCUAAUCACCUUUUUUACGCGGUUCUAAAAUUUUGAUGCAAGAGCGGAAAACCACUUGACAGUAAGUAAAGGAAACAAACCAAAUGAAAAAAAAAAAACUCUGAAAAUUGUAUGAUCAAGAAAACUUGCAAGGACAAAGAAGAAAGAGGAGGGGGUGGGUGGGGUGUUUUAGAGGGGGUGUGGGGUAUGAUGAAAAGAAUGUCACAGAAUAAGAGAGUGCCCCCACGAGACAAAGCUGCCUUUCCAGUUCUGAUCAACGAAUUAAUUAAGGCUUUUCGCGGGAGAAAAACACUAUUUUAACUGUCACUUUGUGCCUUUCAUCAUUUUAUCAACUACUCUUUUCAAACUUCUACUUUUUUGCUUCAUGGGCUCUGGGCUUUUUUCUCUUCUUUAAUGGGCUUUAUUUUUUUUCUGGGGGCCCAUUUUCUUGGUGGUGUCUUGGACCUACCUUAUCCAAUUGUGUAGUCACUCACUUGAAACAAUAAUUGUGGACCAAAAUAUAGAUAUAGAUGCAGAGCACUUAAAAUCUGUUGCUUGUCGAUACUCUAAAAAUAGUGUAUUUUUGGAGAAUCUGACAUGAGUGAAUGCACAACUUAGCUUAAAAUGUCUUAGUCCAAAAGGAAUGUCCCUUGAUACCAUAAACAAAAAAUACCAUGUCUGCUUUUUAUUCAAUAAUAAUAAUACAAAGAUGACUGAUCCAAACAAUUUUAAGCUCAAACACAAUGUUAUAAGGUAAGAUAAGAACUAAUGUCACAAUAUUACAGGUAAAUCGUUUUUUUUCUUCCUGUUUUUCAAUUUUUAUCACUAUAAUAUUUUCUAUUCCAAAUCUUUAAGAUCCUCAUCCAUUGGUAUGGUAUAGAAGAAGUGUUCAAUUUGCUCGACUGCAUUAUCCUCGCCCUGUGUCUUGUUUCCUCUCUUUAUUGGAGCUAGGCUCUCCUUGUAAUUGAAAACCCAACAGCCAGCAAUGUUAAGGUCCAGCUGAAAUCCAAGAUCUGUAACUUGUCUUGUUGUAGGGUCAUAUAGCACCAGCUGUGAAGUUUCUGUGAUCUCAAAAACCAUGUUAUCGUUAUCCCAGAUGUUGCGAGGCCAAUGAGCAUCUAUAUGAGGUUGUACAGUUAGAACUUUGGACCAAAUUCCCUCUUGUUCAUACCCACACAUCAUAUAUGGAUGUCAUAGGUUUGCCAGGGUCACCGGUUAAUAAAGCAAGUGAGUUGCCACGCAAUGUAAGCGUCCCCCAAUGUUCACUUGGAAUAUCUGGGACUUGCAUCUCCCUAAACUGUUCGCUGCCCAUGUCAAAAGAGCGAAUCGUGUAGAUCUCAUCAAGGCCCCUAGAAAGCCAAUAAUAAACCCCGUUGAGAUAAGUGGCAUCAAGGGGUGCAGAUAAGGUAGAACUGGAAGGGAAUUCAGGAGUUAGGUGUUUCCAUGAGUUGUUGCAUGAGGAAUAAACACAGGCAUAGACACGAGGACAAACACCUUGUCCCGGUUCAUCCCAGAAUACUCGAAUCCAUACAACCUUAUAAUCUUGAGUCAACAGGUCAAAUCCCAAUCCGAACUGAUGAUCAUGGUCCGAGAAAAAGUACUCAAUCUCAAAAGGCGCAGGCGGCAGAGACCUGAACUCUCUGGUGGCAGGAUUCCACAAACCCAAGCAGACAUUGUCUCCAUAAAACUUCUUCUGCACUAAGAAUAAGCCAUCAACUGGACCAGCAACACACGUGAAAUCAGCGACCCUCGGAAGCUGAAGGAGAGUUUUUUGUUCAGGGGUCACACCUGGAACAAUUUCUUCAGGGAGCAAGGAGAAUACAACAGACCUUACGAUGGCGUCUACUUCACGUGCUACUUUCAAGUUGCAAACAAGGAGACGGGCACGAUUGUUCUUGUGAUGAAAAUGUUUUUCUAUGAAACUCGGACUUUUGAUGAGAGCAUACCAGUGCUUGCACACACAUUUGAAAAGCAAGAGUGAUUCCACUGGCAAUCUCAAUAGAAUAUCAACUACUAGAUCUUCUGGUAAAGGACAGCGACCAUCCAUACUGGUGGAAAUAUAAGUAGAAUGAGGCAACUUACAAACAUAUUGAAAGAGAGCAGAUCUAGAAAACAUGCAUUAAUAGAACACACAGUGCAACAAAAAAGAUCAAGUAGUAGCAUUACCAUGUGAAGCAAAAAAGGGGAAGUUACAAAUUUGACCACUCAGCCACAAAUAUUUACAUCCGCAAGCCAUUACACAUAUAUUAUGGGUAUACAUAUUUUUAAAAAUAUUUUGACAAAUCUUCUUGUAGAUCAAUUUUGGAGAAAAGAUCCAAAAUAGUUCCUUAUGUUUGGCUUCAGACUCAAGGUCAUCCCUUCCCUUUCUUUUAUAUGGUGCACUAAUAGUCCUUUAAGUUUCAAGUAUUAGUGCACUUUUAAUCUCUUCAUUAACAUCCAUUUACUCAUUAACGUUUUGAUCCUUUACACAUCCAUUUAUGGCCUCCGCUGUAUACGUUCUGGUAUAACACAAAUUAAUUCUUAGAUUUAUCUUAGCAGUUGCAGAUGAGUCUUCAUUUGUACUUGUUUUAUUUUUUGGCUCUGCAUCUUUCAUUGUUUGGUGUGCACCAUUCAAGAUUUGCUAAUUCUUUAACUUUCUCCUCUAUUUUCCAUACGCAAUUAAUAAGCUGACUAUAAGUCUUUGGGUUUUCCUGAAUAAAAGCUGACUAUAUAUCUGAAACAUAACCAAAGAAUAAAAUAAAAACAAGAAAAAAGGAAAAAUAUAAUACAUACUUAGUCUUCGUGUAUCAAUAUCUCAAAUUAGCAUCGGAUAAAAGUGCACUAAUACUUAAAACUUUGGAGGACUAUUAGUGCACCAAUUGAUGAUUUCGAAUCUAAAGCCAAAAAUAAAGGACUAUCUUGUAUUUUUUCUUUCGAUUUGGGCUGAUAUGGUUUGGACGGAUCAAUAAUCAGCCAAAUAGAGUCAAUAAGAGGAGACUAGUAAAGAAGUAGUCAUGCGGUUUUCUAGUCUUUUCAUUAACUAGUCAAUAAUUAUUUUUAAAGCUACAUAUCAAGUUAGCAUAUAGAGCAAUUUUGCAGGUAAUUUAAGGAUUAAGGAGCAUGAAACAGUAAUUACCCUUUUCUACUAAUAUCAAUCUACAAAUCCUUGGAAAUGGAACAAUUUUAACUUGCCCAAUAUUGAAAUGUAAAAGAUGGAAAGAAAUAAAAAGAAUUAGCAUAAACAGAAACAAUGACAGCAAAACCCUAUAUCCAUCCCCAAAUAGCACAAAUUCAGAUUCAGAUUCAGAUUCAAAUUCAAAAAAAUAAUCAGAAAUCUAACCUUAUAAGCUGAUGAAGAAGAAGUGCCGCAAUUACGACAAGGUAAAAAUGGAAAAAGAGAUUGGAUUGAUUGAGUGGUGUUGUAGAAAUACCUCCAACAGUUGACUACUUCCUCACUUUCCUACACUUCUUUUGUCAUUUUAGUUUAUAUAACUCCCCUUAAUUCCUUUUAUCCAAGUUUUUAAUACCAAGGGAUAUGAUGGAGUAAUAAGUACUUAUUCAUUGUUAAUUAGAGGUCUUGGAUUUGAAUCUUUUGGCUAUGAAGUCAUCCGUGUUAGGGAGCACUUUACCCAUAAUGUGAGAUUUUUCGACUGGGCUCUAAUAUGGAUACCGAACAUUGAGCGAUUUUUCUUUUUUUACCUUAGUGGUCAUUUGGUAGGUGGAUAAAGCUACAUCUAAUACAUGAAUCACUACAAGAAAAGUGCUGAUUACCUGGGAAUUAUUGUAGAGAAUAUAUGAUAACCCUAAUGGGUGGAGGGAGGACCAAUUUAUAGAGGUUAUGAUUUAAUCUGGUAUAUCCAUCAAGUAACCAAUGUACGGACGAGAUCUAUUCCUUAUUAAAUAUUAUUUAUGGUAUUACUUGCGUUACUAGUAAACUUGAGCCAUAAGUAAGAAAUAAUUAAUAAUAAUUAAUAAUAAUUCUUACACUUCGGGGUGCCUUCGCCAUAGUUCAAGUCUGGAGUCGGCCAUUUCAGUUCUUGAAAGCUUUUAAUCUAGCUAGUGUUAUUCAUAGUACUUCCGUGUACUUAUCGACCUUAUGUGAGUCCAAACUCGUUUGAGUUAUACAUUUACUUUCUAAUUGUGCACGAGUAUACAUACUUUCUAGGCUUAUAGAGGUCCAGUUAGGUUAUAGAUUAUUGCUUUACUUUACUACUUCGUUCUUUUCAGACUCGUGAGCUAUAUAGUUAGACUUUCCGUUAUUGCUUUGUUCAUUUGACCUCUAAUUACUGUUACUUUCAUAUUCUUCAUAUUGUUUUUACUUUCCAAGUUCAGUUGACCUAUGAUGCCUACUGGACACCUGUUGUUCUGAUAUUCAUGCUACACUCCACAUCUGUUUUCUUGAUGUGGAUUUGAGCGCCAGCCGACAACGGUGAUUGGAGCCUAAGUAAUGCGGAGAUCUUCUGAGAUGAAUGGUGAGCUAAUGGCGUCCUAGUUCGACUUAUCUCCAUAUGUAUAUAAUUUUUUACAUGUCUUUUGUAUUCGAGACAAAUUUAUUAAGUUAGUCAAUAGCAUAGGCUCGAAACUAUGACUAGAACAUUGAGUGCAUGACAUGCACAUCUUACUCCUUACUUUCCUUAUUCGUGCCUGUUUUUUUCAUACUUUCUAACUUUCACUAGUACAUUAUCCCUUGUUAAGGAAAAUUAUGUAAACAAAAUAGUAAAUGGCCUGAUCCACUUAAGAGUGAGGGCUAGUUCAUUGAUUGAUACAGCUAAAUCACAUUAAAUAAUAAAUACGGAGGAGGGCCUAAAAUACCCUUCAAGUAUAGGUAAUGGAACAAAAAUACCCUCUUCCACCUUUAGGCUCCAAAAUACCCUUCCAUCCAUCUAUAUGGACCUAUAUUACCCUUUCACUUAACAGAUUCUUUAAGACUAAUAAUUAAUCUUUUCAUUAAUGAUGUGACAGUCUUUAAUUGGUUGAAAUUGGAAUUAACCAAAAUAAGAAUUUCUCUUAAUUAAACCCAGAUCCAACUAAAUUCCACCCGACUCACUUAAAAUUCUAUUGACCCAUAUCUUAAAUAAUCAAACUUCAAUCAACAACUUGCUCCAGUUAUUUUUAAUCCCAGUCAAAAAAGAGGUACAUUAGACCAUAAACAACAUGAAACUUCCGAAAAUUCCCUGGAAACAUUCCAAGAAGGAAGAAGUGAAAUACAAGAUCAAGUGCCACUAUAAUCAUAUACCAAUAUACACCAUAUUUUGAAACACUAUGAAAAGUCCAGCAAAUCUCCAAUCUCUGGGAAACAUAAACUCAAAGCGGUAAAAUUUCUCAAAAUCCGAAACCCUAGAGUUCAAAAAUUAUUUCACUUCUUUCUUUUUUGCGAUUCAUAUAAAGCACCGCACGCAAAAAGCAAAACCAACAUAAUUUUGGGAAAUUCUCAAAGCAGAAUCAUGGAAUAGAAUAUAAAAAAAAAAUAAAAAAUUUAGCCAUAGCAAGAGAUUAUAUACUUGAUGAAGAAAAGCGAUAGAUAUCGCUUUUCUUCAUCUGCAAAUUUUACGAGAAAAUUAUAUGGAGAGAAAUUCAGUGUACAGAGAAAAAAAAGGAAACUCACCGCUACACACUCGAUUCUUCUUGUUUUUUUUUAAAGAUAUGGGUCAGUAAAAUUUUACGUGGGUUGGGUAGAGUUUAGUUGGAUCCGGGUUUGAUUUGGAGAAAUUAUUGUUUUUGCUUAAUCUAAAUUCCAGCCAAUUAAAGAUUGUCACAUCAUUAAUGAAAAGAUUAAUUAUUACUCAUAAAAAAUCUGUUAAGUGAAAGGGUAAUAUAGGUCCAUAUAGAUGGAUGAAAGGGUAUUUUUGAGCCCAAAGGUGGAUGGAGGGUAUUUUUGUUCCAUUCCCUAUACUUGAAGGGUAUGUUAGGCCCUUCUCCGUAAUAUAUAUUACAUUUUUGAACUGUUAAACUAGAAACAAGAUUUAGGAUUUUUCAAGUGGACCAAAAUACAGAUAUUGAUGCCGAGUACUUAAAGUCUGUUGCUUGCCGAUACUCUAAAAGUAGUAGUGUAUUUUUGGAGAAUCUAACAUGAGUGGAGAGUACACGCGCAACUUAGCUUAAAUUGUGUUGGUCCAAAAGGAAUGCCCCUUGAUACCAUAAACAAAAAAUACCAUGUCAGCUUUUUAUUCAAUAAUAGUACAAAGAUGACUGAUCCAAACAAUUUUAAGCUCAAACACAAUGUUAUAAGAAGACAAGAUACGAACUAAUGUCACAAUAUUACAGGUAAAUCGUUUUUUUUUCUUCCUGUUUUUCAAUUAUUAUCAUUAUAGUAUUUUGUAUUCCAAAUCUUAACGAUACUCAUCCAUUGGUAUGGUAUAGAAGAAGUGUUCAAUUUGCUCGACCUCGCCCUGUGUCUCGUUUCCUCUCUUUAUUGGAGCUAGGCUCUCCUUGUAAUUGAAAACCCAACAGCCAGCAAUGUUAAGGUCCAGGUGAAAUCCAAGAUCUGUAACUUGUCUUGUUUUAGGGUCAUAUCGCACCAGCUGUGAAGUUUCUGUGAUCUCGAAAACCAUCUUAUCAUUAUCCAAGAUGUUGCGAGGCCAAUGAGCAUCUAUAUGAGGUUGUACAGUUAGAACUUUGGACCAAUUUCUGUCUUGUUUCAUUACCCACACAUCGUAUAUGGAUGUCAUUGGUUUACCAGGGUCUCCGGUUAACAUAGCAAGUGAGCCGCCAUGCAAUGUAAGUGUCCCCCAAUGUUCACUUGGAAUAUCUGGGACUUGCAUCUCCCCAAACUGUUCGCUGCCCAUGUCAAAAGAGCGAAUCGUGUAGAUCUCAUCAAGGCCCCUACAAAGCCAAUAAUAAACCCCGUUGAGAUAAGUGGCGUCAAGGGGUGCAGAUAAGGUAGAACUGGGAGGGAAUUCAGGAGUAAGGUAUUUCCAUGAAUUGUUGCAUGAGGAAUAGACACAGGCAUAGACACGAUUAUUAGCACCUUGUCCCAGUUCAUCCCAGAACACUCGAAUCCAUACAACCUUAUAAUCUAGAGUCAACAGGUCAAAUCCCAAUCCGAACUGAUGAUCAUGGUCCGAGAAAAAGUACUCAAUCACAAAAGGCGCAGGAGGCAGAGACCUGAACUCUCUGGUGGCAGGAUUCCACAAACCCAAGCAGACAUUGUAUCCAUAAAACUUCUUCUGCACUAAGAAUAAGCCAUUAACUGGACCAGCAACACACGUGAAAUCAGUGAUCCGAAGCUGAAGGAGAGUUUUUUGUUCAGGGGUCACACCUGGAACAAUUUCUUCAGGGAGCAAGGAGAAUACAACAGACCUUACGAUGGGGUGUACACGUGCUACUUUCAAGAUGCAAACAAGGAGGCGGGCACAAUUAUUCUUGUGAUGAAAAUGUUUUUCUAUGAAACUCGGACUUUUGAUGAGAGCAUACCAGUGCUUGCACACACAUUUGAAACGCAAGAGUGAUUCCACUGGCAAUCUCAAUAGAAUAUCAACUACUAGAUCUUCUGGUAAAGGACGGCGACCAUCCAUACUGGUGGAAAUAUAAGUAGAAUGAGGCAACUUACAAACAUAUUGAAAUAGAAUAGAUCUAGAAAACAUGCAUUAAUAGAACACACAGUGCAACGAAGAAGAUCAAGCAGCAGCAUUACCAAUGUGAAGCAAAAAAGGGGAAGUUACACAUUUGACCACUCGGCCACAAAUAUUUAUAUCCGCAAGCCAAUACACAUAUUAUGGGUAAACAUAUUUUUAAAAAUAUUUUGACAAAAUUUCUUGUAGAUCAAUUUGGGAGAAAAGAUCCAAAAUAGUUCUUUAUGUUUGGCUUCAGACUCAAAGUCAUCCCUUCCCUUUCUUUUAUAUGGUGCACUAAUAGUCCUUUAAGUUUCAAGUGUUAGUGCACUUCUAGUCUCUUGAUUAACAUCCAUUUACUCAUUAACGUUUUGAUCCUUUACACAUCCAUUUAUGGCCUCCGCUGUAUACAUUCUGGUACAAAACAAAUUAAUUCUUAGAUUUAUCUUAGCAAUUGCAGAUGAGUCUUCAUUUGUACUUCGUUUUAUAUUUUGGCUCUGCAUCUUUCAUUGUUUGGUGUGCAGUAUUCAAGAUUUGCUAAUUCUUUAACUUUCUCCUUUAUUUUCGAUACACAAUUAAUAAGCUGACUAAGUCUUUGGGUUUUUCCUGAAUAAAAGUUUCUUGCGCUUUGCCUAUAUAUCUGGAGCAUAACCAAAGAAUAAAUAAAAACAAGAAAAAAGGAAAAAUAUAAUACAUACUUAGUCUUCGUGUAUCAAUAUCUCAAAUUAGCAUCGGAUAAAGGGUGUGUUCCGUAGAAAAUAGUUUCUAAUCAAAAUUUUUGGAAAAGAUUUUCUUAGGAAAACAAGUUCCAUACGUGACACUUCAAAAUUCAAAUGAAGAAAAUGACUUUCUAAAGGAAGUAGGGAAAACAAGUUUCAUAUGUGACAUUUCAAUUGAGUAUGUCCUCCCACUCUCUAAGACACCACAUAUUCACCUCACUCCCGUAGCUUCCAUACCCACUACCCUACACAUCUACCCCACCUCCGUCCCUCAUAGUAUUGUCUAGAUAAUACAUAAAUGCUUUUAGAAUAAUAUUAAAUUUUUUUUGCUUAUAUACCAAACACAAAAUAUACAUAAGAAUCUCACUUAUUUUCCUAGAAAAUAUUUUUCAAAAAAUAUUUUCCUUGGUACCGUACACACCCAAAGUUCCAAUGUCCUCGGAUAAUAUCAGCCAAAUAGAGUCAAUAAGAGGAGACUAGUAAAGAAGUAGUCAUGUGGUUUUCUAGUCUUUUCAUUAACUAGUCAAUAAUUAUUUUUGAGCUACAAAUCAAAUUAGCAUAUAGAGCAAUUUUGCAGGUAAUUUAAGGAGCAUGAAACAGUAAAUACCCUUUUCUGCUAAUAUCAAUCUACAAAUCCUUGGAAAUGGAACAAUUUUAACUUACCCAAUAUUGAAAUGUAAAAGAUGGAAAGAAGUAAAAAGAAUUAGCAUAAACAGAAACAAUGGCAGCAAAACCCUAUAUCCAUCCCCAAACAGCACAAAUUCAGAUUCAGAUUCAAAUUCAAAAUAAUAAUCAGAAAUCUAACCUUAUAAGCUGAUGAAGAAGAAGUGGCGGACAAGGAAAAAAUGGAAAAAGAGAUAUCGGAUCGAUUGAUUGGUGUUGUAGAAAUACCUCAACAGUUGACUACUUCCUCACACUUCUUUCGUCAUUUUAUUUUACUACUUCUUGGGAACGCGUUUGUUCCUCUCCUUUUUUUUUCUCGCGUGUGUUCCUUAUUAUUAUUAAAUUUUUAUAUACUAAAAAGUUGAGUUAUAAAAUAGAAAAUGCUGAAAUUAACAAUAGUAGUUUUAUCAUUUAUAUUUUAUUUACUAAAUAAUAAAAAAUAUAUACUGGAGCAUUUUUUGUUAACCUUCAUUUGUUGUUUCUCACUCUCUUUUCUUCUCAUGUUGAAAUUUGAUUGUGCAAUUACCUUCCUAUGAUAACAUCAAUCUUUGUGAAAUUGGUUCUUAAAAAGCAAAUUCAAAUUUUAAUUUUGGAAGUGUUUUUACAUAAUAGUGGAGAAUGAUUCUUCAUAUUCAACUUUUAAUUUUGAAUUGUAAUGAACAAUUACUAUUCAAAUACAAAUCUAGUUUAUUUUUAACCUUACAUUUAUUGAAUCUUUAAUGUGUACGUUAAUGAUAUAUAAUAAUUUAUUAAUUAGGUAUUUGAUUUAGUGUAGGGGCAAAAUGGUAAUUCAACUAUACACUUUCGAGUUUUCACUUUUAAUAAGUAAUUAUAAUAUAUACAAAAGAUUAAACCAUUUGAUAUUAAAAAAAUAUAUGUAUGAGUAAUAAUUAACAUUCAAUGGCAAAAGAAUGUAUCACAUUCUCAUAAACAAUAUCUCUAAGGCAAAAGUAGACAUUCUAAUUUGGACAAUUACUACUUAACUACUUAUGGGUUCAGCCAAUAAUCUGGAGAUAGGAGUUUGACAAUUUUUCAGCCAUAGUUAAAAUUCUACAUCAAUAAUAAAUAGCUUCUUAUCACAGUAAAUAGACAUUUGAAUAAUUAAUAUAAAUUGAGCAACACAAACUUUUCAAAAUGACUUAUUCUAGAUAUAUAAUAGGGAAAAGGGUCAAAAUUACCCCUCAGUUUUGUUUUAUUGGUUAACUUUAUCCUUACCAUUAAAAACAAGUUAUUUUUACCCCUGUCGUCAAUAAACUUAACAAAUAUACCCCUCCUUGAACGGAAACCCCCAAAUCAAUUGAAAUUACCCGAUUUUAAUUGAAAUUAUCCAAUUUCUUUUUUAACCCGAACUAGAACCCAACCCACUAAACUAAACAAAUUAACCCAUUUCCAAUCUUCUUCAUCUCAGUGUUCUUGGCUAAGUACCCUAAGAACACUCACAAUCUUUAUCAUAGCUAACACAUAAAUCCUACAUUGUCUGACAAAAUCAAUUGAAAAGGUUCGUUGGUUGAAUGUAUAACAAGUAAAUUAUUUUUGCUGAACAACAUCCCGCCUCUCUCUGUUGUGGGGUUCAGCGAAGAACAAGCCACAGAGCAAGUAAAUGGAAAAGUUUCAAUUUACACAUCAUCAUUCAAUCCAAUGAAGAAAACCAUUUCUAGGUACCAACCAAAUUACUUUUUGAUUUGUUGUCAGUAGGCUGCCCCUAAAUGUGUACCCAAUAGUACAUCUAAUUCUUCUUUACCUGGCUCGUAAAUCAAUUCAGUGGCCCUCCAUGAUUCUUGUAUGUGCACGUAAAAUUAAGCUACAAUGGAGGGGAGGUUUUUCUUUUCUCUAUCUUUUUAUUUGUUCAAAAUGUUUCCAAUAUAUCAUCAUAUUUGAUGAGUACUGGAUAUUUGAUGAUUACUGAUUUCUUGUAUGUAGCAAAUCAUGUGAUUGAACGACUGCAGUGUUUAGCCUAGGCAACCUUCAACAAACAAUUUGGAGAUAAAUAUCAGGUCUUUUCGAUUGAUUUUGUUAGACAAUGUAGAAUUUGUGUUAGCUAUGAUAAAGAUUGUGAGUGUUCUUAGGGUACUUAGCCAUGAACACUGAGAUGAAGAAGAUUGGAAAUGGGUUUAUUUGUUUAGUUUAGUGGGUUGGGUUCUGGUUCAGGUUAAAAAAGAAAUUGGAUAAUUUCAAUUAAAAUUGAAUAAUUUCAAUUGAUUUGGGGAUUUCCGUCCAAGGAGGGAUAUAUUUGUUAAGUUUAUUGACGGCAGGGGUAAAAAUAACUUGCUUUUAACGGUAAGAGUAAAAUCAACCAAUAAAAUAAAGUUGAUGGGUAAUUUUGACCCUUUUCUCUAUAUAACAUAUAUGGACAAUUUGAGGAAUGAAUGUUUCAACACAUGAAUAAUAGACUAAUAAGGUCAAUAGAUUAUACAUAUAAAUGAAAAGUUAAAUAAAAAUACAGCCUCAAAAUCACAUACUAUGAUCCAUCAUUUAUCUCCAAUUCGGUGGCCCAGUUUAUUUUAGGGUAUGGAUUCUUUUAUUUUUAAAAAAAAAACAUAUUUGAUUUUUCUCAUUUAGUUAUUCCUCUCCCUACUCAUAAAUAAUAAUCUCGAAAAAAUAUUUUUACUAAAGUAGAACACUCUAUCAAGAGCCAAAUAAACAUAUCAAAUUAACUAAUUAAUCUUUCAUCAAUUAUUGAUAGAACAUGAAUUGUAUAUCACUACUUUCUUCAUGUAGGAUACAAGAUAUUUCAAUAGAAAAACAAAAUCAUAAGAAAGCAUAUCAAAAUAUAAAAAAAGGACAUAUAAAAUACUUUGGCUGGACAAGGAGGAGCGGAUAAAAACAAAAGGAAAUUACUGCACAUACAAAAUGAUGAGCAAGAUUAGUUUUUUGCAGGAUAGUCUCUCAUCCUCCUCUUAUCAUUUACAUGAAAACCAUGCUAGGCAUUUUAUAGCAAUAGCUAGGAUGACCUUUGAGUAGAUAAUUAAUUUGCAUUAAUUUAGUUUAAUGAUUUUAGUCCAUAUCAAAUUUAUUUAAUGGAAAACUCUUCAAAUACUCUUGAUUUUACAGAAAAAGAGAAAUUGACUAUUAAUGUGAAUUUGAUUCAUGUACCAAUUUAAAUGAGUUUAAUCUAAGGAAGUGAAAAAAUCAUUAACAUUUUUAUUAAAACGAUACAAUUUAAUAUUUAAAUUAAAUAGUUAAAUAUUUUAUAACAUUUUAAUUUAUAAUAGGGGUAAAACGGUAAUUCAACUUUUAACUUUUUUUAUUCCCGCUUAUAGUAAUAUAUGAUACAACUCCUCUUAAUUCCUUUUAUCUAAGUUUUUAAUUAUGUGGUGGAGUAAUAAGUACUUAUUCAUUCUUAAUUAGAGGUUCCAGUUUGAGUCUUUUUGGCUAUAAAAUCAUCUCUGUUAGAGCGCUUUACCCAUAAUCUAAGAUUUUUCGACACAAAUUCAAAUUUAGUGAGGCUCUAAUAUGGAUAUCGAACACUGAGGGGAAAAUAAAAAUAAAAAUUACCUUAGGGGUUAUUUGGUAGGUGGAUAAAGCUACAUCUAAUACAUGAAUAACAAAGUUAUUUAUGUAUUUAAUUUAUAUAAUGUUUGUAUAAAAGUUAUUCAUAUAUUAACAAAGAUGUUUCUCUCUACGAUAUGUUCCCACAGGAGAAAGAGUUUGUUACUUGAAGAGGGGGGGGGGGGAUGUUGNNNNNNNNNNNNNNNNNNNNNNNNNNNNNNNNNNNNNNNNNNNNNNNNNNNNNNNNNNNNNNNNNNNNNNNNNNNNNNNNNNNNNNNNNNGAAGGGGGGGGGGGGGUAUUUGGAGUCUUUUAGCCACAGUUCGAAGCCCUGACAUAUCGAUCUCUUUUAGCCACGGUUCAAGGUCCCAACGUAUUUUGUUUUGCCACGGUUCAAGGUCCCGACGUAUUUUAUUUUGCCACGGUUCGAGGCCCCAUCAUAUCUCUAUUCGCCUUGGUUCGAAUCCUAACAUGUGGUUCAUUUGGGUUCUUCGGGGUGCCUUCACCAAAGUUCAAGUCUAGAGUCAGCCAUUUUAAGUUCUUGAAAGCUUUUAAUAUAACUAGUGUUAUUCAUAGUACUUCUGUGUACUUAUCAGGCUUAUGUGAGUCCAAACUCGUUUGAGUUAUUUACUUUCCAAUUGCGCACAGGUAUACAUACUUUCUGGGCUUAUAGGGGUCCAGUUAGGUUAUAGAUAAUUGUUUUACUUUACUACUUUGUUCUUUCCAGACUCGUGAGCUAUAUAGUUAGACUUUCCGUUAUUACUUUGUUCAUUUGACCUCUAAUUACCGUUACAUUCAUAUUUUUCAUAUUGUUUUUACUUUCCAUGCCCAGUCGACCUAUGAUGCUACUGGGCACCUGUUGUUUUGAUAUUAUGCUACACUCCACAUCUGUUUUCUUGAUGUAGAUUUGAGCGCCAGCUGAUAAUGGUGAUUCGAGCCUAAGAAAUGCGGAGAUCUUCUGAGAUGAAGGGUGAGCUGAUGGCAUCCUAGUUCGACUUAUCUCCAUAUGUAUAUAGUUUUUUAAUGUCUUUUGUAUUCGAGACAAGUCUAUUAAGUUAGUGAAUAGCAUAGGCUCGAAACUAUGACUAGAACAUUGAGUGCAUGACAUGCACAUCUUACUCCUUAUUUUCCCUAUUCGUACCUGUUUUUUUCAUACUUUCUAACUUCACUGGUACAUUAUUCCUUGUUAAGGAAAAUUAUGUAAACAACUAGUUCUUUGAUUGAUACAACUAAUUCACAUUAAAUAAUAACUAGAAUCUUAUUACAUUUUUGAACUGUUAAACUAGAAACAAGAUUUAGGAUAAGGGAACUAUUUAUUAACUUCACUUCUCCUUAUUAGUGUCAAAAGUUUCUCGUUUAGGAAAUAUGAAGUUUUGAAGGACUAAUAGUAUAUUAUCCUUUUUUAAAAUUGAACUCUAUCCAAUGGUUGAUUCUAUUUAUGAAUCAAUUCCUUAGGUGCAUUAUUUCCAUAGGUUUCAACAUUGGUAACAAAAUCUAGCUUUCUCGCUUAAAUUGACAUAUUUCUAUACUUCCCUCAUCUUAUCUAUCACUGAGGCCGCUCCCAUCUUAUCCCUUAUAUCCUUAUUUAUAAUUUUUAUCGCUCCGAGUAUGAACGUGCAUCCACCUCAAUAUAUAUUCACAUCUCUGCAACAUGCAUCUUCUAGACAUGGGACUUGACUGGCCAACUCUCAUUUCCAUACAACAAUUACAUACACACUCUAUAUAAAUACACACAUACAUAUAUUGAUGGAAAAAUCAUCAACAGAUGAAACUUAAGCAAUACUCCCUCCAUCUCAAUUAAUGUGACAGUCGGAAUUUUGUCUUUUAAAUUGUUAAUUAUUGUGAUUUACCAUUUUUCACAUAAUUUUCAAAUACAUAAAUUUUAUAUCAAAAAAACUUAAAGUUUCUGUAUCCGAAUUUACUAUUAAAUUAUAGAAGUUUGAAUCUCAAAAUUUCAACUAAUGCCACAUAAAUUAAAUCAACUCCAACACUCAGAAAAGCUACAAAAGUUCAAACAUAGAAAGUAAAAAAAAAUUUAAAAAAGAAAUAGAAAAAACCUUGAGAUAAUAUGUCUUGCUAAUUUCCUCUUCAGAUGCUAAUUAAAGGACUUACACCAAGAACAUCAUAAUACUCUGUGUCUUUCACCAUUUUCUUUUCUUUUUCCAAAAUCCCUAUUAACAAAAAAUUUACUCUUUUACCUCCUCCAAUACUCUAAUUACCUUUUUUUUCGCGCUUCUAAAAUCUUAAUACAAGAGCGAAAAACCACUUGAGUGUAAGGAAAGGAAACAAGCCAAACGAAAAAAAAAAAAAAAACUCUCAAAAUUAUAUGAUCAAGAAAACUUGCAAGUACAAAAGGAGAAAGAGGAGGGGGUGGGUGGGGUAUGAUGAAAAGAAUGUCUCAGAAUAAGAGAGUGCCCCAACGAGACAAAGCUGCCUUUCCAGUUCUGAUCAACAAAUUAAUUACGGAAAAUCUGUUGCUUGUCGAUACUCUAAAAGCAGUGUAUUUUUGGAAUUAAGAGGAGUUGUAUAAACUAAAAUGACAAAAGAAGUGUAGGAAAGUGAGGAAGUAGUCAACUGUUGAGGUAUUUCAACAACACCACUCAAUCAAUCCAAUAUCUCUUUUUCCAUUUUUACCUUGUCGUAAUUGCGGCACUUCUUCUUCAUCAGCUUAUAAGGUUAGAUUUCUGAUUAUUUUUUUGAAUCUGAAUCUGAAUCUGAAUUUGUGCUAUUUGGGGAUGGAUAUAGGGUUUUGCUGCCAUUGUUUCUGUUUAUGCUAAUUUUUUUUAUUUCUUUCCAUCUUUUACAUUUCAAUAUUGGGUAAGUUAAAAUUGUUUCUUUUCCAAGGAUUUGUAUAUUGAUAUUAGUAGAAAAGGGUAAUUACUGUUUCAUGCUCCUUAAAUUACCUGCAAAAUUGUUCUAUAUGCUAACUUGAUAUGUAGCUCAAAAAUACCUAUUGACUAGUUAAUGAAAAGUCUAGAAAACCACAUGACUACUUCUUUACUAGUCUCCUCUUAUUGACUCUAUUUGGCUGAUUAUUGAUCCGUCCAACCCAUUUCAACCCAAAUCGAAAGAAAAAAUCCAAGAUAGUCCUUUAUUUUUGGCUUUAGAUUCGAAAUCAUCAAUUGAUGCACUAAUAGUCCUCCAAAGUUUUAAGUAUUAGUGCACUUUUAUCUGAUGCUAAUUUGAGAUAUUGAUACACGAAGACUAAGUAUGUAUUAUAUUUUUCCUUUUUUCUUGUUUUUAUUUUAUUCUUUGGUUAUGCUCCAGAUAUAUAGGCAAAGCACAAGAAACUUUUAUUCCGGAAAAACCCAAAGACUUAUAGUCAGCUUAUUAAUUGCUUAUGGAAAAUAGAAGAGAAAGUUAAAGAAUUAGCAAAUUUUGAAUGGUGCACACCAAACAUUGAAGAUGCAGAGCCAAAAAAUAAAACAAGUACAAAUGAAGACUCAUCUGCAAUUGCUAAGAUAAAUCUAACAAUUAAUAUGUUUUGUACCAGAACGUAGACAGUGGAGGUUAUAAAUGGGUGUGUAAAGGAUCAAAACGUUAAUGAGUAAAUGGAUGUUAAUGAAGAGACUAAAAAUGCACUGACACUUGAAACUUAAAGAACUAUUAGUGCACUAUAUAAAAGAAAGGGAAGGGAUGACUUUGAGUCUGAAGCCAAACAUAAGGAACUAUUUUGAAUCUUUUCCAAACAAUGUUAAGCUCAAACACAAUGUUAUAAAAAGGUAAGAUAAGAACUAAUGUCACAAUAUUACAGGUAAAUCGUUUUUUUUUCCUGUUUUUCAAUUUUUAUCACUAUAAUAUUCUGUAUGUCAAACUCUAAGAUCCUCAUCCAUUGGUAUGGUAUAGAAGUAGUGUUCAAUUUGCUCGACUGCAUUAUCCUCACCCUGAGUCUCGUUUCCUCUCUUUAUUGGAACUAGGCUCUCCUUGUAAUUGAAAACCCAACAGCCAGAAAAGAUAAGGUCCAGCUGAAAUCCAAGAUCUGUAACUUGUCUUGUUUCAGGGUUAUAUAGCACUAGCUGUGAAGUUUCUGUGAUCUCGAAAACCAUCUUAUCGUUAUCCCAGAUGUUGUAAGGCCAAUGAGCAUCUAUAUGAGGUUGAAGAGUAAGAACUUUGGACCAAUUUCCCCCUUGUUUCAUUACCCACACAUCGUAUAUGGAUGUCAUUGGUUUGCCAGGGUCACCGGUUAAUAUAGCAAGUGAGCCGCCAUGCAAUGUAAGCUUCCCCCAAUGUUCACUUGGAAUAUCUGGGACUUGCAUCUCCCCAAACUGUUCGCUGCCCAUGUCAAAAGAGUGAAUCGUGUAGAUGUCAUCAAGGCCCAUAGAAAGCCCAUAAUAAACCCCGUUGAGAUAAGUGGCGUCAAGGGGUGCAGAUAAGGUAGAACUGGGAGGGAAUUCAGGAGUAAGGUGUUUCCAUGAAUUGUUGCAUGAGGAAUAGACAUAGGCAUAGACACGAUUAUUAGCACCUUGUCCCGGUUCAUCCCAGAACACUCGAAUCCAUACAACCUUAAAAUCUUGAGUCAACAGGUCAAAUCCCAAUCCGAACUGAUGAUCAUGGUUCGGGAAAAAGGCCUCAAUCUCAAUAGGCGCAGGAGGCAGAGACCUGAACUCUCUAGUGGCAGGAUUCCACAAACCCAAGCAGAUAUCGUCUCCAAACUUCUUCUGCACUAAGAAUAAGCGAUCAACUGGACCAGCAAGACACGUGAAAUCAGUGAUCCUCGGAAGCUGAAGGAGAGUUUUUUGUUCAGGGGUCACACCUGGAACAAUUUCUUCAGGGAGCAAGGAGAAUACAACAGACCUUACGAUGGGGAGUACUUCACAUGCUACUUUCAAGUUGCAAACAAGGAGACGGGCACAAUUGUUCUUGUGAUGAAAAUGUUUUUCUAUGAAACUCGAACUUUUGAUGAGAGCAUACUAGUGCUUGCACACACAUUUGAAACACAAGAGUGAUUCCACUGGCAAUCUCAAUAGAAUAUCAACUACUAGAUCUUUUGGUAAAGGACGGCGACCAUCCAUACUAGUGGAAAUAUAAGUAAAAUGAGACAACUUACAAACAUAUUGAAAGAGAACAGAUCUAGAAACAUGCUUUAAUAGAACACGCAGUGCAACGAAGAAGAUCAAGCAGCAUCAUUACCAUGUGAAACAAAAAAGGGGAAGUUGCACAUUUGAUCACUCAGCCACAAAUAUUUACAUCAGCAAGCCAAUACACAUAUAUUAUGGGUAUACAUAUUUUUAAAAAUAUUUUGACAAUUUCUUGUAGAUCAAUUUGGGAGAAAAGAUCCAAAAUAGUUCCUCAUGUUUGGCUUCAGACUCAAAGGAUGGAGUAAUAAGUACUUAUUCAUUGUUAAUUAGAGUUCUCGGGUUUGAGUCUUUUUGGCUAUGAAGUCAUCUGUGUUAGGGAGCGCUUUACCCACAAUGUGAGAUUAUUCAGCACAAAUUCAAAUUUAGUGGGGGAUCUAAUAUGGAUACCAAACACCGAGUGGAAAACCAAAAAUAAAAAUAAAAAUGACCUUAGGGGUCAUUUGAUAGGUGGAUAAAGCUACAUUUAAUACAUGAAUAACAAAGUUAUUUAUGUAUUUAAUUUAUAUAAUAUUUUGUUUGUAAAAUGUUGUAUAAAAGUUAUUCGUGUAUUAACAAAGAUGUUUAUCUCUACGAUAUGUUCCCGCAGGAGAAAGAGUUUGUUAUUUGAAGAGGGGGGGGGGGUAUUUGGAGUCUUUUAGCCACAGUUCGAAGCCCUGGCGUAUCUCUUUUAGCCACGGUUCAAGGCCCCAACAUAUUUUUUUGGCACGGUUCGAGGCCCCAACAUAUCUCUAUUCGCCUUGGUUUGAAUCCUAACAUGUGGUUCAUUUGGGUUCUUCGGGUGCCUUCGCCAUAAUUCAAGUCUGGAGUCGGCCAUUUCAGUUCUUGAAAGCUUUUAAUCUAGCUAAUGUUAUUCAUAGUACUUCCGUGUACUUAUCGGACUUAUGUGAGUCCAAACUUGUUUGAGUUAUAUAUUUACUUUCUAAUUGUGCACGAGUAUACAUACUUUCUGGGCUUAUAGAGGUCCAAUUAGGUUAUAGAUUAUUGCUUUACUUUACUACUUUGUUCUUUUUAGACUCGUGAGCUAUAUAGUUAGACUUUCCGUUAUUGCUUUGUUCAUUUGACCUCUAAUUAUUGUUACUUUCAUAUUCUUCAUAUUGUUUUUACUUUCCAAGCUCAGUCGACCUAUGAUGCCUACUGGGCACCUGUUGUUCUGAUAUUCAUGCUACACUCCACAUCUGCUUUCUUGAUGUAGAUUUGAGCGCCUGCCGACAACAGUGAUUCGAGCCUAAGUAAUGCGGAGAUCUUCUGAGAUGAAGGGUGACCUAAUGGCGUCCUAGUUCGACUUAUCUCCAUAUGUAUAUAAUUUUUUCCUAUCUUUUGUAUUCGAGACAAGUUUAUUAAGUUAGUCAAUAGCAUAGGCUCGAAACUAUGACUAGAACAUUGAGUGCAUGACAUGCACAUCUUACUCCUUAUUUUCCUUAUUCGUACCUAUUUUUGUUCAUACUUUCUAAAUUUCACUAGUACAUUAUCCCUUGUUAAGGAAAAUUAUGUAUCCAGAAUAGUAAAUGGUCUGAUCCACUUAAGAGUGAAGGCUAGUUCAUUGAUUGAUACAUCUAAAUCACAUUAAAUAAUAUAUAUUACAUUUUUGAACUGUUAAACUAGAAACAAGAUUUAGGAUUUUUCAAGUGGACCAAAAUACAGAUAUUGAUGCAGAGUACUUAAAGUCUGUUGCUUGCCGAUACUCUAAAAGUAGUGUAUUUUUGGAGAAUCUAACAUGAGUGGAGAGUACAUGCGCAACUUAGCUUAAAAUGUGUUGGUCCAAAAGGAAUGCCCCUUGAUACCAUAAACAAAAAAUACCAUGUUUGCUUUUUAUUCAAUAAUAGUACAAAGAUGACUGAUCCAAACAAUUUUAAGCUCAAACACAAUGUUAUAAGGUAAGAAAAGAACUAAUGUCACAAUAUUACAGGUAAAUCGUUUUUUUUCUUCUUCCUGUUUUUCAAUUUUUAUCAGUAUAAUAUUAUGUAUUACAAAUCUUUAAGAUCCUCAUCCAUUGGUAUGGUAUAGAAGAAGUGUUCAAUUUGCUCGACUGCAUUAUCCUCACCCUGAGUCUCGUUUCCUCUCUUUAUUGGAGCUAGGCUCUCCUUGUAAUUGAAAACCCAACAGCCAGCCAUGUUAAGGUCCAGCUGAAAUCCAAGAUCUGUAACUUGUCUUGUUUUAGGGUCAUAUAGCACCAGCUGUGAAGUUUCUGUGAUCUCGAAAACCAUCUUAUCGUUAUCCCAGAUGUUGCGAGGCCAAUGAGCAUCUAUAUGAGGUUGUACAGUUAGAACUUUGGACCAAAUUCCCUCUUGUUUCAAUACCCACACAUCAUAUAUGGAUGUCAUAGGUUUGCCUGGGUCACCGGUUAAUAAAGCAAGUGAGUUGCCACGCAGUGUAAGCGUCCCCCAAUGUUCACUUGGAAUAGCUGGGACUUGCGUCUCCCCAAACUGCUCGCUGUCCAUGUCAAAAGUGCGAAUCGUGUAGAUCUCAUCAAGGCCCGUACAAAGCCAAUAAUAAACACCGUUGAGAUAAGUGGCGUCAAGGGGUGCAGAUAAGGUAGAACUGGAAGGGAAUUCAGGAGUAAGGUGUUUCCAUGAAUUGUUGCAUGAGGAAUAGACACAGGCAUAGACACGAUUAUUAGCACCUUGUCCCAGUUCAUCCCAGAACACUCGAAUCCAUACGACCUUAUAAUCUAGAGUCAACAGGUCAAAUCCCAAUCCCAACUGAUGAUCAUGGUGCGAGAAAAAGGCCUCAAUCUCAAAAGGCGCAGGAGGCAGAGACCUGAACUCUCUGGUGGCAGGAUUCUACAAACCCAAGCAGACAUCGUCUUCAUAAAACUUCUUCUGCACUAAGAAUAAGCCAUCAACUGGACCAGCAACACACGUGAAAUCAGUGAUCCUCUGAAGCUGAAGGAGAGUUUUUUGUUCAGGGGUCACACCUGGAACAAUUUCUUCAGGGAGCAAGGAGAAUACAACAGACUUUACGAUGGGGUGUACUUCACGUGCUACUUUCAAGUUGCAAACAAGGAGACGGGCACAAUUGUUCUUGUGAUGAAAAUGUUUUUCUAUGAAACUUGGACUUUUGAUGAGAGCAUACCAGUGCUUGCACACACAUUUGUAACGCAAGAGUGAUUCCACUGACAAUCUCAAUAGAAUAUCAACUACUAGAUCUUCUGGUAAAGGGCGGUGACCAUCCAUACUGGUGGAAAUAUAAGUAAAGUGAGAAAACUUACAAACAUAUUGAAAGAGAACAGAUCUAUAAACAUGCUUUAAUAGAACACACAAUGCAACGAAGAAGAUCAAGCAGCAACAUUACCAUGUGAAACAAAAAAUUGUAAGUUACACAUUUGACCACUCGGCCACAAAUAUUUACAUCAGCAAGCCAAUACACAUAUAUUAUGGGUAUACAUAUUUUUAAAAAUAUUUUGACAAAAUUUCUUGUAGAUCAAUUUGGGAGAAAAGAUCCAAAAUAGUUCUUCAUGUUUGGCUUCAGACUCAAAGUCAUCCCUUCCCUUUCUUUUAUAUGGUGCACUAAAUAGUUUCAUUUUCUGGCAUUCGAAAUCCUUUUUAUUACAGUUCUAUAUUUGAUUCUGUAUCAUAUAUAUAUAUAUAUAUAUUUAUCCCUGUCGUCGCCUUAGAUUCAUUGGCCUGAAUUUGAACAUUUAUGUAGCUCGGAACACUCAAAUAUCCGCCGCACUAUACCUUGAUUGCUUUUGACUACAUCUAUGACCAGUAAGUACAAGAUUGAUUGGGUAUUUGGUUUGAUUUUUGAGUUUGUCAUAUAUAUACAUAUGAAGCACUUUGUUAUUACACGAUAUAUCUUAUGAAUAAUAUAGGCAAUGUUUAUGAAGAAUUAGUUUUUAAAAGUUUUAGUUCAAUAACUUUGAUUAAUAUAUAUACUUGUAUGUGUUUGUAUAUACAUUUAUUUCUGGUAUCUCAGCACAUGUAUCAUACCCCAAAUCCUAAAAUUCAUGUGAUGAAGAAUUUGACUUUUAGAUCCGCAACCGUUUUGGGUCCAAGCAAUUUUCUUGUGUUAGAAUCUAAAAGCUGAUUUUCAUUUCUAAAAUCGUAAGUUAAGAAACGAAAGAAAAAAAAAA
This 123939-nucleotide long non-coding RNA is filed under the name Solanum tuberosum (potato). Its description in RNAcentral is "long non-coding RNA (STUB_LNC005036)". The record is from RNAcentral. Lineage: Eukaryota; Viridiplantae; Streptophyta; Magnoliopsida; Solanales; Solanaceae.